GCUAAAGAUCUAUAGGUGGCUGAGUUUUGCUGUAUUGAUAGUGAAAAAGUUUGUGGCAGCAAAGAGUUUAUGAUUCCUGAGUAGGGUGUUUUAGGGCAAUCGAUAGGUUUGUGCUUGAGUGGCUGUCUAAAAGGGAUUUAUCUUAUAAUGUUUAAGGGGUUGAAGUCAAACCUGAGCAUGACCAAUUAAUUGAUCUGUCCAACCCUUAUUCUGGCUAUACGGUUACCACCUGUACUUGGAAUUGUCUCAGUUGAUGCCACUUUUGCAUUCAAGAGCAUGACUGCCCACUCCAAAUCUUUUCUUUUCGAAUUCGUUCAACCUCCCAAACAAACAAAAAGGGGAUUGAAAGGAUUUCCAACUUCUUGCAAUUUGCAUGGUGCGAUACUGAUUUUUCAACACACCCUCUCUAUGAUUCUUUAUGCAUUUGUACAAAUGACAAAAUCUUUAAUAUUUUCGCUGGAGAUGAAAAGUCAUAAUCCCAUACUUUGUUUCUUCAGUCUUUCUUUUUCUUUAUGCUGUCCCCACUCUGUCUUGUUUUGAAAAGAAAAAAUGUAUUGCGGCUGUCUGGUUCAUCUUGCUCAUUCAUAAAUGGAGGAUAUCCAGGUUAAGAAAAUUAUUCCAAACAAACAAUCAGAUGUUUGAUUUGAGAGCUUAACAGAUACUAUACCUUUUUUUUUUUUGGGCUGCACUUUUACAGGCAAGGGAAUUCUUUUUACAGUGAUGAAUAAUUCCGUUUUUUGGCCUUUCUUUUACUUUGCCCUUUGCUUUGUCUUUUUUCCUUGUCUGUUUCUCUUCUUCUUCCUUAUUCUUCACCAGCAAACCCUAGCACAUUAGCAUCGCCACAGUGCCACCAUCAAUUGCCAAUGCACCGCUUUUGACCACCGUCAACCACUACCAGCAGGCAUCAAUUUUAAGAAACCACAUAUGAUCUUACUUCAUUUUUUGAUAUGCUUUCAUUUUCGGGUACAAGGUUGACAACCACAAUACUAGGCCUGAACCAUCAGCUGAAGCAGGCACUCAGCAAUUUUUUCCCAUCAAACCCAAGUUAAAAAACAAAAAUACACAUAUAAAAAUGAGUCAUUGGGUUUAAGGAAAUUAGCUCCACCAUCAGUUACUAAAACAUUCAUACAAAUGAAUUUGGGGGUAGGGGGCAUUCGUGGAGCAUAGGUGGAGGCAUGGGGAGAGUUUGCUGCAUUCUUUCUUCUUGGAUACUUGUAACUUUUUUUGUUUUGUUUUUCUCUUCACUAUAGUGGAGAACUAAGUAGGUUAACAGGGGUGAAACCCACUAAAUUUGUCGGAGUGACUAAACCCAUUGAAGACCACUAUGAUUCCUUUAAAUUCAUUUCUGGUGGUUGUUACGAAACAUAAUUCGGUAUGAUUGACUUUGACUCCCAUUGCUGGGUCUGAUUUACCUUUACCAAAAAGGUCCUUCAUUUACCUGUUUAAACUAUAAUUUCUCCAGCCGCUUCCUCAUCUUCUCAGCAGUUUUCAAGAUAGUUGUUUUCUAUGCAGCUGGCAGGAUCUUCAAACCUAGGGGCUGUGGAAGAGAUCUAUUUUGAUUUCAGGAAGCAGUGUUUCAUUUUUUCUAAGGAGAAGGAAACUUUUUGUAAGCUUCCUUAUCCUUCUAAGGAAACAUUUGGAUAUUAUCUGAAAAGCACUGGCCAUGGCACUGAGGCUAAAGUUGUUGCUGCUACUGAGAAAUGGGGACGGAAUGCGUAAGUUGUUCAUUUUUGUUAAUUGUGUUCCGAAUCCCACACUUCAUUUACAUGAAUUUUACACAUCAGACUGAUGAUGAGCAACCAAUCAUCCCUGCCCAUAUUAUCUGCUUAUGUUAGAAAAGAUUUAAUUUCUUUCUGAGUGGGAUUCUUGUGGUUGUUUCCAGUGUUACCAGAAGAUUUUAUCCUGUUCUCAGUGAUUUUCUUGGAUUUUGACCUUGAGAGAAUUUUGGAUUUUAUUGCAGCAUCUUCUUUUUCGUUUUCUUUUUUUUUCCUUUGUUUAUGCAGUUACACAGACAAAUAACCUGACAAUUUGAAAAUGGUACAUGGUGCUUUGAGACUUUCACUUCAAAUAGUAUGUCGCUGUCAAAGACAAGGCCUUUUUGCUUGAUGUUCUAGCAAUAUCUCCGUUUAAUCUCUUUUGUGUAUCAUGUGGAAUGUUUUUGAAUGCUUUUACUUAUUUUUCUCUUCCUUCCCUCUGAAAAUUUUAGCGUACAGAAUAUUAUAAACUUCUCUAAUAUACAAAUUUAUAAUCACUGCAAGUAGACAUAGGUUUAUUGGAUACUUCAAUUUCAUUUUGGUGUAUAGUCAUAGUCCAACAUUAGCAUCAAUUUGAGCAAUUCUUUUAAAGUAAUUAUUAUUUUUUUUAUGCUAUAUCACAUUUAUGCUCAUCAAUGUGUACUUCUGUUGAAUAUUUUGCAUCUACAUUUCAUAUAAUUCCUUUAUCCUCGUGUUGGUUUUUUGUUAUGUAGAUUUGAAUAUCCUCAGCCCACAUUCCAGAAAUUAAUGAAAGAGCAGGUCAUGGAACCAUUUUUUGUAUUCCAGGUCUGCCGUCAUUUACAUUUGUACUUCUGUGUUGCUUGAAAAAAAUGUCUUCUUCCGAUUUUGCGGUUCAUUAUUUUUGUGAUUAAUAGUGUUCUUUGCUCUUUCUAAUCUUUUGAUGCUGCUUCUGUAGGUCUUUUGUGUGGGCUUAUGGUGUUUAGAUGAAUACUGGUAUUACAGUCUCUUUACCCUGUUUAUGCUGUUUAUGUUUGAGUCAACAAUGGCCAAAAGUCGUUUAAAGACUCUCACUGAGCUCAGACGUGUAAGAGUAGACAACCAGACAAUAAUGGUGUAUCGGUGUGGGAAGUAUGUUUUGCCUAUGGCUAUUGCUAAUUUUUCCCCCCCCCUUCAUGUUCUUGAAUUUGCAAUCUUUUUUUGGAAUCUUUUGCUAUUGCUGAGUAGUGAAAAAUUUUGAACUGUAGAUGGGUUAAACUCACUGGGACAGACCUUUUGCCUGGGGAUGUUGUGUCUAUUGGGCGUUCUACUGGUCCAGCAGGAGAAGAUAAGUCUGCGCCAGCUGAUAUGCUUUUGCUAGCUGGAAGUGCGAUCGUAAAUGAAGCUAUUCUGACAGGCGAGUCUACCCCUCAGUGGAAGGUGGUCUUCUUGUUCUUUUUCUCUUCCCUAACCCACAAAACCAUUUUUUGGAAACUUUUGCUUUUUGCUUUUUGCUUUUCUUUUUUUUUUGUGGGAAUUUUAUGAUUGUGCUACUCUUUGUUUGGCAAAUAAAUAGAAUUGAUUGGUAUUUGGCACAAUGUUUCAUGGGAUCAAUUGAGAUGUUCAAUGUACGAAAGCUUGCACCUUUCUUGGCGAGAGUUAAUGCUUGAAAAGUGCAUGUUUGCAUAAGUGCAUAUCCUGGAGGUUAACAACAUAAAAAAUAUAGCUAAAAAGCUACUGUUUUAAUAUUCUUUAAUUUUCUUGUUGCAUAAGUGUGCUGAUAUCUUGGAAAAAUUAUUACAUCUAAAUUGUUCGUGGAGCCGUGUCCUGGGGGAAAAUAUAUGACUCCUAUGUUCUCUGCAGUAUCGACUCUUUGUGAGAAAGGGCAAGCUAAUAGUUGAAAAAUGAUGAAGGCUUUGGGAAACCCUUAAACUAGUUCCCUCUUUCAAAAACCCAAGCCAAGUUUGGAUUUUUAUCCAAAAGUGGCCUUUGUUUCUUGAAAGUUUGUUUUGUCAUGUUUGGGUGGGAUUGGUAAUGGACAAUUGUUUUUGCUCUUCUGAUGAGGUUGAACGUUCGCUAAGUUAGGACAAUUGUUCAGCUCCACUCAGAUUAAAGUAGGGAGACCGGGACACAAGUUAAAGCAUCUUGUUGUGAAGGUUAAGCACCCUGAUUUCACCAUUUGAAAUGAAAACCUCAAAUGUGACAUUAAGUGUUUUACUGUUCUGGACAAAGAAUGCUUAAUAAGCUCCUGUAAAGCUGGUAAGCAGCUAAUUUAGGUUUGAACUUUGCUUGUUGGUCCACUCAGGUAAAGCCUUUUGAGUCUUUUAGCACAAGUUGUGACUUGAUCUUUACCCUUACCAAAUAGUUGUUCUGCUUAAAAUUGGAUAGGAGCUAGCCAACACCCAUUAAUUUUUUAUAAGGUGAGGUGUUACAUUUUCUGUGCACCCUGAACAGUAAGGUACCUUAUCUGAACAGUCUAUGAAAACUUGAUUCUCCUUAAAAUUGGAUUGAAGAGUUUAUGGUUACAACAGAUGUCUCUCUCUCUCUCUCCCUGUUUUUUUUUUGGUACACUAACAGCAAGUGUGCAAUCGUGCUUGCCUUUGUAUCUGCAUUUUGAGUGAGGUCUGCAAAACGUUUGUAUCAAUGAACCAGAUCUCUCUGAGGGGUUGGCCUCUUAGUUUUACUGUCUUAUAUUUGAAAGAAGGAACUAGUUGAGAGAUUUAUCUGCAUGCAGCAUUGCAUUCUCUGCACAACUUUUUUUGAUGGCCAACACAAAUUACUCAUUUACUGGUGCUGCAUCUGUAUCUUCAGUGGAACUCUUUUAGUGGUUAAGCAGUUGAAAUCAAUUUUCUAGCUGGGUAGUUUUUUUUUGGAUCCGCAUCUCAUGGUCUUCUUGUUUCCUCUUUUUUUUUUUGGUCUUUUUUUGUCUUUUGUUUUUUAUAAGUUAUUCUUUUGAUGCUCUUCAACAUUUUUAAUGUGAAAAUGUCCUUUUCAGGUUUCAAUCAUUGGUAGAGGAACAGAUGAGAAAUUAUCAGCUAAUAUGGGAUUGCGAGAUUUUUAUUUUUAUUUUUUGCGAAUAAUGAUACAUAAACAUAUAGUUUGUUUGGAUAUGACUAGGGGUGAGCAUCGAAAUCGAAAUCGAUAAUUCGGCUGAUUAAAUUCAUUGAUUUCGGUAAUUUUUCUUGUGAGAUUCCAACCUAAUUCAAUUUCGAAUUGAAAACUUUUAGUUUCGAUUUCGAUUCAAUUCGAAAUUGGAAGAGUAGCGAAUACCGAAUUCAAAAAGAAUAAUGCAUUUUGUUAUAUAUUAUAAAGUGCAUCAUAACAUAAUAUAAUGAUAUAUUCUUAUGAUAACAUUUAGUUUUACAUAAAAUUGAAUGUAUAUAACAUUCUAAUAUGUAUUUUGCACAUGCUAUUUACUUAUAUAUGGUAUUCAUGUAUAAUACAUACAUGUCUAAAUUAUAUAUGUGUUGUUUAAUAUUUAAAUAUUUUUUCAAUUCAAAAUUAGUAAAAUCCGACUUCAAAAACCAGUACCAUUUUCAUAUCUAUUUCAAAAUACAUGAAUUCGAUAUCUUCGUCAUCCUUCUAAAUUUAUGAAUUACGAAUUCUGAAUUUUUGAAUUCAUUUGGAAAUUGAUUGGUAAUUUGGUAAAUUUUGAAUUUUUACACCCUUAAAUGUAACUUAGUAUUUGGGAAAUGUUGUCGAAUUUUCUAUGUUUCUCUCUCUCAUUUCUCUACAAUGAUCAUAUACAUGGGAGUCUAUAAACACUUACUAUGGUUCACUACCCAGCACUAUUUCGUUUUGGCGAAAAGUUUUGAGUUCUAGCUUGACUUUGAAAUUGACUUGUGUUCUCUGUACAUGCUCCAUUUUGCAGGUCAAUGACAUUCACCAAGCAGAUUCAUGCAAAGUUAUUCCUGCUAAAUUCUGUGGUUCAAAAGAAAUUGUGCCCCUACAUUUUCGAAAGGUUCGAAGCCUGCUGAUAAUCUUGUGAAUUUUGAUUUCCAGCCUUCUUGUUCCACGAGUUGAAUCCUGAUUUCAACUUAUUUUUGUUUUCAUUUUGACUUUGGAUAUACUGCUUUCAAUAGGUUGUCAUGAUUUCACUAAAGCUGUAAGUAAUAUGAGUUACACCAUUAGAUGCUACAGUAUCUGUCAGGCACAAAAUAGCUAUAUUAUGAAAUACGAAGUAUUCAUGGAAAAACCUGUACAUCCUGGCUAUGUUAUGAUUUACCUAUGGCAGUGAAUAAUUAGAGUUCCAUUCUCUGAAAAUUAUCCCCUGUACUUGUACGUCCAUUAUAGCUCACAUGAGAACUGUCUCCGAUCAAGUUGUCUUUGUACUAGGGAUUUGACCACUAGAUUCUGGAGCACUUGUCUGAAAGAUUAUUAGAACGAUGCUAUGAUGGCCUCGAUAUUUAAUCCAGAUUCUGGAUGGUUUAUUACCUGGCAAAUGAUAGGUGGCAAAUGGCAAGUUUGGUGUGUAAUUGGGUGGGUUGUAAGUGGAUCACUAAUAAAUGGGUGAAAUUCCAAUUGAACAAAUGAUUAUAAGGUAUUAGGUGGGUUAUCAAUGGACCUGUAAGACCUAUUCUCAAGGUGACAUGAUAAUUUUUUUUUCAACUAUCUUUUUACAUGAUUUUUACCCUUUUAUUUUCUCCCUCGUUUCCCCUUUACCUUUUGGCUUUUCGAUUCUAAAAUAUUAAUGCAAUUGCCAACUGUCCUCUCCAUUGCUUGUUGAAUUAUCUGUACCAUUUGCAUGAACACGCCAUUUUGAAUUUCAUUUUCUGCACAAAUACCAUCAUUGGCCUGCAAAAUACUAGAAAUUUGGUGAAAAGCUUUGAAUUGACUAUGGCCGACGCUGGCAACUUCAUGUCCUAGAGUAAAUGUUCCCCAAAUCACCCAAUAUUCCAUAAAGAGAUACUCUCACAAUCUUUUUUUUGAGAAGGUAAUAAUUAUAGAUCACGUUCCUCUUGUGUAGCAAAACCUCACUUCAUCAUUUACUUUGUCUGGAAAGAACAAAAAAUGAUUGCACCAAACCUCAAAGUGAAUAGUCAUUGAGAUUCCCAUUGUCUGAAAUUUCUGAACUUUUUUGAAUUUGGAAUAUCAUAAACAUGAACUUCUUGUGAGUGACCAACCCACUGCACUAUCAUUAUCAAACACCGUGCAGGGAAAUUUGAGUUCGUGUCAGUGACUGCAGGAGAAGUUGAUGGGGAGCAGUCAAGAUGGUUGGGGCUUAUUAAGCUAAAGAUCUAUAGGUGGCUGAGUUUUGCUGUAUUGAUAGUGAAAAAGUUUGUGGCAGCAAAGAGUUUAUGAUUCCUGAGUAGGGUGUUUUAGGGCAAUCGAUAGGUUUGUGCUUGAGUGGCUGUCUAAAAGGGAUUUAUCUUAUAAUGUUUAAGGGGUUGAAGUCAAACCUGAGCAUGACCAAUUAAUUGAUCUGUCCAACCCUUAUUCUGGCUAUACGGUUACCACCUGUACUUGGAAUUGUCUCAGUUGAUGCCACUUUUGCAUUCAAGAGCAUGACUGCCCACUCCAAAUCUUUUCUUUUCGAAUUCGUUCAACCUCCCAAACAAACAAAAAGGGGAUUGAAAGGAUUUCCAACUUCUUGCAAUUUGCAUGGUGCGAUACUGAUUUUUCAACACACCCUCUCUAUGAUUCUUUAUGCAUUUGUACAAAUGACAAAAUCUUUAAUAUUUUCGCUGGAGAUGAAAAGUCAUAAUCCCAUACUUUGUUUCUUCAGUCUUUCUUUUUCUUUAUGCUGUCCCCACUCUGUCUUGUUUUGAAAAGAAAAAAUGUAUUGCGGCUGUCUGGUUCAUCUUGCUCAUUCAUAAAUGGAGGAUAUCCAGGUUAAGAAAAUUAUUCCAAACAAACAAUCAGAUGUUUGAUUUGAGAGCUUAACAGAUACUAUACCUUUUUUUUUUUUGGGCUGCACUUUUACAGGCAAGGGAAUUCUUUUUACAGUGAUGAAUAAUUCCGUUUUUUGGCCUUUCUUUUACUUUGCCCUUUGCUUUGUCUUUUUUCCUUGUCUGUUUCUCUUCUUCUUCCUUAUUCUUCACCAGCAAACCCUAGCACAUUAGCAUCGCCACAGUGCCACCAUCAAUUGCCAAUGCACCGCUUUUGACCACCGUCAACCACUACCAGCAGGCAUCAAUUUUAAGAAACCACAUAUGAUCUUACUUCAUUUUUUGAUAUGCUUUCAUUUUCGGGUACAAGGUUGACAACCACAAUACUAGGCCUGAACCAUCAGCUGAAGCAGGCACUCAGCAAUUUUUUCCCAUCAAACCCAAGUUAAAAAACAAAAAUACACAUAUAAAAAUGAGUCAUUGGGUUUAAGGAAAUUAGCUCCACCAUCAGUUACUAAAACAUUCAUACAAAUGAAUUUGGGGGUAGGGGGCAUUCGUGGAGCAUAGGUGGAGGCAUGGGGAGAGUUUGCUGCAUUCUUUCUUCUUGGAUACUUGUAACUUUUUUUGUUUUGUUUUUCUCUUCACUAUAGUGGAGAACUAAGUAGGUUAACAGGGGUGAAACCCACUAAAUUUGUCGGAGUGACUAAACCCAUUGAAGACCACUAUGAUUCCUUUAAAUUCAUUUCUGGUGGUUGUUACGAAACAUAAUUCGGUAUGAUUGACUUUGACUCCCAUUGCUGGGUCUGAUUUACCUUUACCAAAAAGGUCCUUCAUUUACCUGUUUAAACUAUAAUUUCUCCAGCCGCUUCCUCAUCUUCUCAGCAGUUUUCAAGAUAGUUGUUUUCUAUGCAGCUGGCAGGAUCUUCAAACCUAGGGGCUGUGGAAGAGAUCUAUUUUGAUUUCAGGAAGCAGUGUUUCAUUUUUUCUAAGGAGAAGGAAACUUUUUGUAAGCUUCCUUAUCCUUCUAAGGAAACAUUUGGAUAUUAUCUGAAAAGCACUGGCCAUGGCACUGAGGCUAAAGUUGUUGCUGCUACUGAGAAAUGGGGACGGAAUGCGUAAGUUGUUCAUUUUUGUUAAUUGUGUUCCGAAUCCCACACUUCAUUUACAUGAAUUUUACACAUCAGACUGAUGAUGAGCAACCAAUCAUCCCUGCCCAUAUUAUCUGCUUAUGUUAGAAAAGAUUUAAUUUCUUUCUGAGUGGGAUUCUUGUGGUUGUUUCCAGUGUUACCAGAAGAUUUUAUCCUGUUCUCAGUGAUUUUCUUGGAUUUUGACCUUGAGAGAAUUUUGGAUUUUAUUGCAGCAUCUUCUUUUUCGUUUUCUUUUUUUUUCCUUUGUUUAUGCAGUUACACAGACAAAUAACCUGACAAUUUGAAAAUGGUACAUGGUGCUUUGAGACUUUCACUUCAAAUAGUAUGUCGCUGUCAAAGACAAGGCCUUUUUGCUUGAUGUUCUAGCAAUAUCUCCGUUUAAUCUCUUUUGUGUAUCAUGUGGAAUGUUUUUGAAUGCUUUUACUUAUUUUUCUCUUCCUUCCCUCUGAAAAUUUUAGCGUACAGAAUAUUAUAAACUUCUCUAAUAUACAAAUUUAUAAUCACUGCAAGUAGACAUAGGUUUAUUGGAUACUUCAAUUUCAUUUUGGUGUAUAGUCAUAGUCCAACAUUAGCAUCAAUUUGAGCAAUUCUUUUAAAGUAAUUAUUAUUUUUUUUAUGCUAUAUCACAUUUAUGCUCAUCAAUGUGUACUUCUGUUGAAUAUUUUGCAUCUACAUUUCAUAUAAUUCCUUUAUCCUCGUGUUGGUUUUUUGUUAUGUAGAUUUGAAUAUCCUCAGCCCACAUUCCAGAAAUUAAUGAAAGAGCAGGUCAUGGAACCAUUUUUUGUAUUCCAGGUCUGCCGUCAUUUACAUUUGUACUUCUGUGUUGCUUGAAAAAAAUGUCUUCUUCCGAUUUUGCGGUUCAUUAUUUUUGUGAUUAAUAGUGUUCUUUGCUCUUUCUAAUCUUUUGAUGCUGCUUCUGUAGGUCUUUUGUGUGGGCUUAUGGUGUUUAGAUGAAUACUGGUAUUACAGUCUCUUUACCCUGUUUAUGCUGUUUAUGUUUGAGUCAACAAUGGCCAAAAGUCGUUUAAAGACUCUCACUGAGCUCAGACGUGUAAGAGUAGACAACCAGACAAUAAUGGUGUAUCGGUGUGGGAAGUAUGUUUUGCCUAUGGCUAUUGCUAAUUUUUCCCCCCCCCUUCAUGUUCUUGAAUUUGCAAUCUUUUUUUGGAAUCUUUUGCUAUUGCUGAGUAGUGAAAAAUUUUGAACUGUAGAUGGGUUAAACUCACUGGGACAGACCUUUUGCCUGGGGAUGUUGUGUCUAUUGGGCGUUCUACUGGUCCAGCAGGAGAAGAUAAGUCUGCGCCAGCUGAUAUGCUUUUGCUAGCUGGAAGUGCGAUCGUAAAUGAAGCUAUUCUGACAGGCGAGUCUACCCCUCAGUGGAAGGUGGUCUUCUUGUUCUUUUUCUCUUCCCUAACCCACAAAACCAUUUUUUGGAAACUUUUGCUUUUUGCUUUUUGCUUUUCUUUUUUUUUUGUGGGAAUUUUAUGAUUGUGCUACUCUUUGUUUGGCAAAUAAAUAGAAUUGAUUGGUAUUUGGCACAAUGUUUCAUGGGAUCAAUUGAGAUGUUCAAUGUACGAAAGCUUGCACCUUUCUUGGCGAGAGUUAAUGCUUGAAAAGUGCAUGUUUGCAUAAGUGCAUAUCCUGGAGGUUAACAACAUAAAAAAUAUAGCUAAAAAGCUACUGUUUUAAUAUUCUUUAAUUUUCUUGUUGCAUAAGUGUGCUGAUAUCUUGGAAAAAUUAUUACAUCUAAAUUGUUCGUGGAGCCGUGUCCUGGGGGAAAAUAUAUGACUCCUAUGUUCUCUGCAGUAUCGACUCUUUGUGAGAAAGGGCAAGCUAAUAGUUGAAAAAUGAUGAAGGCUUUGGGAAACCCUUAAACUAGUUCCCUCUUUCAAAAACCCAAGCCAAGUUUGGAUUUUUAUCCAAAAGUGGCCUUUGUUUCUUGAAAGUUUGUUUUGUCAUGUUUGGGUGGGAUUGGUAAUGGACAAUUGUUUUUGCUCUUCUGAUGAGGUUGAACGUUCGCUAAGUUAGGACAAUUGUUCAGCUCCACUCAGAUUAAAGUAGGGAGACCGGGACACAAGUUAAAGCAUCUUGUUGUGAAGGUUAAGCACCCUGAUUUCACCAUUUGAAAUGAAAACCUCAAAUGUGACAUUAAGUGUUUUACUGUUCUGGACAAAGAAUGCUUAAUAAGCUCCUGUAAAGCUGGUAAGCAGCUAAUUUAGGUUUGAACUUUGCUUGUUGGUCCACUCAGGUAAAGCCUUUUGAGUCUUUUAGCACAAGUUGUGACUUGAUCUUUACCCUUACCAAAUAGUUGUUCUGCUUAAAAUUGGAUAGGAGCUAGCCAACACCCAUUAAUUUUUUAUAAGGUGAGGUGUUACAUUUUCUGUGCACCCUGAACAGUAAGGUACCUUAUCUGAACAGUCUAUGAAAACUUGAUUCUCCUUAAAAUUGGAUUGAAGAGUUUAUGGUUACAACAGAUGUCUCUCUCUCUCUCUCCCUGUUUUUUUUUUGGUACACUAACAGCAAGUGUGCAAUCGUGCUUGCCUUUGUAUCUGCAUUUUGAGUGAGGUCUGCAAAACGUUUGUAUCAAUGAACCAGAUCUCUCUGAGGGGUUGGCCUCUUAGUUUUACUGUCUUAUAUUUGAAAGAAGGAACUAGUUGAGAGAUUUAUCUGCAUGCAGCAUUGCAUUCUCUGCACAACUUUUUUUGAUGGCCAACACAAAUUACUCAUUUACUGGUGCUGCAUCUGUAUCUUCAGUGGAACUCUUUUAGUGGUUAAGCAGUUGAAAUCAAUUUUCUAGCUGGGUAGUUUUUUUUUGGAUCCGCAUCUCAUGGUCUUCUUGUUUCCUCUUUUUUUUUUUGGUCUUUUUUUGUCUUUUGUUUUUUAUAAGUUAUUCUUUUGAUGCUCUUCAACAUUUUUAAUGUGAAAAUGUCCUUUUCAGGUUUCAAUCAUUGGUAGAGGAACAGAUGAGAAAUUAUCAGCUAGACGAGAUAAAACCCAUGUUCUUUAUGGUGGCACUAAAAUUUUGCAGCAUACACCCGAUAAGGUUGUUUAUCCUAAUCAUGUAAACCUUAAUUUUUUGCUGUUUGAUGUACAUGAUGGUAAUCCUGUUUUCUUUGUCACUUGUUCUAGACAUUUCAUAUGAAAACUCCUGAUGGUGGCUGCUUGGCUGUUGUUUUAAGAACGGGAUUUGAAACCAGCCAAGGAAAAUUGAUGCGGACUAUUCUAUUUUCUACUGAGAGGGUACAUGGUCUAUGUAUUAUUUUCUUUUCUUGGUUGAAUAUACUGGCUGUUUUUCCUCAUCUUUCAGUAUCUUUAAAGUUUUUUUCAAUUAUUUGAAUUUUUGUAGGUUACUGCUAACAGCUGGGAAAGCGGACUCUUUAUUUUAUUCUUAGUAGUUUUUGCAGUAAUUGCAGCAGGUUAUGUUCUUAAAAAGGUAAUUUUUGGUUUUGUGGCCUAGUGAAUCUUUUUAUGUAUCUGUUCUCUAAAAUUACCUAGUUUUCCUUUUGCAUUUAUGUGUAUUGCAUUUCUGCGAAUACACAGUAUGCACAUGUAUCGUUUUCUGCUCUUUUUUUUAUGAUGAAAUGGUGUUCUGAUGCAGGGGCUUGAGGACCCGACAAGGAGUAGAUACAAGCUUGUCUUAAGUUGUUCCCUGAUCAUUACUUCUGUGAUUCCACCUGAGCUACCGAUGGAAUUAUCCAUAGCUGUUAAUACAUCUUUGAUUGCUUUAGCACGUCGUGGGAUAUUUUGCACAGAACCAUUUAGAAUUCCAUUUGCAGGGAAGGUUAGAAGUUCAAGUUUAUUUAUGGUUCUUUUAAAUAGUAGUUAACCGUACUGAUUUUGCUGUUGGCUGUGGCAUCAUUAAUUUAUUAGUUACAUAUGCAUAUUUAGGUGGUAUAUUUGCUCUUGUUGCAAAUAUAUUUAGAAUAUGGAAAUUUAAUACUGUUUUUUAGCGUUUGUGUCUCCUUGAAUCGUCGUGAAGCAUCUGGUGAUCAGCUUUUCUUUUCUUUGCUUGAUAUAAUACUUGAGAUGUAUUCUAAUAUCGAAUUGUUUGGACAUUUAAGGUCAGUCCUAGUUAAUGUCUGAUCGGGGAAAGAUCCUUGCAAUAGAUUCUACUAUUUUUGUUGAUUCAUUUUGUUAUAAUAUUUGGGAAAGAGUUGGAAUCAAAUGAAAAUGUUGGAGUUUCAUAUAUGAAAUUAUGACAUGUAUACGCUUUAUUUUGGUUGAGAUUAUUCUACAAGGGAAUGAUGACUGGUUCUCCAAUUUCCUGUGUUUGGAUGACAAAUUAAACUAUAUUUAAUUGUAUUUUAUGCAUUUUUAUUUUUGAAAGCUUUUUCCAUCAUGUUCUCGACUUUUAUUAUAUUUAUCACUGUAUUUUUGAAAUCAUUGGUGUAGUUCUUGUUUGAAGUAGUAAUCUUGAUUAGUGAUAACAUUGUUUAAUAACAUGAUUAUUUUAAAGAAAAUAGUUAGUGAGUUGAACAUAGUAAUAUAUCUACUCUUCUUACUAAAAGAAAUUUGGGAACAAUGCAGGCAAGGGGAAGAGAGAGGAGUUAAGGUGGGAAUAGUUUGGUGAUGGAAGCUGAAUGAUGGAUUUAGAUUUGCAAACUUCACUUUUGCUUUAUCUGCAUAACAACUUACUCUUGCAUAUUAUCUAAUAUUGUCAGCCUUCAUAAAGUUAAUGGGAAUCAUUAUUAGAUGGUGGAUGUCGGUGUAUGUUUUAGGAAAUUAUUUGUGUUUAAUUAAAUACUCGCUUAGUGUUUCUGGGUUUGGCUGGGAACCCUAUCUUUUUCUAUGGGAUCUGAUAGUAACAAAUAGUGGUUUUGUGUCCCCUGGAAAUGAAAUAAAGUGGAGAAUGUUAGAUCAAUUUUUCUUUAGUUGUUAGAAUGCUGGACUUGAUCUCCGUGUAAUCAAAUCUGUACUUAUUCGGGAUAUGAAGUUGUUGGUCGACAAAUCCAAACAAAUGAGCUUCGUGUGAUGUAGAUUAUCAUAGUGCGACCUUGUGGUGCAAAUUUGGGUGUAUGGCUGCUAGUUACUAUUUUGUAUCCAAUGUAGACAAGAUUGUUGAUGGUUUAUUUCAUGCUUAUACUUUUUAGUUAACUUGGCAAUCAUACAGUGUGACGAGAUAUGAGUUCUCUGUUAUUAGCGGAUGCAUUGCUGGUGCUGGACUAUGUUUAUUACUAGUAAAGGGGAGAAAGUGAGAGUGAAUGUUUUACUUCUCCAUACAGAACACAUAAACACUCUUUUACCUCUGGCUGGGAAGAGAAUUUGAGAUGAUACUGGUUAGGAUGGGUUGUCUUGUCUCCAGAUGUGGAGGUUUGUAAUGGAAUCAUGUAUUGGGUUGGGUCACUUGGGUGCCUCUGCCAUGUUGCUGUGUUACAUCAGUAAGGUCAGCUUGUAUUAGUUAGCGAACUUGUCAUAUGGAGCAAUUUGGAUAAGGUUUUUAUUAUUGAAUGUUGGAUUACCUUUUAUUGGUGGGUUUCUGCUACUUGUUUGAUGACGGGUGUCAAAUUGAAUAACUCAUGUUUGUUGGUAUCAUUAGACUAAUUAUUAAAAGUUCUUAUAUUAUAUAGUUUGAUUAGCAUGUUUGUUAGUAUCCUUUUCUCUUUUAAUGUGAUUAUACUCAUGAAACUUCAGGAUAUUUGUUGGAUAUGAGUUGUAUAUGAUUUUGAGUGUAGAAAGUGAUUUUUCCCCCCUUGCUGAUCCAUAGUGUUCAAUGUUCUUGAUUUUGUCCUCAUCUAAAUUAGGUUUCUUUGCUUUCUGCAGGUUGAUAUGUGUUGCUUUGACAAAACUGGCACACUAACAUCUGAUGAUAUGGUAUGAAAAUUAGAAGCUUGAAAAUUUGUAUUUGACAUUUGCAUUUUUGCCAAAUCGUUUUUCUUAUGGUACUCUUUAACCUUUAGGAAUUUUCUGGAGUUGGUGGACUAACUGAUCGUGAGGAAUUAGAGACAGAAAUGAGUAAAGUUCCAGGACGCACUCAGGAAAUUCUUGCUUCAUGUCAUGCCUUGGUUUUUGUGGACAACAAGCUGGUAUUCUUUAGACUUCUUGGCUACUAUGCACAAUAGUUGCUUUUAUGUUGUUCAUCCAUGAAUUUUUUUGCAAAUAAUUCCUACUUCCAUGAUCAAUUGAGCAUGAUAUUUUGUCGAUGAUUCAGUAGAUUAAUAAGAUUUACUUGCACUUAAUUGUUGAGAAGGCGUUCUGUAGGAAGCAGAUCAAACACAACUGCCUCCAUAGUGUGUUGUUGAGUAUUGGGUGUGGGGGCUGGCGGAAAGAAAGAUUGAGCCUAUCAAAGUUUUGUAUUCCUCCAAUUCGGGAGGAAAAAAGAAUGGAGAGUUCAAAUAGAGAUCCCAUAAUUUCCAUCGUUGGAUAGUCUAAACAUUAAAGAAAAAGUGAAUUUGUAAUGGAGCUUUUAUAAAUUGAUGCAGUUAGCAGAUUUUGGAUACUCCAAAAUGAAAUACCAGUUGUAUCGCUUUUUCCUGUGUAAUAAUCUAAACUGGCCACUUUAAUGCUACAAAAUGCUAAAUCGUCCUUCUUACAUUUUCCUAUUUGGAUGUUGCAAGAUUGCCUUUAAGGCAUCUAAAACUAGCCUUUAAUGGUUGGACGAAAGUAGAAUAAAGACAAGGCUUGGGGAUGCUGUACUUUCAUUGAUGAAAGUUUCUUCCUCAGAAAUAUUGUUUGCCUCUUCAAGCAAAAGUACUUUGGACGUUUUAAUGAUUGUGCUCAAGAUGCUGCAAUCCGUUAUUGUCUGUGACACUCUAUUUAAUUCCAUGAAGGGUCAUUUGGUUUUGCGAACUGGAUCAGAAGCAUUGAGUUGUUAUAAUAUUUAAGCAUCCCAAGAAUUAGUGCCUCCCGACUCCUAGCUGAAUUGAUCUGGUGCCUGGGAUAGUCAUCUAACUCAUGAUUGAAAGGAUCUAGUUUUUGUAAAAAUAUUUGUAAUGACUAGAUGACUCUGCAAACUUAUUGUAUUUCAAAUUAGAAGUUAUUAUUAUUUUUGUCAAUAUUCUGCUGUGGGAUAAAAACAUAAAAAACUUUGAUAUUUAUCAAAUCAUUGUUAUACUGAUAAUUUGGUUACAAUAUAACCAUCCACACAAAUAUUUAUUCUAUGUCAUUGCAAUGUUUCCCUAAAUAUAGAUUUACAGAUUAUGCAAUCACUUAACCUGUAGGAAAUAGAAUAAGCACAUAGAAGAUAAUUUUGAAACAUACAAAUAAGAAUAUGAGGGUGUUCAAGUCCUCUGCUUUUCUGCAGUUUGCUUCUUGUACCAUUUAUUACUCUACUGAACUCCCUUAUUUGAUAUUAUUUACUGCAUGUAGUCUACAUUAAGUGGGGUUGUGAAAGAAAUGGGAGAAGACACCCCUUCCUCGACUUCUUCCAAACCAAAAACUUGACAAUGAUGGGCAAUUGAUGAUAUGCUGCUUGAUGCAUUGAACUGAACAUGUACUUGUUAUGUUUAGUUGGCUGUUGAGCAAUCUUUUGCAGUUGCCAUUGUCUUGGGGAAGGCUGUAUGAAUAUCUUUUAGGAUUAUGCCAUUGUAUGCUUCCAGAGUUCCCAUUGUCUGUUGAGAUCUUUGCACUCUAAUCUCUCGUAUGAAUUGGACUGGCUUAUUGAAUCCAGUGCAUUACCCAUUUUCUAGUUUCUGCAUUACUUUCUCCAACAAUAUUGGAACUAGGGCUGCCUCUGUGCUAGCAAAAAUUUUCUGUAGUAAUAUUGUUCCAUACUUGAAUGCAGGUUGGUGAUCCUCUUGAAAAGGCUGCUCUUAAGGGAAUUGAUUGGACCUACAAAUCAGAUGAAAAGGCCAUUCCGAAGAAGUAAGUCAAUAGUGUUAAUAAUAAUUUUUUCCCUUUGUUGAGCUGAUAAAGCUAGUUGUUGUGGUUUGCAAUUCAAAAGAAAGUUAUUUGUUUUUCCGUUUCAAAGCGUAGUCAUUACUGUUGAUUGAAUGUUAUCUUUCCACUCUCUGUCAUGCAUGUGUCCUAGGUCAAAAUAUAAAUUAACUUUGCGUUAUUUAAUGUACCUUUCAACAUAAAUCUAUUGCCAUAAAGGCCUGAGAGGUGUAAGAUUGUUUUAAGAGCACAAUUUUCUUGUCUCAGCAUAUUGCACUGGCAACUGUUAAACUUUGUCUGCUUUGGUUUUUGGCUAAGUGUUGCAUGUGGGAAAUAUCAAUUUAUUAGGUUGACACCUGAUUAGAUGCCUUUUUCAAACAAUCUGGGUGUACUUGCAUACUAAUUUAUUUACCUAAGGGCUUGUUCUCAGCUGCUUGUUUGGACUUCUAACUUUUAAAUUUAAAAAAUCUGUAAUGUUACAUUCAACUGCUUUUGCUUUCUGCUUUUAUCAUUAAUAUAGCUGAAUUUAGGCAAAAACCAGAAGCUGCCAAGGACCGUCUUUUUGGAAUAUCACUUUGAUCUUUUACAGAAUUAACCUUUACCAAAAGCCGUGUCAAGUGAGAACUGGCCCUAAGUAGAAAAGGUACUUAAAAUACUGCUAAGAUAAAUUGUAUGUAGCAAGAGAAGCAUUACUUGUGUUACAAAUGAAGCUGUUCACUUUUGAAAUUCUAGUUUAUUUUCUUUUUAGAGUUUUUAUUGUCUCCAUGAAACUUGUACAUUAUUGUUAUCGAACUCAUUACUGACUGAGACUGCAUUUGAUGACUAUAUUUGGGUGGUUCACCAUUUCAUUGGUCAUUUUUUUGAAUCACUCAUUCAGUGCUGACAUGAUAGUUGUGUUUGGUUGAAGCAGACAUAAGCUUUUGCUUCCUGAAAUUUGAUUUCUUGUCUGCUCUCACUUUAAUGGAGAUAUUGUUGGCUUUGAGAGGGGAAACAGAAAAGAGGUCUGACUUGAAUUAGUAAUUUUGCUGAAGAGAUUGACAUGCCAUGCGGAUAGGAAUGGCAGCGGGGGCAGGUACCCGCUGGUGCCCGCCCCGCGGGGGGAGUAAUGGGGCGGGGCGGGUGCGGGGACGGGGGGAAUUUUUGUCCCCCCGUCCCCCGUUUCAAUUUAUUAAUAUAAAUAAAUGUAAUAUAUUAUAUAAUCUAAUAAUAACAAAUUUAGAAUAUUUGGCAACUAAACAUAACUUUUAUUCCAUUUCUAUCCAAAUUCCUAGUUGAUAUUUGGUACAAGCAUGUUACGUGUUCUAGGAGUAUUCCCAAAUGUUAUCUAUACAAUCCAAUUGAGUUUCUUAAUUUUCUUGGUGUUUUAUUUCAACACUUUUCUUUUUUCACUUUUUUCAGCUCCGUAUUUUAUUUUAUUCUUUGAAUUUAACUUUGAUUUAUUACUAAAGGCUUCUAGAAAAAAAAAAAAUCAAAUUAUCACCCGCGGGCACCCGCAGGGGAAGUGAGGCUGCCAUCCCUACAUGUGGAUUAGCUUUCUGUUUAAUGAACUCUUCUUCAUGAUUGUACUUUAGCUGUAUAGACUCUAAUUGAAGAUUUUACAAAUGUCAAUUGUUAGUUUUGCUUUCUUAUUGUUUCUUUUUGGAUUUUUUAAUAGAUAAUAUUUCAUUGUUUGGAUCAGUUACUUGAACUUCCCUUUUUUUGUUCUGAUUGCCUUGAGCUUCCUUUUCUUGAAAUUCUAUGAAACAUUAUUUUGUGUUAAUCAAACACUUUCUCUGUAGGUUAGUUUUGCAUAAUUUUAGAAGAUCAAGGUGUACCCAGUACUUAGAAAACCUAGGGGAAUUUAGUUUUGAUUACCCUGACUUAUCUUAGCCCAGUGCUCUCUAGCUUGCACAUUUUUAAGAAAAAUGUUUUCUAAUGACAAGGAUCCUUCGAAUCAAUCUUUGGCUACAUGAUACAAGUAGCAUUUCAUGAAUGCAUGUUUCAUAACAACAGGACAGAUACAAAGAGAUGAUGUUAAUUUAUUGCUAUUUUCCCUGCUCCGCUCGUGCAUUUCUGUCCAGGAAUUGGUAUUAUUUUAGUCUAAAUGUUGAGUCUUGCCUGGAAUGGUAGUAUGUUUAGGUAAAAUUGAUGCAAGGUAAUGGGCUGAUGAUUUUUAACUCGAUGCAUUCCAUUGGAGACCAAUCUUUAGAAAUCCCGAUAAUAGGUUUAGUUUUCACUUUUAUUCGUCAACCUGAUUGUCCAAUAAGGGAAAAAAUUCUCAAAUGGUCAUUCUUUAUUUAUUCACUGAUGAUGCAUAGAAGAGUGGUUUGCAGUUAACUACAAACAUUUGAAAGUUAAAAAGGCCUACACUGCCUUUUUGGUUUUUGCUGUUACGUGCUUAAAGGAUGUUUGUUACAAUUAUGCAGCAGAGAUCUAAUAUGUGAUUGUCUUUAUUAUACCGCUUAUACUUGAGUUGCAUCUCCGGAGAUUUGACAUAGUUCAGUAACCCACCCUUUUGAUUUUCUCAGUCAUGAGAUUUGUUACUACCUAGUGAUUCUAGUUUUUUCAGUAAUUAAUGUCUGUCACUUAAUUUGUUUAAGAUUUCUCAUAAUAUUGGUUAUGUUUUCCUUUUAUAACAAAUUAUUUGGAAUUGCAAUAAACAAAAUUUUCAAUCUGCAGGGGUAGUGGAGAUGCAGUUCAGAUUGUGCAGAGGCACCACUUUGCUUCCUAUCUUAAAAGAAUGGCAGUUGUUGUUCGUGUUCAGGAGCAGUUUUUUGCUUUUGUGAAGGUAUGGAUAUUGAUAUUUGAUAUCUUUUUUUGCUUUUCUUUCUUCUUGUGUAUAAGGGGGUGGCAAGUAUCAUGGCUGAUUUGACUUUGUCUGAUUUCUGAUCUGUUUAUGAUUUUGUAUCUCUUCUACUAUUUAAGUGGUUUGGCUAUGUUGUGUGGGGUAUGCCUUAACAAUGUAGCAUAUGGUUGGGCAUUUUUUCAUUUAUCCUCGAUCCCUGAUAGUUUGGCUUCAUUUUUUCUAUUUGUCUGUGAUGCACGAUUAAGCUGCCUGUUCUGUAAGGAAUUCCUCCUUAGAAAUGACAGGAACUGUAAUCCAAAUUUUCAUUUUGAGUUUCUAAUAAAUUUGGCAUCAGCUUUUCAUAUACAUGUGCUGGGACUAUUAUGUGGGGAAUGACUAUCAUGACGUCAAAAACACCUUUCUGCUAUUUGCACAGACACACACAUGUAUAAACAUGUAUAUAUUUCUUUUGGGCGUUUUUUGAGUUUGUUGGCUCUAAACAUCCAAACAUAUAUUUGCAUAAAAGGCAGUAGUGUAGGAAUCUGUUUAGCUACAGUGCCAGUUCUUUGCCUUGCCAGUUAGGCUUUCUGAAUGUUAUUCCAUAACAUGAAAUUUUCCUUCCUGCUCUUUUACCAUUGUGCACCCAAAAGUUUUAGUGACAAACGAAGACAAACAAUUGGCCUUGGUGACUAUGUUUUGUAUGUGUUAUGUUCUGGUGAGAGAUCAUUUUGAUUGUUUCUACCUGUUGAACUCCAGGGAGCACCAGAAACCAUCCAGGAGAGGCUUAUUGAUGUACCUCCAUCUUAUGUCAAGACUUACAAAAAAUAUACACGUCAGGGAUCUCGUGUAUUGGCUCUCGCUUUUAAAUCUCUUCCAGAGAUGUCAGUAAGUGUUUUUGUUUCAGCAGUAUUUUCCUACUCUUAGAUCUCAAUCUUGCCCUGUUCCAGCCUUUUUUAAAUGGUUGUAUUAGGCGUAUGUACCUGUGUCUUGUGAGUGCCUAGAAUUUGGUCAAACCUCAUUUACAUCUUCCUAGAGUUCGAUAUAAAUGUGUCAUAUAGUUUUGAGGUCAUGUUUUAUAUUCCACUAGCUUAGUCUGAAGGUUUCAAAUUCUAAGAUAAUCAUAUAGAAUCAAUAUUGGAGAAUGGAGGUGUUAUCUUGGCAAGUUUUCUGUCAUCUCCUGAUACGUAAAACAUUUUAUCUGAGGCAAAAUAUUUUUACGGUUCCUUUUCCUGGGUAUACAAUUAGAGUAUGUAAUAAGGAAUCAUACUGGGGACCUGAACCUUGCAUCGAUGUCAAAGUUUUUGUUGUUGGGAAAUUUCUGAAUGUCUAAUUAAUUAGUCAGUGUUAUUUUCCCAUGCCAAGGAUGGCGGCCAUUUGAAAGAAAGUCCAUCAUCCGUCUCAAUCACAUUAUAUGCUUCAAUGUGCUCUAGUUCAUUAACAUUUUUCCCUUGUUCUCCCUCUCUCUCUCUCUCUCUCUCUCUCUCUCUCUCUCUGUGAAAUGCACACCUUUGCCCUUGCCCUUUUUUAAAGACAUAAGACGUGUAUCUUUUAUUCAUGUUUUUGUGGUGCAAUUUUCUUUUCCAUUGCUCUUUCAUUUCAAGUUUCUGCUUAUAAGUCAUCUUUAUGAUUUACAUCAUUGAAGGUUAGUGAAGUGAGAAGCUUGGACAGAGAUGUGGUGGAAAGUGGACUUAACUUUGCUGGCUUUGCGGUAUUUAUUCUAUAGCUUGCAUCUGAUUUCUUCUGAUGUUGCACUUUCUCUCUUGUAGCCUCUGAUUUUAGAUUUAUUGCAUGGACCAUCUGUUGUGAAGUGGGUUUUGAAUCUCUUUCUGUAUUAUUCAGGUUUUCAACUGUCCUAUCAGAGGAGAUUCGGCCACUGUGUUGUCUGAAUUGAAAGGAUCAUCACAUGAUCUGGUGAGUAAUUGUAAAUUCUUUAGACAAAUGGAACCAUUUUUUUUUGUCAAGAUAUCAUGAUGAGAAUCAAUAGCAAUUGUUAAGAAGAUGUUAGUCAUUAGUAUGUAGCCUAUGAUGGUUUUUUGGGUUAUUUGCAGCAUGGCAAAUUUUAUUCUUAUUUUCAUGUACAGAUAAAUGGCAUUUAAAGGAUGCAAAAUGUUAAAAUUUUUCAUUGUAUUUUUAUGUUAGGUCAUGAUUACAGGUGAUCAAGCUUUGACAGCUUGCCAUGUUGCUAGUCAAGUUCAUAUUGUUACAAAACCUGCCCUAAUUCUCAGCCGAGCUAAGAGUGGUGAAGGAUACGAGUGGGUUUCACCUGAUGAGACUGAGGUUAUUAGCUACAGGUGCAAACAUGAAUAGCUUUUUACUUGGCAUAAGCAGGCAAUGUAGUUAUUCUUUGCCUUUGUCCUUUUUUUCCCUUCAUUUUUAUUUGCUGUUUGUUAAUUUCCACAAAUAUGUGGAAAUGUUAACGUUGAGCUCUGUUUGACCAUGUAUGUCUUGACUUUUGGUACAUCCUUUAUCUUUGAAGAGAUAUUCUUUUAUUUGUCUUGUAAAAGGUGGAUAUCCACCUUUGGUGUCUGGUUUCUCCUCUCUCUUCUUUGCUUUGUAAAUUUCAGAUAAGUUUUGACUCUUACUUUGGUCACAGGGACAAUGAGGUUGAAGCUUUAUCAGAAACGCAUGAUUUAUGUGUUGGAGGUGACUGUGUGGAAAUGUUACAGCAGAGUUCUGCUGUUCAUAAAGUCAUUCCAUAUGUGAAGGUUGUGAUAGAUACAUUUGUGAAACAUAUCUCAAUGUUGCAUGGUCUCCUCUUCUGACAUAGUAUCUCUAAUUUGCCAGGUAUUUGCAAGGGUAGCUCCAGAGCAGAAGGAACUGAUUUUGACCACUUUUAAAUCGGUAGGAAGGGUAACAUUGAUGUGUGGUGAUGGGACAAAUGAUGUUGGCGCAUUAAAACAGGUGCCACAUUACUGUGAGCUGUUUAUUCGAUCUGUUGAGAUUUUAGUUGUCUAUUGCUUGUAAAUUAUUUCUUUAGUCUUGUUAAGUCACUAAACUGCCUUCCAAGUUUGUUCAGUCCUUCUCUACAGUUUUUGAAGUUAAACUCAUUUCUUGUGUCAAUAACUUUUCAUUAACAUUCAUUGAGUUUGUUUGGAUAGGAGUUUAUUUGGAUGAUUUAUUUAAGAUAAUUACUGUAACACUUUUUGUGAUGUGAUGUAUGUGAGAUAAAAAGGUGAUUGGGAAGAUAAAAAGGUGAUUGGAAUUUGUGAAGUAAAUUUUUUUAUUUCAAAUCUUCCUAAUCCAAACACACCCAAUAUUUUCUUGCAAAUUCAUGGUUGAUUGCAUCCCUUUCAUAAUCUUGCAACAAUGACCUUGAAACUGUAAAAAAAUUUUGAUGUACAAUUAAAAGUUAAUACAUUCUGAUGUUUUUGUCAGGGUUGGGAUGGGAGAGUUUUUUUUUUCCUCUCUUUUUGAUUGUGGAAAGAAAUUUUAAGGCUUUUAAACUUAUCUCCCCAAUAAAUUUUUAAGGAAUUUAUUUUAUCUAACAUUCUCGUCUCUUUCCUGCUGAAAUUCCUACUAGAUAUGCCUCAUAAUAUUUGGCCUGCUACCUUUUUAAUGUGUUGCAUUAUUCGCAAUUUGCAUUUAUGACAAUGCUAUCAGGAAAUGAAGUUCCUGAUUUCCCCAAUUUCUACAACUAUACUAGGGGAUGACUUGACAUGAUAGAAUGUGAAAAUGAGAUAUGAAGAAUAUAUUAAUGCAAUCUCUUCUAUAGCCACGUUGAUGCUUUUUUAAUGGCUCAGGUGGUCACUACCUCUGGGAUUGAUAUUUUCUCCCCCCUUUUGUCCUGGUCAAAAGUGCUUUCUGAAUAACUGCCAAUGCUGCCUUUUUAAGCCAGAUUUUAUGACCCAAUUUAUUUUCCUUAUUCUAUGCUUGAAACAAGAUUAGUGUUCAUGUUGGUCGAAAUGUUCAUCAGGGUUUAUGUAUUUAUAUGGUAAAAGGUGGUUUAAAAAUGUUUGAGCUUUUCCUGAUGUCACCGUCUUUUGCAUAAUAUUCUAGUGGAAGACUUAUUUGGAUAAGAAAAAUAUGUCUGUCCAAGCAUUUCUAUGGCCAGUUUGGUGCUUUCUUAGGGGCUUAGGUCACCAAUUCUGCUGUGUAUAUUUUUCAAGAUUUUUUUUCUAACUUCCAUGAUUGCAGGUUAAAAUUCAGAUUUAGGAAUUUUACAUUAUCCUCAUUCUUUGCUUGCAUUAUAGUGACGUCAAGUUUGUCCAAGUUUUCAUCAGAACUUGUUUAUAACUUACUAAGGUUACAGGUGGUUUGAAAACUAUUUCUUCCUUGGAGAUUAUUGGUUUCUAUUCAGGCUUUUCCUUUUUUUUCAGAUCUUUAGCUUCUUUAACUUAGAAAUGCAGACUGUAUGGUACUAUUUUUUUAAUUAAUUUAUUUAUUUUUUAAGGCUCAUGUUGGAGUAGCUCUACUGAAUGCAAUAGCCCCCACUCAAAGUGAAAAGUCUUCAAAUGAAGCAUCAGCAAAAGGUGAAAGUGCAAAACCUGCUAAAGCAAGGAAAAUUAAACCUGCAGUGGAAAAUGGAGAAGGAUCUUCGAAAAGCAAACCUAUCUCAAAGUCUGAAUCUUCUAGUAAUCAAGCUGUUAAUCGCCAUCUCACAGCUGCAGAGAUGCAAAAGCAGAAGCUGAAGAAACUCAUGGAUGAGCUAAAUGAAGACAGUGAUGGUCGAUCUGCUCCUAUCGUCAAGCUUGGGGAUGCUUCAAUGGCAUCGCCAUUUACAGCAAAACAUGCUUCAGUUGCCCCCACAACUGACAUAAUUCGUCAAGGCCGUAGUACACUUGUGACUACCCUCCAAAUGUUCAAGAUACUUGGACUUAACUGCCUUGCCACCGCCUAUGUGUUGAGCGUAAUGUACCUGGAUGGUGUCAAGUUGGGGGAUGUUCAGGCAACAAUUAGUGGGGUUUUCACAGCUGCAUUCUUCCUAUUUAUCUCUCAUGCUCGUCCCCUUCCAACCCUUUCAGCUGAACGGCCUCAUCCCAAUAUUUUCUGUGCCUAUGUCUUUCUUUCCCUGAUGGGACAGUUUGUGAUCCACCUCUUUUUCUUGAUGUCUUCUGUGAAAGAGGCUGAGAAGUACAUGCCAGAUGAGUGUAUUGAGCCAGACUCAGAUUUUCACCCUAAUCUUGUGAAUACAGUUUCAUACAUGGUCAGCAUGAUGCUACAGGUUGCUACAUUCGCUGUGAACUAUAUGGGCCAUCCAUUCAACCAGAGUAUACCAGAAAACAAGCCUUUCCGAUAUGCACUAGUGGCUGCUGUAGGCUUUUUCACAGUGAUUACCUCUGACUUGUUUAGGAACUUGAAUGACUGGCUCAAGUUGGUCCCCUUGCCCACAGGAUUGAGGAAUAAGUUGCUGAUAUGGGCAGCUCUCAUGUUUUUAGUCUGCUAUAGCUGGGAAAGGCUAUUGAGGUGGGCAUUCCCUGGUAAGAUGCCUUCUUGGAAAAGGCGACAAAGGCAAGUUGCAGCAAACCUUGAGAAAAAGAAACGCGUCUGAGUUUGCAGGGCAUCUAUAAGUCUGCAGAAUUUUCAUCAGGAGUUUGAGCAUCUACAGGCAAGCAUUCUUAGGAGCUAUUUUGACUAGUGGAAAGCAAUGCCACCGUUCAGCUUUGGAGAAAUUUCAAGUAAUGUAUCAUUUAUACCCAUAUGUGCCUUACCCUGUGCUGUGCGGAAGAUUUUUGAUGGUUUUUCUUUCCAUACUCUUUAAUAGGUAUCAGAAGAACGAGGUAGGAAACUAUUCCUUCAUUUUUAUGUUUAGAAGGAAAACGAAUCUCCAUUAUUAUCCAAAGAAUUUUGUACUCAUUGACCAAGAUGCCGUAUAUUGUUUGGUUAUCUGAAACUACUACUUUACAAAAACCUCAAAGGGGGUUAUAGCGUAUGCAGAUGAUCCAACCUUUCCGAACUUGUUUCAACUGAAGGUUGUCUCGUUUAUAUUGGAAGACAAGUUCGUCCUUGCGCAGGCACUUGUAUCCUUUUUUUAUUUUUAAUUUAUUUCAGGGUUUCAUUGCUUUCAAUGGAAAAUGUGAUAAAUUGUCCGUCCUUGUACGUGUAACAUUUCAUAAUUUAAUUCAGGGCAAAAUCAUGAUUUAUUAUCGAGGGAAAAUGACAAAUUGUUCUCUGACCCAAUGUUUUCAGAACCGGACCGGACCGGACGGUUCAAUCGGUUGGAUCGCGAACCGGACAGGCCACCGGUCCGGUCUAGAGCUAAAGCCGGAGAGUAAUGAAAAAUCGCUAGAAACCGGAUGACCCGGACGAACCGUGAAAAAUCGCUUAGACUGGGAGUCGGCGAUUUUUGAAACUUUUCGAAAAUAAUGUCCAAAUUGAGACCAACAAGAAUCAAACACCAAACCUUGCGAAUACAACAAAGAGUCAUUACCAUUUAACCACAACCAGCGGAUGAAAUUUUUUUGUGUAGAUAUCUACUUAACUUGAAGUGAAAAAUUAAAAAUACCCCAACCUAAACCCAUAACUCAUAAGACACAUCAGACUUAUUUCUUUUUAAUGUUCAACUUUCUCUCUCUCUCCUCUUUUCUUUUGUCACUCCCUUUUUAAUCAAAACUCUUUAGUUUUAAUUUAUUGAUAUUUUCUUCCAUCUUUUAAUUUUUUUUGUCCAUUAAAUUGAAAAAAUUAAAAAAGAAUUAUUUUCUUUAACCCUAAAAACUAAUUAUUAAAUGCCACAAUCAUUCACUUUUAUCUCAUUUUUUGUUUCUUAUCAAGUUUGCAUUUCUAUUUUCGAUUCUCUUAACUUCCUUCAAACUCCAAAUUUCUUUUUUUUUUAAUUGCAAUCUCUAAAUCUCAAAAACAUAAAUUAAAAUUUAAACUCACAAUAUCUAAAUUCUCAUAGACGUGAAUUUUGUAUAAUUUCAAAAUAUUGUGGUAGUUUUGGGUUGGAUUUAAGAUUAUUUUUUGGUAGAUAUAAUUGAAAUUGAGAUGAAAUUUAUUUGUUUCAACUUAUAAUUUAAAAAAUUUAUUUCUGAAAAUCCAAGUUAUUCAAAAAUAGUAAACUUUUCAUCAUAUAAAGUUUUAAAUUAGCCCAAUACAUGUCUUAUUUUGUGCAUAUAUAUAUUUAUAUAAAUUAUUUUUAAAAAAAUUCAUUGAACCGAUCUGACCGAUUGAACCUUAACCCGAACAUUUCACCGAUUCAAUUAACGGUCCGAAUUUUAAAACAUUGCUCUGACCUUAUAACCUCUAGCUUAAGUUGUUGUUGGGAUAGAUUGGUCCCUCCACUUUAAUUUUGAGACACUCUGUCAUUUCUCAAAGUUUUGUUAGUGAGCUAACUGGGUACUAAAUUUGGAGGAUCCAAAUUAGUCCAAUGAUAGUAGUUUUCAGACGGUAUUGUUCCAAAUUAAAUUCCAAGGACCAGAAGUGUUCACAAAAUGUUUGUUCUGUUCAUAGUGCCUAUUUUUUGGCCUAUUUUAGAAAUACAAAAUUCAUCGAAAAUGAUGGCUUGUUUGGCACUUGAGAUUUUUGAAAGUUUAUCUAAAAUUUUACUGUAGAAAUUAAAAAACUUUUGUAAGAUGAAAAUUUUUUUUUCCUUUUCAUUUUCUUUCGUUCUUUUUCUUUUUUUUUUUUUUCUUUCUUUUUUCUUUUCUUUCCUCCCUUCCCGCUUCUUCUCCCUUCCCCUCCCCUGUUCCCUCUCCCGAAGCUGCCAAUGAAGCAGCAAAAGAAAACUUGCGUUUUUUCUCUCCCCAUCUCCUGUCCGCCACCCCUCUUCUCCCCUUCCCCCUCCCCCUUCCCUUGACCUUCGCUGCUUCACCUGCAGGCACCUGAGUUUUGCAGGAACAGAAACUUUUUUUUUUUUCCCAAUUUUCCCUCUCCCUCUCCUCCCCUUUCCUCUCCUCUUGCCGGCAGAUGAAGCAGCAACAGAAUUUUAUUUUAUUUUUUUGCAAUUUUCCCUCUACCCCUCUCCUCCCCUUCCCCCGCCACCUUGUUGUACCACACUCUCAUCUUCAAUGGGGUUUGUUCUUUAUUUUGGGAGAGUAUGCCAAUAUGAUCUUAAUGAGGUGCGAGGCUUUGCAUCUGACAUUCGUUGGGCUUCCGUCUUCGGGAGCCUGCGUCCCGGCCUUUUUGUGAAAUAAACCCCUCCAGCCGAAAACUAGUGGUAGGUGGUCCCACGGAGCUUUCGGAAAAGGGUAGCCUAGGCCCUAGUGUGUAAGCACAGCAAUGAACCGUGGCGAACCCUCAGACGACCUAUCUAAGACUGGGGAGGAGAUCCUCGGUAGUGGGUGAAGCAGCAACAGAAUUUUUUUUUUUUUUGCAAUUUUCCCUCUCCCCCUCUCCUCCCCUUCCCCGGCCACCCUCACCCUCCCCCGGUGCGAUCUGGUCUCGAUACCAGAUCGGCCAAAAGAGAAGGGGAAGAGUGGUGGGGGAGGAGUGGGGGAGAGGGGAAGGGAGAAAAAAAAAAAAAGGGGAGGAUCAAAAUUGGCCCAAGGGGGAGGAUGGCGAGGGAGGAAGAGGGGGAGAGGGAGAAAGGGAAAAAAAAAAGAAAAAAGAAGAUCGGCACCGGAAGAGGUGAUCGGCGCCGGAACUGCUGGUGAUCGGCGAUGGAGGUGGUGGUGGGUUGGGGUGGGAGAGGAAGAAGAAGAAAAGGGGAAGGGGAUUUUUUUUUUUUAUGUUUUGGGUAUUUUGAAGUGUGUAGGUAAGUUUUUUAGGUUAUGUAGUUAAGAGAAAAUUUUUUGUGUAUUAGAUAUUUUGGAGUGCGUAGGUUAAAAAAUUUGAUAAGUUUUUUUGGAAUUUUUGUAGCAAAAGUUGUUAAAAAAUUAGUAACAAACAAAUUUGUCCAAAAACUUGGGUUCCAAUAUAUUAACCCUCCCACUCUAAAAUACUCGCAAGUUUUAGAAAGAAAACGAAAAAAAAAAAAAAGUUUGAGUAUCGUGGUGGGCGACGCCGACAAGAGAGGGGGUAGGGAGUGUUUUGGGAAAUUCUAAAAGAUAUUUUAAACAAACAUAUAAUGUUUUUCUAAAAUAAUUAUAAUAAGUUACAAAAAAAAGUUUCAAACAAUACUCAAAAGAAUAUACACUAUCUAAGUGGAUCCUCAAUUUGCAACGUGUGCAUGGUCCACUUUCGAAUUAUUUAUUGACAUGUUUGUGUUCAAUUUUGCUAGAGCCACUGAAUUGUAAGGCCAUAUUACAAGUAAUAAUGUAGUAAACAAAUGGUGGAUAUAAAUAAAUUUAAAACUUGUGGUUUAUUAAUUAUUUUUCUUUAAAUUUAUCAAUUUAGUAUUGGUGUCAAGUUUUAUUAUGUAAAGAUAAUUUAAGUGUUUGAUCUGGUUAGAGAAAGAAACAAUUUUGUCACUAUUAUUUUUUGCUGCUUAGUAACUUGUUGCUUCAAUGGAUUAUCAUUCUACUUACAUAUCUAGGCAAAUUCACAAAAUUAUACUUAGGAACAGAUUUUUGUUCAACCAUAAAACUCAAAUAUGGCCCAUGAGAAUAAAUGAGCCUUAAGAUACAUGUUAACCAUGUCAAUCAAGAUUAUGCUUUUUAAGUUAAAUGUGCAUGUAUUCAACAGUAUUAGGCGAACUAAUGUUAUUUAACCUUAUGAUUCCAUAAUCUGAUCCUAUUUUCGUCAAACGAUCAUCCAGAUCUUACAAACCAUAGUCCAUCUAUACUAAAACUUGACCAAAACGAAAAAAAAAAAGGAAAAUUUUGAAAAAGAGUAAUAGAAAAAGAUUUGGAAUUCAUAAGUAGGGUGUAACCUUUUGGUAGAUUUGUGAAUAGCACACCGGUUAACUAUUCAUAAAUUACAGAAAAAAAAUUUAUUUUGUAGGCAAUUCAUGAAAUUACCCUUAGCGUACACAUUAGCACUCGCAUGCGCACGUAACUUGAUUUAGAUAUUCACAUUUGAAUGUAUACUAUGUAUUUAGCAAAAUGCAUAUUUUUUAUUAAUUAAAGUGCGCAUUACUAUUCAAUGAAGUAAAAGUCGGCAGACUCGGCACCAAGAUAAUGUGGUCAUUUUGCGAGAAAUUUAUUACCUAUUUAGAUCUAUAAAUAGUAACCCAAUUAUAAAUUUUUCAAAAAUUAUGCUCUACUUAUGAAUUUCAAUUUUUCCUACUACCUAUUUUCCAAAUUUUUCAAAAAAAAAAAUAACCAUUUGCUAUAUCACUUCUACAAUGUGAUCUGUAUGGAACAAAAAAAAAGAGACAAUUGAAAACGUCGCUAUUCUGUGUUUAAAGAAUUUCAAAAAGAAAAUUUCCAAAUAAGUUCCUUUCCAAGCGGAGCCAUUAAUAUUUCUAAACCCAAUUGAUUGAUUCCAUCCUUUUUCCUUAGAAUUUUUUAUUUAUUUUUAAUUAGAUAAAAUUACAUUUAAUAUUUGGAUUACAUAUUUACCAUGUUGCAGCUAUCAAUUAGCAGCAUUUCCUAAAAUCUAUUAAUUAACAAUAGGGCUAAUUGUAGUUUGCUCCCUCGCACUUGUAAUAUCUUGCACUCUGAACUUUCAAAUUUAUCUCAUUUAACUCCAAUUAAUAAUAACAUUGGCAAAGUGGCGUAGGCGGGACCUUUGUUAAUGUUCAUGCAUCAAUUGGGCCAAUGAGUACUGAAAUUACUUUUUUAUCCUUGGAAUGGAGGUAAUCUACAGGAGAAGAGAAGACGGAAAUUGUAAGGUUAUGCACUGAAAUAAUGUGAUAUAAAUUAGUGACGGAUUUGCUCGUUGUUGUGCUGGAAAAUGGCCAGUCGUAGUGUGAAGAGGUAUUCUGCUCCUCGGGACUCCUAUGAGGCACAUAGUCCGAAGAUGGAGGCUGUUUAAUAGUACAGUACAGAUGGGCAUUGUGAAUGAGGUCUUCGACCCAGACGAUGUGAUACCGUCUGGCACGAUUACAUGAAGCUAUCGGAAUUGGACUAGGGACCUGGUCAUAGAUAUGGCAACAAGUGCAAAGUGGCCUCCAUAAAAUGUCGUGGCUGCUGGGCAAGUCUCCAGCAAUGGGAUGGUUUUCUUGAGUUAUCUUCAGAAACUGAGUGAAAAACUUGCAAUUGCUUCUGAUCUUGUGUAUUAACUUUUUGUCUAGAGAUGUCGUAGCGAGUGUUGGAUAUUGUUUCAAAGGUCUGCAGCAUGGAGUUCGAGGGAAGAUUGAUUCGAAUGGGAAAGUUUCCAGUUUUUUUCCAAGAAAGAUUCUAAGUUUGUUCUUUCAGCAGAGAUUGAUCAUCCCAGAAAAGAUCAACUGAAGUUUGGGUUUGGGAUGAGUUGCUGAUCAGCCACAGCUUUCCUGGUUUCAAAGAGGAUGUCCUCUCACAGGUCUCACUUAUACGGUACAAUUAUAAAAUAUUAAAGCCUAAAAUUUGGGUAUUUGUACGUUUUGCCUUCACUGAAGCAAAUUAAUUGGUAUACAGUAGUAUGUUUCAAACCAAGAAAUUCACUCAAUUCUGUUUAACAUUCUCUGCCGUGAAAAGCUAUUUAACAUGAAAUACUCCUUAGAAAUCUCGCGCAGUAUUCUUGAAUUGUCACCCACUCUAAUUGAGCAAAAUUUUCUGCUAGCUACAAUUAGAGGUCGCAAAUCAACCCACUUAAUUAAAUUUACCCAUACCCGCCCAUGAAUAGAUGGGUAUGGGUAUCUUAAAUUUUUGUAUAUGGGUAUAAAUGGGUAUUAUUGGGUAACCCAUCAAACCCAAUUAACCCAUUUAGAAUUCUCUUCCCCUAAAUCUCUUCUUUUUCCCCACCCAUUUUUUUUUCAAAUUUUUCAUUUUGUCAUGAUGUUAACUACUUUUGUUUCAUUAUUAUUAUUAUUUGUUGGUUUUAUUUUAUUAUUUUACUUUCUCUUUGUUUGUUAACUUGCUCAUUUUUCGGCAUUACCAAUUUAUGAUAAAUUUGAACCUCUUUUCUUAUCUUUCUAAAAUGAAAUUUUAAAUUUAUAUAUGAAAAAAAUGUUAGGGGUUCAAAAUUUUUGGAUUAAAUUUUUAUAUUAACUUUUAUAGUACUUAAUUCAAAAUUUUAUAUUCUUAUUAUUCAAUUAUUAAAUAAUAUGUAAUUUUGUGAAAUAGAGUAUAAAUGAAAAAAAAUUGGUAAUUAGGCUUAUUGAACAUUAUAAGUAAAUAUUUAAAACUAAAGAUGGAUACAAAGAGCAGUAUAAAUUGAUAACUUAGUUUGCAAAAAUGAAUUUAAAUGAAUUUACAACAAAUUAAAAUAAAUGGGUUAUAAAUGGGUAAUUGGGUUACCCAAUUCAUUUUUUGACUUACCCAUUUAUACCCAUCUAAUUAAAUAGGUAUAAAUGGGUUGACUCACUUAUACCCAUUACCCAUUUUACCCAAUCCAAAUCCGCCCAAUCACCCAUUUUGACACCUCUAGCUACAAUGUUGCUCUUUCGUUGAUUCAGCAGUAAAGGCUUACAUUGGGAAAUUCCAUUCGAAUAUAUACACAUCUAAAUCACUAUCAAGCACAGCAGAUCUACAAAAAUUUGCCAGCUCAGAACUCUAUAAAUCAAUAGUAAGUUUCCAAUUCUCUCUGCUACAAUUCGCUGUAGUCAGCUGCUGCAAUUGCACUGAAGAAAUCUUUUCAUAAUGUAGUGAAUCAGUUACCACAAUGGGUGGGCAAACUGCCUUUUCUCUUUUGCCUUUUGGAGAAGUAGAGCCAGAAGUCGCUAGAUAAGGCAAUGCCAUCACCAGAAAAGAAUAAAGAUGGUCAAAGCUUUGAGUUCUUCGGACGCUAAACUAGAGGAUAUGGCUUGUAAAAGCAUUUAAAUCUUGUCGGCGUGCAGUUUAAACUUGCCUCAAUAUUUCACUUUGUUAUAACACGAUCACCAAUAGUCCCCACAAGAACAUAAACCAUUUCUAAAAUGGUGAAAUCUUUUGGAAUCUCUUACCACAAUCUCCCGUUCAACAAUCUUCGAGAUUAAUCGUAUAGUUGUAUGACAAUCCAUACAAAUUCUAAGAUUCUUUAUCACCUGGAUUGUUGCACCGGGAACUGAGUUUAGAAUUCCAAAAGCUACAGCUAGCUUCUCACUGUGGACUUGUAAUGUCAUUCCCUUCUCUUCGUUCUCAACAUCAUGAAGAACUGAUGUUGUAUCUGCUACAUAGCCAGCUUCCUGCAGCUUCACAUAUAGUUCUUCCAAGUAUGCAUACGUCUUCUCAUGUUCAGGAUGUUCUCUGUCCCCAACUAGAAACACAUGAGCUCUACCUUUUAGUUCCACCAGACUGAAACCAGGUGGUUUAGCCAAUCCAUGACUUUGCAUAUAAAUUCUCAUCCUUUUCACAUCAUCCCACCUACCAGCUUCAGCAUAAAUGUUUGACAGCGAGACGUAAUACCCACAGUUGUUUGGGUCUAAUUCAAAUAGUUUCCUAGCUGCAAUCUCCCCAAGCUCCACAUUCUUAUGCAUCCUGCAUGCUGCGAGAAGAGAACCCCAAACAACAAAAUCAGGCAGAGUCUUCAUUUCCCUAAUCAAAUCAUAUGCCCUUGAAAGAAAACCAGCACGCCCCAGAAGAUCAACCAUGCAACUAUAGUGCUCCACUCCUGGAUCUAUGCAAAACCUGUCUUUCAUGGCUCUAAACCAAAACCAUCCUUCAUUUAGAAAGCCAGCAUGACUACAAGCAGCUAAUACCGACACGAAAGUUAUGUAGUUUGGUUUCACCCCCAUCUGAUUCAUCUCAUAGAAGACAUCGAGAGCUUCUCUGGCUUGUCCAUGCAUUCCAUAUCCAGCAAUCAUGGCAGUCCAUGACUUCACAUUCCUUUCUUUCAUUCGAUUGAAUGCUUUCCUUGCCAUUCCAACCCUCCCACACUUGCAAUACAUGUCAAUGACUGAGGUUCCCACAUAUAUAUUAUCCUCCAAUCUCAUCUUAAUAACCUGAUCAUGUAUGCACUUGCCCAGCUGGAGCGCUCCAGAAUGGGCACAAGCCAGCAACACCGUAGACAAAGUCAUAGCAUUAUGAUCAACAUCUGUGUCACUCACCAUCGAACGAAAUGCUUGGAUAGCCUCCGUUGAGAACCCAAGUUGUGCAUAAACUGCAAUUAGCGAAUUCCAAGAAACUACAUCUUUUUCCUCCAUUCCAUCAAACACCUUCCUAGAAAAUCCAACAUUUCCACACUUGGCAUAGGCAUCAAUCAAGGUAUUGCCAACACCCAACUCCCCUUCAAAACCCCGUUUUAUUGCCAACCCAUGAACACUUUCCGUAAUACUCUUAUGCGAAACACGAGAACACGCAGACAAAACCGAAACCAUGGAAACCGAAUCAAGAUAGCACACCUCCUUCUCCGCUUGGCUGCUCCACGUAACGCCACUCUCACCCGCCUCUUCAACCAGGAGCUCCUUAAAAAGCAAUAAUGCAUCAUGGGCACGCUCAUUUUGCACGUAUCCAGUUAUCAUUGAAGUCCAGGACACCACAUUUCUAUGGGGAAUUUCGUCGAACACCUUUCGCGCAUCAUCUAAGUCCCCGCAUUUGGCAUACAUGUCAACGAGCGCAGACGAAACAAAUAUGUCAGCAUUGUACCCAAAGAUCAACGCUUGUUGGUGGGCUUGUUUGCCUGAAGUAAGAUCGCAUAAAGCAGAACAAGAUUUGAUGGCACAUGGAAAAGUAGAACGAUUGGGCUUGAGGGAGAGUUUCCGCACGGAUAAGAAGGCUCGGAGGGCUUCAACGUAGUCGCCAUUCCGGGCCAACUCGGCGAUGAUGGAGUUCCAGGAAUAGACAUUUGUUCUGUCAACGUACUUGUUGAAUAAGGUGGUUGUGAGAUUCAAAUUGGUUGAAUAAAAUCUAACUGAAAUGGAACGCCAUUUUGAUAAAAACUUCAUUCAUUUGCUGCUUCUGUUUUUGUUCUUUUAUUUGGCGAGUUUGUGCCCGCUGGAGAAAUAAGCGACGUCAGACACAGGGGUUUAUGUUAAAAAAAAUUGUUUAAAACAUCCCCCACAUUUGGCCAAAUAAACUUUUUCGUUCUUCACUUUUAAAAUAGUACACUUACAUCUCUUACAAAAUCAAGUCGAUAAAAUUUGAUCGCAAUCUAAGUUUUUGAUCAUUUUUACCUUGAAUCCGUCACGUGACACACACAUGGUCAUUGUUUUAGGAGCAAAAAAGUUGGAUUUUAUUUGUAAUUAAACAAAUGACCUGAUUCAUAUUCACUAUUGCCUCUAAAAAAAUAGGAUCUGGCCUGAAUCAUAUUUAUUUUUCUCCUAAAAUUGUGAAAUUUGACAUAAUCUAUAUUUAUUUUUGUCACUAAAAAAGUGAGAUCUGACCUUUUUAUAUUUAAAAAAUAAUUAUAUGCAUGUCAAGUGGUGAUUUUAGGCUACAAAGUGGUUGAAAAUAUUGGUAGGGACCAAAUUUUAUUAAUUUGAAUUUAUAAGAAAUGUAAAAUUUAUAUUUUAAAAGCGAAGGAUGAAAAAAGUCAUUUGAUGAAAUGUAGGAACUUUUGAACGAAUGAAUCUAUUAUUUGUUUGUUAACGUGACAGGCACGGUGAAAUAUGGGAUUAGGUAUCGUACUUAUGGCCUUUGGUGCAAUUGGUGCAAAAACAACUUUUUAGCUUAAUCCAUUGAGUUAAAUCAGUGUAAUGAACAAAGUUCACACUUACUAUAAAAUUAUACGAGUGUAAACUAAAUUGUGUGAUAAAUAAAACUGUACUGCCGUACUUGAAAACCUUAAAUCUACAUGCCCAAGGCAGGAUCGUGGAUUAUUGCGGAAUAAGGUUCUUGUAACACACAUAACAUUUUAGUGUUACACAUAUAUUACACUAUAUUUUAGGUCAUGCAUGUCCUUUCACUUAGGUCACCUUUUUGGUGUUAUAUCUAUAUACAGUUAUACACCAUAUUUUAGGUCAAAUAUGCCUUUUCGUUUAAAAAUUGUUGGUACAAAUAUUUUUUAUGUUGUUGGCACAUAUGACCUUUCAUCACAUUUAAUGUGUCAUACUUUCAAAAAUAUUUGUCAUGUUAAGAAUGUCGAAUUAUCUUUUAACUUCUAUUGUAAUAUCGUCCUUGAAUUAAGUUCAUAUUACAUUCACAUCCAAAUUUUAGAUUUUGGGGUAUCAUAUUGGAAAGAAAAGAAAAACAUCAUAAUCAAAAUACUAUUUUUAAGAAGUUAACUUUCUGAGAAGUGACAACAAAACUAGAAUGGAGGAAAUAAAACUUUGCAUGGCAUGAAUAUAACACUCAACAAAGGUCAAAGGUUGAGGUUUAAGGCAUAGGAGGGAGCUAUCAUGAAGAAGUUUUGGUCAUGGAUCAAGAACAAUAACUAAAUUCUAUGAAAUUUGAAAUUCAUAGUCGUUGAUUGUUAAGUGGUUGGCUGUGUCGCGCUCCAUUUUUUGUAACAAAAAGCUAUUUUAAAAAAAUGUGUUUUUCAUUUAAAAAAUAAGUGAAAAAAGACCUAAAUUGAGACUUUAAAAAAUUGAACUCAAAAUUUAGUCUAAAAAGGGUUUUUAAGAAAAUAGGAGUUGCCAUUUGAUAUUAAAUUUAGGUGUACCAAAUCACCUAAAAAUAUUUUUUUACUAAAAAUAAAAUGAAAUAAAACCCUUUAUGACAACUCUAGAUAUCAUAAAACAAGAGAAGAUAAGUUCGGGAGUCACGAUUGAAAAAAGAGAAGGCAAAUGUUCGAUCAACUCAAACUUAAGGCGUAUUUUCAACCUAAUCUAAGUUAGUUACGAGGUUUAGUAAAAAUUUUCAUAAUCUAAUUUUUAAACUUAUCACAUUUAGAUGUUUCCUAUAUGGCUACAAAACUAAAUUUAAAGAAAAUAUAGAAAAGAGUCAAAAUGCCCAUUUAAUGACUAAUGGGUACCAAUCGUAUUAAUUGUGAAGUCUCAAAACAAUUUCUUGAAAAGGUCACUGGUAUACAAAAAUGAGACUCAAAAAAAGAAAAUUAAAUUUUAUAUAUAUGGGUAUCAGUGGCAAAAAAAAAAGAAAAGAAAUGCAACAUAAUGAGUACGAGAGACAAAAACUCGUGACACUAUUUUUUUUCUUAUAAAAGGGGUUAAUAGGGUAUUUAAGUUAAAAAACUAUAAUCACCCAUUUCCCAUAUUUGAAAAGUAACUCUUAUAAUAUAAGCAAGCAAAUGAAUUAACUUAUUUUUCUAAUUUUCUAAAUGAAAUGCGAAUCUAAAUUAUAUGACUCAUACAUAUUGGAAUAAAGGGAUAAUAUAAGAGAAAAUAUCAUACAAAUAAGAAAAGCUGCCUAAAAUAGGGAAAAUGCAAUGAAUGACAUACAAAAAAUGAAUUUAAUGCGUAGAUAACCUAAGAAUCUAGCGUUGGACUAGCCAAUUUUUAGAAAUUCUCACUAGCAUUGGACUAACAAUGAGGUGAGUAAGAGCCACAACUAGCGUUGGACUUAGAGGUAACAAAUUUCGACACGACCUGAAAAUAUGAUAGGAACCUAACACGAAAUUAAUGAUUGGGGUUGAAGUUUUGCAGGUUCGGAUUAGAAUCGGGUCGAAUCCAAAAUAAAAUGUCGAAUUCAAAUCGCCUACGGGUUGACCCGAUAACCCGUUUAUAAAUUAAAAAUAAUUUAAUAAAUAUAAAAUAUUUUAUCUAACUAAACUAAGUUAUUCUUUUUUCCCCAAAGGCAUUAACUACAUAAUCCUAAAUGAAUUUUUUAACUUGUGUGAAGUUGGAAUUAUUAUGUUUGGACAAAUGACAUAUUACAUUAUUUUCUAUUUUUAUAGUAUCUUAAUUUGUUUUAGAUCUGGUUUGGGAUAAAAUACUUUUACAAUGUUUUAAUUUAUUACAGGUUUGAUUUGGAAUUGUUUUAUUGAAAUUUUUAUUACUUGAUUAUGUAAUUAGCCUUGUGCGAAAUUGGUUCUAUUAGAAAUUACAGUGGUAAAUUAGUAAAUUAAAAUUAUGUUUCAGGUCAUUCGAGUUGACCCGCCAACCCGAAAUUUUUAGGUUGGCGGGUCAGGUAUCUUGACACGUUUCAGGUUGGCGGGUCGUGUUCGGGUCAGCAUGCUAUCUGUUAUACCUGAGUCUCAACAUGACUCGCUCAUCCGUUUCUGACCCGAUUACCACCCCUAGUUGGACUAGUGUUGUGACAUUAUGCGUUCAUAAUAUAUAAUAAAACAAAUAAAGUAUGAAUUAAAGCAAGUAACCACAUAAGAACACAUAAAAUACAUAACAUAUAAGUAUAAUAUCUAGAUGCAAAAUCCUAAAAAAAGCAAGUAAAAUACAUAAGCAUGUAAGACCAUAGUUAUUAAACCCGGCCCGGAGAGGAAUCCUGUGAAAGAGGUGGGUCAUCGGGUUACUGGUUCAACCAGUGGGUGAGUGGUCCAACCGGUGGGUCACUACAUAUAUUUAAAUAUUAUGUUUUAUAAUUUUUGAUAUGGUUAAAACUCUAUAAUAAACUAUGUUAUAGUAAAUACUCAGUUAGUCCAAUUUAUUAUAGAAUCAUUAAUUCUUAUAAGAAUUAAUAAAACCUAAAUUUAAUUAGUAAUCCGCCAAACUUCAAGUAUAAAAUUUUAUCUAAAUGUAAUUAUCUAGUUUAUUUUUGAAUUUUAAGCACAAAAGGUUAUUAAGAAUAAUAUUUGUUUUUAAAAUGAAUUGUGUAAUAUGUUAUUUUUUAAAUCCAUUUCAUAAUUUAUAAAAUUUAGAGAAUAAUAAAAUUUUAUUAAAAGAUUCCAAACAAAUAUUGUUUUGAAGAAAUAAAAUAAGAAUAAAAAUCUAAUAUAUAAUAUAGAAGGAGUGAAUAAGCACCAAGUGAGUUGCUAGGCUAGUGGUGAGUGCGCGUAGCUUUUAUGCUUGAAGUCUGAGGUUUGAAUCAGUAUUAGAGCAUUUUCUAAUCAUUGUUAUCGCAAAAUCGAGUUCCUUACAAACCUCCGGUUCAACCGAGUUGACCGGUUGAACCUCCGGUCGGUUGAAAAGUCAAUGGGUUUGGUGCACAAACAAUCCAAUUACAAACCCAGUCCGGUUUCAUGGCCGGUUCACCGGGUUGACCGGUUGAACCGUGGGGCCAAGCUGGGUUUAAUAACUAUGUGUAAGACACAUAAUACACAAAACCUAUCUAUUACAAUGGUGGAUCUAAAAUGGGAAAAUAUAAUAAAGUAAAGCUAUCUAUCCUAUCUGUUACAUUUAGGACCUAACUAUAAUCUAAAAUAGGGAAAUAUGACAAAACGAAUCUAUGUAUCCUAUCUAUUGUAUUGGUCUAUCUAAUUACAACUUUUAUAAAAAUAUUACCUAUCUACUAUAUCUUGAGGUCUUUAAAUACCCUCCAAAUGAUUACAGAAUUUAGAUUAAACACACAUAAAAUUGAAUAGAAAUUUAAAAUAAAUAAAUAAAAGAAAACAUGUAAAUACAUGUAAACACAUAAGAGCACCUAAAAUCACGUAAUUAAAAUUCAAAGGAUAGUAGGAGUACCUCCAUUUCGAAGUGGUGACUAAAUCAGGUAAGGUUGCCCUCAAUGAAUGUGGUAGCCUUAACCGUUUAUUGCUUGCUUUCUUUUUGUACUUGACUUGAGGGAGUCGAGAGAGAGGAGUUGGAGUUGUUUUUAUUUUUUGUUGUGUGUAUGAGUGUUUGUGUGCAUGGGUGUGUCCGAGAGGGAGAAGGAGAGGGAGUGAUUAAUGUGUUUUUAAUAAAUUGAAAGGGGGGAUUGAGAGAGAGCUGAGAGAGAGGAGAGAUUUUGUGUUAGUGUGGAGUUGUGUUGUGAGUUGAGGGGAGAAGAAGAGAGGGAGCCAAGAGUUGUUUGUGUGUGCAAGUGUUAAGUGUAAGUGUGUUGUGUGAAUUUUGGAGGAAAUUUUUGAGAAAGAGGGAGAGAGAGAUGACCGAGAGAGGAAUUGGAGUUGUUAUGGAGUGGAUGUAUUUGGUUGUGUCUUGUAAAAUUGAGAUAGAGUUGAGGGAAAAAAAGAAUUGGUGGAGUUGUUGAAGUGAUGAUGGAAUUUGUGCAAGAUAAUGAAAAAGAGGGAUGGAAGGUGGAGUGUUUUUUUAUUAGAGAGUAUAAAAUUUGUUAUGAUUUAUUUUUUUUCUUUUUUUUUUUCUCUCUCUUUUUUUUUUUAUAAAUUCCUCAAAAAAUAAGAAAAACGAGAAAACUCUCAUUAGCAUAUAUGAAAAUGAAUAAUCAAUAAGCAAAUAAAUAUCUUAGAAAAAAAUUAAGGAGCAACAACAAAAUUAAAAAUUUGGUGUCUACAGGCUGUGCACUCGUAUAUUCAAACCUAUUUUGAGAAAUAUAAUUUAUUCUAAAUUCAAAAUAGAAGAAGCUCUUUUAUAACUGUUAAACGGACAUAUGUAUAAGAAAGUUCUGUUUUUUUGUAUAUAUAUUUUUUAAAAAAUAGUGAAUCCAUUUGAUAUGGAGUAGCAUAAUUUGGAAACAUUUUAGGAGUUUUUAUUGAAAAUAUUUUCUUAUUAUUUUUCUAUUUUUACAAUAGCCUUUUUAUCAUAUAUAAAUCACAUUAUAAAAAUACUUUUAAUAAAUAUUAGUUUUCACUUGUUAAACAAUCCAAAAUACUAUGAGUGAAAAUGUGCAAAGUUGUAACACAAAUAAAGGUUAGUUUGGAAGGUGUUUUUUCGGAUGUUUGUAUAAAACUAUACUAUACCUUACUAUAAUAUUCGUAGAAAAUUUUUUGUGUAUUUAAGAAUUGAAAAAAUAAUUUUUCUUUUUCUGAUCCUUUUCUUUUUUCCGCUUUUCUUCCUCCCUCCAUACUGCAACAACCCCACUCUCCUCACUGGCACCAGCAACUCUUUUUUUUUUCUUUUACCUUUUUUUUCUUUCCUCCCUCCCUCUCUUUCUCCCUACUCCUCCCUCUUUCCUCCUCCUUCCUCCUCUCCUUGUCCCCUCCUUUUCCUCGUGACCUUCCCUUCACCUCCCUCUCUCUUUCUAGUCACACAACCAAAGCUGGCCAUGGCUCUGGUUGCGCGACCAAUGGGGGAGGGGGAGGUUAUGGGAUGGAGAGGUGGAGGGUUUUGGGAGGGAGGCGAGGAGGCGAAGAGAUCCGGGAAGGGGAAUAAGAGGUUACGGGGAAAGAAGGGGGCGAGAAGAGGAGGAAAAGGGGGAGAGGAGAGGAAGAGGAGGAGGGAGAGAGAGAGGAAGGAAAGAAAAGGGAAAAAAGAAAAACUCUUGUUGGUGCCGGUGAUGGCACUGGUGGAUGUGGCGGUCGGCGGUGGAGUUGAUGGUAGACUGAGGUAUUGGGAGGAAAAAGAUUAAAGAAGGGAAAAAAACUUCUUUUUUUUUUGUGUGAUUGGGUAUUUGAGGCGUAUAUUUAAAAAAUUUUGGGAAGUUUCUUGAGACACUCUAGAUAAAGUUGUUAAAAAACUUGUAAAAGAAAAACUAGGUAAAAAAAAGCCUAGGUUCCAAAGAGACCCUGAUUUUAAAAGAACACAAACAUAGAAAGGCAAUUUUAUUAGGGUAAAAAACAAAAAAAACCCCUGUGGUAAACCUAAUACACAGAAAAGCCCCCCAUAAUUUUAAUAUAUAUAACACGACCACUCAUGUUUUGAACUAAAUUGUAAAGGUGACGGAAUCCGUUAAACUUAACGGAAAUGGACAAAAUGACCAAAAUGCCCUGAUAUAAUUAAGCAAAAGACAGUUCAAAAAAAUCAUUUGUUCUAUUCUCUAAAUAGAGAGAAUUGAGGGUUAAGGGGUAGAAUAGGUAUAUUUGAUAAAAAUUAGGAAUAAAAUUUUUUUUUGAGGUUCCAAUAAGUCAUCUCCGUUAAGUUUAACGGAUUCCGUCACCUUUACAAUUUAGUUCAAAACAUGAGGUGUUGUGUUGUAUAUUUUGAAACCAUAGGGGGCUUUUUUGUGUAUUAGACUUACCACAGGAAAUUUUUUUGUUUUUUACCCAUUUUAUUACACGGAAAUGUGGAUUGGACAAUUGAGUCAAUUCGGACUGAAUGAUAAUAUGAUACUGGAGCGUCAAAAUCAUUAACCAUAUAUAAAAUUACAGACAACUAAAAAGGGAUAUUACUCUUAUACUUCAAAAAAUUCCAAGUGGAAAGGUUAAUUUUUAUCAUGAGAAUUAAGAAUUAAGAUUAAUUUCUUAGACAUUAACACUAUAUAUACUGUAGUAGAUUUUUAAGAUUUAAGAAUUAAUGAAAACAAACCGCGGCGGCUCCGACCCACGUGAAUGUCAUUUCAUUUCGUUUUCGUAAUAGGAUACCAUAUGACCCGCCCACUUUUCCUACUGCUCCGAUGAUGUCCAUUGACUUUAUUGCUUGUUUAAGUUAUGGCCACAUGGAGAAAUUAGCCAAUAUCACAUGAUGAAAGCUUUUUACUUGGAUUUUUCCACUUUUGACGGCACUUGUUUUCUAAUUUGUGAAUAGUGUAAUUUGUGGUGGUAGUCAAACUUAAUGUGAGAAACACUUUUCAUUUAAAAUAGUAAUGGUACAUGCACUUUACCAAUAUAAAAUAUAUCCAACUAAUUGUGUCUUCUUCACUUGUAAGUUGUAAACAAAUAGGAUUAAGAGAAAUUGAUAUUAGCCCUUUAUCUAUGUGGAAUAUUGACAAAAAUAUAGAUGAGUUGGGCAUCGCAAUGCAAGAGGCAGAACUCUAACUAAUUGGUUACACGUUUUGGAUUAAACAGUUUCACGUAAGGUGAAAUUCUCCCUCAAAAUAGUGCAGAUGUUGUCUAUUGAUAAAUGAAAAAUAUUCUCAAAUUAAAACAAAUCUUAGAAUAAUUUAAGCUUUAAAUAUUCUAGAUCACAAAGUCUAUAUUUUCUUAAUUAAUGCAAUAAAUCAUCAUCCUAAUGACACAUACAUAUGAUUUUAAUAUCUGAUGAUAAAGCAAAAAGCUAAGAGUUGAUGUAAUAUUUAGAUUUUAAUGUUUAGAAAAAUGUCUUAGAAAAAGUGGAUUCGCCUUAUCAACUCCAUGACUUCUCUCUUUUGUUAUAUAGCAUCUGUUGUUUUGUUAAUUCUUUAUAAAAUUUGCAGGUAAGUAGAGUGUGUCUUUAACACUUAUACGUGAAAUUACUAAGUAUAUCUAUAUCCAUAUUGAUUCAUAUUAUUUGUCACACUUGGCAAUUGUAUUUUUACUUGAAAAAAUUAACUAAAACAUAAUAUAUAUUUUCAUUUUAAAACAUUCUAAAACAAGUUUUGACAUCAAAAAAAAUAAUAAUAAAGAGGCAAGAAAACCAAGCUUAAAUUGAAAAAGACGAAAGUGCCUGGUUUGUGAGUCUAAUGUUUGUCAACUUUUUCAAUCAGUCCGAUACAAUUGGAACAUUUUCAGUCUCUCUUCCUAGCGUGUUAUCACCAAUAGUGGGCUACUGACACGUUUGCCAAUUUUGAGGCCUUAAAGCCGCCUCUGUGAUUUUCCUCCUCAGAAAACCAGUUUUUGGAGAAAAGCAAAUCAAAAAUUGGUUAUUCCUAGGCCGAUUUCAACCUUGUUUCUCCUCUUUUUGUUUCUCUCACAAUCACACACAAAAAAACAAGCCCCAAAACAUACAAGACUCUUCAUGGUUGUUCCAGAACAAUAUUCUUGAUGUUUACCUCCUCAAAUAUCAGCAAGUUUAGUUCCAUAAUCAGCAAUCUUUAUUGGGUUUUUUCCAUUUUCAUUGAUUUCCCUGCAAUGAGAUGAUUGGGCACUUAACUUCUUCUCCAACUUGUCAGGCUUUUUUCAUUUCUUCACCCCUUUUAUGCCCAUGUAAGGAAAGUUUCAGUGUCAGUUUGUUUUCCAGUAAUUUCCCUUUAUCAAGGAGGAGGAAUUCAAUUUCCUCUAGGAGGAAAUGGAUAAUGCUACGGGGUUGUAUCAGUGGAGGAGGAGGAGGAGGAGGAGGAGGAGGAGGUGGUGGUGGUGGAAGUCAUCAUAAUUUGAGGGCUAAAGAUGUCGUGAGUCCAGCAGCAAAAGGGACUAGAACCAUUGUACUGAAAAGAUUGUCUGAUGAGAAUGAAUUGAAGGAUUCUUCAGCGUCUUCAUCUAGAAAUGUUAUUAGUAGCAUAAGUACUAGUAGUAGUAGUAGUAACAAUUUUGUCGGGUUUGAGGAAGACCCUCUUGUAGAUAAGUUGAGGACUCAAUUGGGAGUAAUUCAUCCACUUCCAUCACCGCCGAUAAAUCGGCAUAUUGUGGGGUUAUUUGUGUUCUUUUUCUUUGUAGGAGUAGCGUUUGAUAAAUUGUGGACUUCAAGAAAGAGGAAUAAUAGUAGUAGAAAUGGUGGUAAGUUGGGUGGGGAUAUUUGGAGGUCAUCAGUGCAGGUGCCAACAAGCCUUUCGACGUUUUUGGAAAAGGAUUUGCAGAGGAAAGAAUCAGUUGAGUGGGUAAAUAUGGUGUUAGGGAAGUUGUGGAAGGUUUAUAGAGGUGGGCUUGAGAAUUGGAUCAUUGGUUUGUUGCAACCUGUUAUUGAUAAUCUGAAAAAGCCUGACUACGUUCAGAGGGUUGAGAUAAAGCAGUUCUCCCUCGGGGAUGAGCCAUUGUCUGUUAGGAGUGUUGAAAGGAGGACUUCGCGCCGUGUUAAUGAUUUGCAGUGAGUGGAUUUUGAUUCAAUAGAAACAUUAAUUGUUUAUUCCUUUUUCUAUAAGGUGGCUGCUUUUGAGUCUUUUGUUAUUUUCUUUGCAUUGAUGAUUUAGCUGCAAGGUCACUUUUUAUCAUAUUAUCACUCUUCCAAUAUGGUUUCAUGGAUUUGAGAUUGAUAUUUGGGUAAAUUGUCUUUCACAUGACACUAUAAUAAUCUAGAGGAAAGAACAAGGAAAAAUGUUGCUUAUUGGUAUUAUAUUCACGUAGCUCUUAUUACAGCAGACAAUAGAAAUAUUAGUGCUUAAAUAUGGCAUAGUAGUUGCAAAGAAAAAUAAGGAGGAACAGAUAACCUGGCAAUAGUAGAAAUGACAGAAAAUGGAGUGGUCAUUCUAAGCACCGGCAGUUGUAGAUCUGUUGUAUGGCAAAGAAUUUUUUCUGUCUGAAAGAGAUCCAUUUACCUCAAUGUAAUGCACCUUUUAUACUUACAUGUCAUAUCUUAGUUUGAAGUUGCUAAUACCUUUUAAAAUAGAUUGAGGAAUUACUAUAGAGUGCCUUGUUAACAAAUGCUGUUCUGAGAUCUUGGCAUCUUAUAUGCCAUUAAGAAGCUGGAAGCUACAGAACUUAUAGUAUCGCUUUCAACUCGGUCUACCAUCUGAUAGCAUCUUUCAGAGAAUGGCAGGAACCAUUGUCUGAAUAGAAUUUGUUGAAAACAGAUAAGAAUCAAGUAAACCUCUUGGCAAGGGAGUUUUAUCUGGAAUAUCAUAGAUUCAAGAACUUUAUUAGGCUUGGUGUUCCAGAUUGACUUCCUCCCUAGAACCCUCUCAAUCAUGGUGAUUCCUUUUCGUACCAUUCUGGUAAAGAUGCUAUGGUGGAAAUGUAACACAGCACUGGAACGGUAUUAAAUUCUGUGUAAGUUACCCUUCUCCCACCAAACUAUUCUUCAAAUAUUGGUGGACAUUAGAUUGUGAUGAGGAGAAAUUUUUUGUAUUCUGGACUGGACUUAGGGGCUUUUGAAAACUGCCUGACUUGUCAGUUCCUGUUUCCAUUGCUUCAUGGACAAUCUUGAUGACCAGAAAGGUUCCCUAAAAUCCUAAUAAAGUUUAUCUUGAUCCAUCAAGUGGGGUAUUGACUGCAGAAUUGAACCUAAUGAAUCUUGGCACUGUCAAUUGCUCGACAACCUGUACUGGUAAAGCUAAUUUAGGUCUAUUCACGACUCAAGAAAAUCUGUUCCAAUCUAAACGUGGAUAUAUCAUGUACAAGGAGUUGGCAGUAGUUUGUCAUUUUUCAAAUGAAUGUCUAUUGAUCACAUAUUUCAGUCAUAAUAACUCAGAAGAGGAUGAGGAAACAAAGGAAAACUUAGCUUGUGUGGGACAUGACAGUAUUCUCUGCUGAUUCAGUGUCCGUCUCCUUAGUAUUGCAUUAUACAGCAUAAAGUUUUUUUACAAAAUCUACCAUUGUCUACCUAGACUAGAUCUUUAUGGUUGGGAAUAUUUGGCUUUGCAUCUGACUUUGGUUUCUUUGUACUUUCAAGGUACCAGGUUGGACUUCGUUACACUGGUGGUGCUCGUAUGCUGUUAUUACUAUCACUGAAUUUCAGCCUUGUUCCCAUUUCUGUGCCUGUUGGUAUUCGGGAUUUUGACAUUGAUGGGGAACUGUGGGUGAAACUGAGAUUAAUACCAACAGUGCCCUGGGUGGGAGCAGUUUCUUGGGCAUUUGUUUCUCUUCCAAAGAUAAAAUUUGAACUAUCACCAUUUCGCUUGUUCAAUCUGAUGGGUAUGCACUACCUUUAUGCUUUGAGGUUUCAUGCUUUUAUGUUUUCAUUCCAUUUCAAGAGAAAACAUUUGUUGUCAACAAAUGGAAGGUUAUAGUGAAAAAGUCCAGAAUCUCAUUAAUGCUUGUGACUUGAUUAUGUCUAGUUUUUAUCUUCAUACAUCAAAUUUCAUUGGUAGAGGUAGCAUUUAUAAUGAAGAAACAGCCAAACUUGCUCAUUCAAAUAGAAAGCCUUGUGGACACUUUUGAAAGCUUGGGAAUGUUGUUUUACCAAAUUUGAUUGAAACGGUUAACUAGUAGGGGGAUUUGAGUGUGAGACUAAGCCUUAAAAUUGGAAUAGCCUGAAAGAACUUAAAUCCAGCAGCUGAUGUUGGUUAAUGUCCUGUGCUUUUCCUGCUUUGACUAGUAGUUUUGGGAAUUUGUUGUUCUUUCUUUCACACUUGCAUUUAUAUCCUUGUUAACUAGUCAUCCCAGCUCAUAUUUGUGCAUCUCUACAUUAAAUAGAACAUGGGUUCACUCUUAGGUUUCUCUUUCAGUUGCUUGUCUUUUCAUCACCUUAUCCUAUCUCCCACUAUAUGACGUGCUUAAUUUAUUAAAUUAACUUACAGCAUUCUCUCCAGCUAAGAGUUGAAAAGUUGAGCUUUAAUGUCCUAGAGUAGUGCAUUCGGAAAUUUUGAUUAAGAAUUCCACUCCAGUUGGAAACCGUUUAAUUAGAAAUGAGGAGGAAAUACAAGAGAAUAAAGACUGUAGGAAGGAAAAAGAUAUGGAGUAAGCUUAAACCUGCAUGUUUUGUCCCCAAUUUUGCUAAAUGACUAUGAUAAUUGUGUAGAAGUGUAUUUCAUGGAAGUCAGUAUGAUAUGAGUAUCGAUCGGAAGAAACAAAAAAUGACUUAUCAUAAUGCAAUCAUUUAAAUCUUUGGAUAUCUAAUAGUUGAAAUAUUGUAGAAUCAUGGUUAAAUGGAGAAAACCUUGGUUGAUUAUAUGAAUUCAACAUCCUAGCUACCUGAAGGUUGGAUACGAACCUUGUUAUUUGGAGCCUAAACCAAAUUGUCGUGGAAAAUAUGGUCACCAGAUUAUUUGCGCCUGCUUUUGGCCACUGAAUUUUUAUUUUUUUUUUACUGUUUUGGGUCAAAUCACCCACUUAACUUCUAGAAUAUUACACUAUUAAUCAUUCCAUCUAAUUUUGGGGUAGACUCAAAAGGACUAGUCUAAUCGCAUGCAUGGGUUGUCUGACUUGUUGGUCAGAGUUAACCCAAAAUCUGACUCUAAUGCAAUGGGCAAAGUAUACAACUUUAAAGUUUGAGUGCAUUAUUUUAAAACAAUAGUAGUUUACGACCAAAAGUUUGCAAAAUGAAAAGUUCAGUGGAGUUAGUUUGGCCUUUGUGUUCUGAUAGGUAGCUGUACUUAUAUAUUGUUUUUAUUUAAAUCACAUUGCAUGUGUUAGUUUUGAACUGGGGAUAUCUCUUUGGACUUUGAUUGUUCUUGUAGCAGAUUAGAGGUGGCAAAUCAACCCACUUAAUUAAAUUUACCUAUACCCGCCCAUGAAUAGAUGGGUAUGGGUAUCUUAAAUUUUUGUAUAUGGGUAUAAAUGGGUUACCCAAUAAUACCCAUUUAAUAAAUGGGUAUUAUUGGGUAACCCAUCAAACCCAAUUAACCCAUUUAGAAUUCUCUUCCCCUAAAUCUCUUCUUUUUCCCCACCCAUUUUUUUUUCAAAUUUUUCAUUUUGUCAUGAUGUUAACUACUUUUGUUUCAUUAUUAUUAUUAUUUGUUGGUUUUAUUUUAUUAUUUUACUUUCUCUUUGUUUGUUAACUUGCUCAUUUUUCGGCAUUACCAAUUUAUGAUAAAUUUGAACCUCUUUUCUUAUCUUUCUAAAAUGAAAUUUUAAAUUUAUAUAUGAAAAAAAUGUUAGGGGUUCAAAAUUUUUGGAUUAAAUUUUUAUAUUAACUUUUAUAGUACUUAGUUUAAAUUUUUAUAUUCUUAUUAUUCAAUUAUUAAAUAAUAUGUAAUUUUGUGAAAUAGAGUAUAAAUGAAAAAAAAUUGGUAAUUAGGCUUAUUGAACAUUAUAAGUAAAUAUUUAAAACUAAAGAUGGAUACAAAGAGCAGUAUAAAUUGAUAACUUAGUUUGCAAAAAUGAAUUUAAAUGAAUUUACAACAAAUUAAAAUAAAUGGGUUAUAAAUGGGUAAUUGGGUUACCCAAUUCAUUUUUUGACUUACCCAUUUAUACCCAUCUAAUUAAAUAGGUAUAAAUGGGUUGACUCACUUAUACCCAUUACCCAUUUUACCCAAUCCAAAUCCGCCCAAGUCACCCAUUUUGACACCUCUAUAGCAGAUAUAUGAUUAUCAUGUCCUUGUGAGCUUCUUCUUCUUGCUUGAAACCUUGUAGUUCCAAGAACUAAAUAUAACGGGGUCUAUUUCAUUCAAUGUUUAUUCAAAUUCAUUGGAUAAUCAUGAGCGUGACAGUUGGAUGCAUAGUACCUUUUCUAUUGAUACAUGAAUAUUAGCAUGUAUUUGGCUAAUCUAUAAAAAUGUCAUCAAAACUUUUCCCUGAUCACCUCAUUGGUACGAGUUUUGUUUGAGUUUUAUCUUACGGUAUUUGUAAAAUUCGGUUUUGAUGACAGUCAUUGGUUUUUUCCUUUCCUUUAUCAGUUAAAAAGUUCGUAGUAGUAAUUUUUGAUUGAUGCAAUUCAAAAUCUUGUUAUUCUGAAUUCGAGUUGCCACUAUUCUAAUGCCUAUUCCUUUCUCCUUCGCCGUCUUUUAUAUGUGCGUGGAACAACUCCAGCCAUUCCUGUCCUCUCCAUGUAAGUAGACAUUUCUCUGUGGUAUCAUUAUCUUUUUGCAUAAGAUUAUUAAGCACAAUAACUUUUGUGCUCUCUCUCUCUCUGAAGUCACUGUUUUAACAUGCCAGGUUUCUGAGAAAACUUCUUACUGAGGAUCUACCCAAGCUAUUUGUUCGUCCAAGGAAGAUCGUUUUGGAUUUUGAGACAGGGAAAGCAGUUGGCCCUGUUCCAAAUGAUAUCAAGUCUGGAGAAGUUCAAGAAGGAAAUAAGGACUUUGCAGGAGAAUUAUCAGUGACUCUUGUAGAUGCAAGAAAACUUUCAUAUUUUUUCUAUGGUAAGAAAAAUCUUCCGUUCAUGAGCCACACCUAGGAAGUCUAUUUGAGUUGUUUCUUCUCUCUAAUUCUUAAUAUCUUCUGUGUGAGAAUCCAUCAUCAAGUGGAUCUCUGAGUGGUUAUAUGUUUAAAUGGUUACCACUGACUUUCUUAGGAGAGCUUGGCAUAAUCAUUUUUGCCUUCCCUUUCCCUUUACCAUUCAGGCAAAACAGAUCCAUAUGUUAUAAUAUACCUAGGUGAUCAAGUGAUACGCAGUAAAAAGAACAGUCAAACUACAGUCAUUGGACCUCCUGGUGAACCUAUAUGGAAUCAGGUCAGUUACAUAGUCUUUGGCAAAAUGGAUUUCAAACACUUGAAGCUACUUAUUUAUCAACACUUGUAAGCAUCUUGUAUGCAGUUUAGCACUUGCUAGUUAUUAUAAUGCCUCUUUGCCCUUUGCAGGAUUUUCACUUGCUAGUUGAGAACCCUAGGAAACAGAAGUUAUACAUUGAAGUAAAGGAUUCCCUUGGUUUUGCUGAUCUCACGAUCGGUACAGCAGAGGUAAAGGGCUAAAACUUGCUAAUAGUUGAAUUAAGCUUUUAUGUGAACAAGGAAUUCCAAUAUCUGCUGUUUCAAGAUAGUGCACAUAUUACAAAAACCAGGAAGGAAAAAGACAAAAAAAAAAAUACACUUUCAGCUCAACAUACAAAGCUUGUGAAUAUUUAAUGUCAGGCUAUUAUCCGUUAGAUAAAAAUCUUCCAAAUUGACCAAACUUUACUCCUUUUCUUCCUUUUCCUUUUUCAAAUCUGUAGGAGAUGCUUAGGUUAAUUGUUGAUGCUGGUGUCAGUAAUAUUUUCUCAAGUAUUAGUGUGAACUGAUGGGUGGUUCUGGACUUUUUGGGAACAAGUAAAGAAUAAUGCCAAUGAGAUGGAAUCAAGUCAUUUCCCUCAGAUUCAAGAGGUUAUGUUAUAGGAAGCACCCAUGCAUUAUCUAAAAUGGUGAAUUGGUUUCCAUAGAAGCUGUGUCCAUCAUACCAUUGGGAUAUAUCUAGAGGUGGCAAAAUGGGCGGGAUGGGCGGGAUUUGCUUGGGUUUGUGAUGGAACCGGGUCAUAUGGGUUUGGGCCCAAUCUUACCCAUAUGUAUUUUGGGACUAAGUUGGGCGGGAUCACUUUGGGAUGGGUUUAGAUUGAUCCCGCCCAAUACCCAAAUCUAUUUUCUACAUAUUUUUUUCCUUUAAUUCAUUUUUAUUUUUUAUAUAAUUUUAAUAUUUUUGAUUUAUUAAUUUUUUUUAAUUUUAUUAAAUAAACAUGCAAGUGCUUUAUACUCAGGAUUCCCAUCAAAAAUUGGAUUAACAAAUAAAGGAAAAAAUAGAUAUACAGUCAUAUUCCAACAUAUAUCAAGAUGGCCAAGGUACUUAAGGUAUUGAAUAUUUAUUCUCAUCAUUGUCCAAAGAUGACAGGUCUAAAUUGACUGAAAUGUUGAAAAUUCUUGUGGAUAAUGACUAGGAAAACUACUAGAUUAUAUUCUCUAGUAUGACUAUAAAAAUUGUUAAAGAUAAUUUUGAAUCUAAGAGUCCGUUUGGAUUGGCUAUUUUUUCAAAAAAUAAGUUUUUCAAAUACAAUGUUACAGUAAUAUACAAUAACUCAAAAAACAUCCCAUCCAUAUUAGUAUAUCAAAUAUUUCAAAAAAAUUUUAUAGUAAAAAUUUUUCAUAUACACUGCUAUAAUAAAAUAUUUCAAAAAUACCCCCCAAAAAUAGUUAAACCAAACAGAGCCCUUGUUAUUUGAGCCCAAUGGGUACCCAAGUAUUUCCCAAGUAUUCCCAUCAAUUAAUGGGUACAAUUGGGAUUUGUCCCAUUUUAAACCCAAUAUCAAAAUCCAAUACCCAUCCCGCCCAAAGUCCCCAUGGGCAUGGGUAACCCAUUGGGACUUGGGACAAAUUGCCACCUCUAGAUAUAUCUUAUCAUUCAAGAGGCAUCUUGAAUUGUGUUUAUGCAUCAAUGCCUCUCGAGGUAUACAGACAAAUUUAGCUGUCAUCUCAUUUUCAGAUGGCCUUAGGGCAGCCCUCUAUUAGAAAAAUUUCAAGCCUAAUUUUUUAUAGGAAGUAACCACCUUUUACAAACUUAGUUAGUCAAAAUUUAGACUUUCCUUUCCCAUUAAAGCCAGCACCUUAUACGUAAACACCACUUAAAACUGUGUUAUCCGCUAAUGCGGGAAGAGUGUUUCUGACCACUUAUUACAUAUUCAUUCACUCUCAAUUGUACUCAACUUCUCAUUAGUUUUUCCCUGAAUCCAGCUGGCAAUGAGGCUCUGAAAUGAAGAGAAAACAUGGUUAAAGCUCCUUAUAGUUGUGUUGAUGUUAAAGCAAAAUGUUUAGAUUAUAUUGAGCUUUCCCCUCAGUUUAAUGUAAGAAGUAGAUUUUACACUUAAAACUGUUAUUGGAAAGAUGGCAUAGAAACACCUCUAUGCCUUUGAGUAGGUGAUUUGCCAAAAAAGCAGCAGUUGCUGUCAUACAAAUAUGCAAGUCCACUUCACAUUUUUGCGAUGAGAUCACUCUUGGCUGACCCUUUUAUAUGGACACUCACAUGCUGUCUGUGAGUUUGUUGCCAUUUUGCUUGAGCUAGGUUCAUUCACAAUAAAGAGUACUUUCUUUCAGGUCUCUCAUUUCUUAUUUCUAUGUUUACCUUUAUAUUCUUUUGUUUUCUCAGUUACAACAUUGUUUGUGAAGUAAUACUGAAAGAUAGCCGAAACUUUUUAACUUCUUAGGCAGUUUUCUAUUCACUCAAAAAAAGCUUCUUGCAUUACUUUAAUGUGUAACUUACCAUGCAUACUUUCGUUUUAGUUUAGAAAACAUUCAAAGGGUGUGCAAGAAGCUAAGCAGGGUGUGGGAAUUUCAUUAUCCCUCAUUUUAUCAGCUUCUUUCCCUGUCAGCUCUUAGAGAUACAAACUUGGAACUAUCUUUUUAAGUUAUUUCUAGCGAAGUCUAUUUGUGUUUAUCCACUCCAACAUUUUUCUCUUCCUUCUGUAUAUCCAGAGUAUACAUGAAACUAAUAGUAUGGUUUAAUGUUGGUUGCAGGUUGAUCUUGGAUCUCUAGAAGAUACUAUACCUAAAGAUAGAAUUUUGGUCCUCCGAGGUGGAUGGAGACAGUUUGGAAGGGGAUCUGCUGGCGAACUCCUUGUGAGGUUAACCUAUAAAGCAUAUGUUGAGGAUGAAGAAGAUGAAAGAACUGAGGCUAAGUUAAAGGAUGGAGAUGCUUUGGAUGAUGAUAUAUCUGACAUUGAUGAACUAGAUGCUAUGUAUGAGCAGAAUGGACUGGAUUCAUCAAGCGCAACUGAUAAAGAAUCAUUUAUGGAUGUUUUAGCAGCGUUAAUUGUCAGCGAAGAAUUUCAAGGGAUAGUUGCAUCUGAAAAUGGAUUUAAUAAAUCUUUUGAUAAUUCAAAAAAUGGAUCCAGCUCUAGAUUGGCAGGGACUACAAUUGGUUCUGUUCGCCCAAAUUCUGAUAGUGGUUCUAGAAGCUCUGGAGGUAUCUUACAUUGAUAGUCAUCUUUUUUCAUGCUCAGAAAUUGAAUUUCUAACUUCAAAAUUUUAGUACUUUCUCUUCUUUGUUGAAGCAUCUUAGAAUAUUUAUUCUUUGCAGGAUCAGCUUUACUUUGGUUAGCUGCUGUUACGAGUGUUGCUGUCCUAAUUGCUAUCAAUGUGGGUGGUUCGGGCUUUUUCAAUCCUUGAUAUCAUUGGGUCAACCCAGGAAAAAUAUUUUCAGCUUCUUUAGGUCCAGCUACCAUGUAAAUCUCCCCUUGUAUUCUUGUUGACAAAGCCUGCAGUUGCGUCAAUGUUCAAGUGGUUACUGUGCCCGAUCUAAAUUGCGGGGUGAGUCUCUUUUGCCAACAACAUCCAUUGUGUUAUUCUGGCUUUUUCUUUUCUUCCAUGCAUCUCCUGUAAAAGUGAUACAAUGUGUUCUGUAAAGCAGUCAGUUUCUUGUCUACAUAUCUAAUGGUCAGAUUGACAAGUUUAAGAAUAGCAUGAUACGAGACAAGUAGAUAAUGACACAGUUUGAAGGAUGACACACUUGUAUGUGAUGAUUCUCUGCUCCUUGUUUGUCGAGUCUCAGCUGGUGUAGCAAUAUCUUUUCAUUUGUGACUUUUAAGGCCCUGCUAUUCAAUGAUAUGUUCUUAAAAUUUAUCCUCCUCGUCGUUCAACUCCAAUAAAACUUCAAUCAACAGCUUGGUUCCAUGUCUCUUGCUUGCUUCAAAUAUACAAAUUAUCCGUUGAUAAAAUACGUGGGAUUGAACUCAUAUCCAUCUACAACUAGUUCUCAACCCAAAGUAAUGUAUGCUGUAUUUCCCAUUAAUAAUAGCAUAGGUGUGUGCUGUUUUGCUUUUGAAGUUGUUCUUGAGACCUUUCACAUAUGGUCAAAGGAUUUUUUUGGAUUGAUGAUGGUUUUACCUAUUAUUGCUUCUUGUAUGCAGGCUGGCAAAGUUUCUUUUUGAAUAAAGAGAGGAUUGGUGCAGCUUGUAGGCUGAUUUUUACUUUAACCUUUGUGUCUUCUGAUUCAUUUCUAAGAUCAUUGACUUGAGGAAGAGAGAUGUUCUUUUGGCGGCAAUUAUGGAAAUAAACUUCUAUGUUUUUUUCCCUAUUAUAGCUUAUACUUCUUUCAUCUUUUUGAAAAUUUCUGUUGUACAUAUGAUAUGACUGCCUGUAGAACAACAUCUAGCUGCUGCCCUUCUUACCUUGCCAUUUGAAUGAAAAAAUAUGUACAUUGAUUUAUCUCAAAUGCAAGAAUUGCAAUUUUACCAAGAUCAUACUUGACAGUGAAUGUUUCAUCCACAAAAAUUACUUAAUCUCUCUAGCAAUGUUAUCUAUGCAAGUUAUUAGUGGUAGAUCAUGCCUCUUGAAUUAUACUUUAUAUGUAUAAAUAAAGACACAACCUAGGACUUGAGAGAAAAUAUUUACAAAAGGGGGGAAAAAAAAGCAUAAUAGAGGGGGAAUGAAGGGCUGUUUUUUUUUUUUUUUUUUUGUAUUUUCUUUUUAUUUUUUAUUCUACAGAAUCAAUAAUGAUUCCUCAUUUACCUGCUUUAUGACUUGAACCAAGUAAGGGGCUGUUUGAUAAUGUUUAUGUUUCUGAAUUUUUGGUCUUAUAGUACUAAAAAUGAAGUGAAACACUUGUUCUGAUUUUUGUGAAAUGUAGAUUGCAAAACGUAGUUGCUUUUGUUAAAAAUUCAAGGAAAUAAAUACCAAAAAUAAGUGCAUUUGUUACUAAAUUUUAUUUUUUUUGAGCAAAUGAAGACGAAUGUUUAAUCAAGCAAAUUAAAUACCAAAAAUAAAUGUGUUUGCUUCAGUCUGGAUUGCUAUCUUUUGGAAUUUUUAUAGAAAAAUAUACUGUAUCAAUUUGUGUAUGUGAGGUAAAAAAGUGAUUGAAAAAUGAGUUCACAGAAAACGUAAAAAUUUUUGGUGCAGUUUUAUAUUUUUUUUUCAGAGCAAAUGAAGACUAAAUAUUUAAUCAUUAUAGAAUUAGUUCUUUUUUCUACUACUUGAAAUGAUUUUCGAAUCCUCAUCUACAUAUACUUGGAGACUAUAAUUUUACAUCCUCUAACCUUUGUUGCUACAAGCUAUUAUCGAGUUGAUACAAUUAGUAAGUACAAGUGUACAACAUCUAAAACCAAAUAAUAAUCACUCAUCAAGCACGAAAAAUCAACCCUACCAAUAACAUUGGAGUUUCUAGUUUAAUUUUUCACAUGAGUAUGGGUUAUGGCAAUUUGUAUGGCUAAAACAAAAAUUUAAAUAUGUAAAAUAUAUAUUUGUUGGACACUGAGUGGAGAGAAAGCAUAUAGGAUAGACUUAUUGUUUUAUUCAAAAGUACUCUGUGAAAUCUACUCAAGUUAAUCUUAACAAAUACAAACACCUAUAACAAAGGGAAAAUAGAGUGAUAGUAAUGUUAGAAGAUAUUAGUGAAGUGUACUGAAAAUGCAUAAAAAAAAAAGUCUAUUAUUAUCAACAACAUUCUUAUUACCUAUUUAAUAAUUGUCAAAAAAUGGAACACACGUAAUUGUGACUUCUUUUUUAAAAUAAAAAAGUUAUUAAUUUAACAAAUUGAUAUAGCAAUAUAUUAUUCUGUCCUUUUUUUUUUCAAAUUUGAUAUAUAUGAGAUAAAAUGGUCAUUCUAAAAAAAUUAAAAAGUGGUUGAAAAGCUUGUAUAGAUGAUAUUGCAAAAAUGCCUUUCAAGUCAUAUCCAAAGUCCAACCAAACAGAGCCAAGGAACCAUUCCAAAUCCGGGCUUACAAUUCCGAUUCCAAUUCUAGUUAGGCAAUCCCGUGCUAGCCAAACGGCUAAUUAGCGACAAUAAUUAUUGUCAAAAUCAUUAUAAAAAAAAGGGAUAAAUAAGGACAAUAUAUUGUCAAUUGGAAAAGGACUCCUGCAGCAAAUCGAAGCUCUCUGGCGUAUCCAGUUCUCUCCAAUUCAACUCGACUGUGUUUUAUCAGGAAGUAAGUACCCAAAAUUUCAGUUUUAUUCUCAUAUAGGUAUGGUCCAUUGAGCUCGAGUUUGUUGAAAGAAAAUGCGCUUCAAUUUCUGUAGAAAUUUGAAGUUUCGUUUGCGAGAAUAUCAUAGUAGUUAUGGUGUAAUUUUUUGUAAUAGACCAAGUUGUAAUGGCAGAGAUUUUGUUUCCAGAAGCCCUUUUGGAAAUUGUGGAGUUGCUGCAUUUUAUUCAUCAGAAAACACUAAUCUUGAUCUACAUUUGAACCCUGAGAAAGAUUCUGGGAAAUAUGUCAGAGAAGGUGAUAGUCAUGGUACUAGAAAUGGGUAUUCUAGAGUUCAAGAAAUGGGCUGGAAAGAGGGUUGUGGGUUCGGGAAGAGUAGCUUAAAUGCAGAGGAGAAUGGAGAAAGAAGUUGUCGAUUUGAUGAGUUUGAGGUUGAGGGUUCGGACGAGGACGCGGAAAAUGAUGUUGAUGGUGAUGGGGUGGAUAAUUUUCGGAUUUUGGAUUCGUAUACUGGAAAUAGAAGUCAGAAGGAAGAUGUUUCGAGGAGAGUUAUGGAUGAUGUGGAAGAUGAAUUAAGACACCCUCUAGUGAAAGAAGUAUGUAGGUUAAUUGAACGUAGGUCAGAAUGGGGUCCGAGGUUAGAGAGGCAGUUGAGGACGUUGUUGAGAAGUUUGAAGCCACUGCAAGUUUGCGCUGUACUAAAGUGUCAGUCUGAUGAACGUGCUGCUUUGCAGUUCUUCUACUGGGCUGAUAGGCAAUGGCGAUAUCGGCAUCACCCGAUUGUUUAUUAUGGAAUGCUGGAAGUUCUUAGUAAGACCAAGUUGUGUCAGGGGGCUAAGAGGAUUCUGAGUCUUAUGAGGAAGAGGAAGAUUGAGAGGCGGACAGAGGCAUUUGGCUAUGUUAUGGUUUCAUUCAGUCGAGCAGGACAUUUGAGGAAAGCAAUGCAGAUAUUGAAUGUGAUGCAGAAAGCAGGGAUUGAACCUGAUUUGUCUAUCUGUAACACUGCAAUUUAUGUUCUGGUGAAGGGGAAGAAAAUGGAAAAGGCUUUGAUAUUUUUGAAAAGAAUGCAAGUUGUUGGGAUUACACCAAAUGUUGUUACAUAUAAUUGUUUAAUUAAGGGUUACUGUGAUAUGCAUCGUCUUGCACAAGCAUUACAGCUGAUUGCUGAAAUGCCGUCUCAAGGUUGUUCCCCUGAUAAAGUUAGUUACUGUACUGUAAUGGCACAUCUAUGCAAGGAGAAGAGGGUUGAUGAAGUAAAGGGUUUGAUGGAGAAGAUGUGGAAGGAUAGCAAAUUGGUUCCAGAUCAAGUAACUUAUAGGACCCUUAUUUAUAUGCUUUCCAAGCAUGGACAUGCAGAUGAUGCAUUGAAAUUUCUCAGGGAAGCAGAAGAAAAAGGAUUCCAUAUUGAUAAAUUUGGAUAUAGUGCAGUUAUUAAUUCUUUCUCCCAAGAUGGGAGGAUGGAUAAGGCAAAAGAACUUCUAAAUGAAAUGUUUGCAAAGGGGUGCGACCCUGAUGUGGUGACUUACACUGCUGUUGUGAAUGGAUUUUGUCAAGUAGGAGAGAUUGACCAAGCCAAAAAGUUGCUCCAACAGAUGCAUAGACAUGGUUUUAAGCCGAAUACAGUAUCAUACACAGCAUUGUUACAUGGGCUUUGCAAAAAUGGAAAGUCAUCAGAAGCCAAAGAGAUGAUGAACAUGAGUGAGGAGGAAUGGUGGACACCCAAUGCAGUUACAUAUGGUGUCCUGAUGCAUGGGUUCCGCAGGGAAGGGAAGUUGUUGGAGGCCUGUGAUGUGGUUGGGGAAAUGAUAAGAAAGGGCUUUUUGCCAAAUCCAGUCGAAAUUAAUAUGCUGAUUCAGUCUCUUUUCCAAGCAGGCAAAACCAAUGAAGCCAAGAAAUUCAUGGAGGACUGUCUCCACAAAGGAUGUGCUGUUAAUGUGGUAAAUUUUUCUACUGUAAUUCAUGGAUUCUGUCAGAAGGAUGAUUUGGAUGCUGCUCUCUCAGUCCUUGAUGACAUGUACCUGAAUAACAAACACCCAGAUGCAAUAACUUACACUACUUUAAUUGACGCACUGGGAAGGAAUGGUAGGAUAGAUGAGGCAAUUGAACUUGCAAAGAAAAUGCUUCAUAGGGGCCUGCUUCCUACUCCAGUAACAUACCGUGCAAUCAUCCACAGGUUCUGCCAGCAUGGUAGGGUGGAUGAAUUGUUGAAGUUAUUAGAGAAAAUGCUAAAAAGGCAGAAGUGCAAAACAGUGUAUAAUCAAGUUAUUGAAAAACUUUGUAGCUUUGGAAACCUUGAUCAGGCUUAUAAGCUCUUGGGGAAUAUCCUAAGGACUGCUUCAAAUAUUGAUGCCCGUACUUGCAACAUCCUUCUGGAGAGUUACUUGAAGAAAGGGGAUUCUUUGUCAUCUUAUAAAGUGGCUUGCCAAAUGUUCAAGCGGAAUCUUAUACCUGAUCUCAAGUUAUGUGAGAAAGUGAGCAAGAGAUUGUUGUUAGAAGGAAAAACAGAUGAGGCAGAUAAGCUUAUGCUGCAGUUUGUUGAACGCGGGUGCAUUUCACCUCACUGCCAUUAGUUUUCAUUUGAAAUUUAGGAGUACUUUCCCAGAAGUUUUUUCAAAGUGCUGCCAAAGUUUUAUAUCAUCUCAGUGAAAAACAAUAAUGAUCAAAGAAAUGGAGACGGAUAAAGCUCCUUUAUGGUUGAGCAAGGAUCUUCCUUUCUCUAGUGAACUUGACUUGAAGAAGACUAUUAAGGCUUCAGACAAUUGUCGUUUAAUGUCCUAAUGAAAUAUUUCAUGGUAAUCCAUCCUCUUUUCAUGCUCUGCAUUUCUCCUGCUGAAAAAGUGCCCGAAGAAUCAUGUACCUUCUUUAGUACUUAUCCAAUUUAUUUUAGCAUGUUGUCUGUCCCAAGGAAAUAUUUCAUGGUAAUGUGGUCUUCUUUUCUGUCUCCAAUUAUCCUGCUGGAAAUUCCCCUGAAAGAUCACUUUUUUCUUGUAUUGCAUUUACUUUAGCAUGUUGUCUUCGUGCAAUUGGUUUUUGGGAAAAUGAAUACCUAAAUUUCAUGCUUUAUGUUUUUCAAACUUUGUUAUUUUUCAGGUUGAACUCUGUUAUGAUGGGAUCAAACUGUCAUCAGCAUUCUCAGGUGCAAUGGAACCAAGGGCGGAUCUACACUAUUCCCUGUGGGGGCAUGCAUUCCCCUUCUGGCCAAAAACAAGUGUACGUUGUAGCUAUGCAUUUUUCAAACAUUUAUCUGUAACCCCACUGAUUUCUGGCAAAAAAUAUGUAUACUACUAGUACUUGCUAUCUUAUGCAAAUGCUACUUAUUUAUUCCCACGCUCAAAAAUAAUUCUGGCUUGGAAACUGAUUUGGCGCUUUUAAAAUUUCUAUGAUCUAUGAUCAAUAGAAUGAUUUCAGCAACAUAUGUUAAUCAAGUACGCUCUCUCCAUCAUGUAGUUGCCCAUUACUGAACAUGGUUUCUGUUCAAAUCCCGUGCAGGAAGCUUCUGUGCAACGAUGGCUGCAUGAGUAUGUCUUAUUCAUGUAUAAUGUGCCCGAAUAUAUCUUCGGUAUUUCUUUGUUCUUUUCUUCAUGGUGUUCUGGAUGUGUUUUGUUCUUCGUUGCUAUCAAUUACUAACUUUUGAACUACAUUUUUCAUGUCACUAUAUAGGUGAUGACACAGAAGUGCAGUUAAUCGAUCAUUUGCUGUCAAAUUGCUUAGUAACUCUUCCGCCAUACGAUGACCCAAAUUAUUGAGUAAUCAAGCUUGUUUGUAUUUCUGUAUAUGAUGUAAUCCCCAGUACUUGCACUUUUGUUUGUUGUGGCCAUAUGAUGCAUUAUUUGGAAAUCAACAUCCAGUAUAUGAUGUUAAUCAAUGGAACAAGUAGACUUGGCAGGUAGUUGCUGGCAUUUCCUGUUUCAGGGAUGUUUCCUUUCUGGUUUUGGCUGGAACUGAUUAUUGAGUUGUAUGACUUCAACUAGGAGAAGAGAAAUGUGCCUAUAGAUGAUAUGGAGAAAGGCUGGCCAAUCAUAGGGCGGCCAUGUCCCCAACAGAUUUGUCAAUGAAACAGGUUUAGCUUUGGCCCUAUUGAGCUCCUUUUCUUUUCCUUGGUUUUCAUUUUGAAACAGAUUUUGGGGUAUUUCUUGACCUUUCUUUCUGGAUUUUCACCGUUUUCUUUGUGUUUUCCUCCUUUUUCUUUUCUUCUUCCUGGCUUUUUAUUGUUUUUAUUUUUAUUUUUUUAUUUUUCUUCUUGUCUAGGAUUUUUCUUCCCUUUCUGUUUCUCUCUUUUUUUUUUGUUUUUCGUUUUUGGUUUUACAUAUUCAUUGACCAAUAUUUAAAUUUAGCAGCAUAUUAACAUUCAUAAAAUCUUUAUCCAGACAAACCUUUUACUACCUACAAUUUGCACAAGGCUAAAGAGCAAGAUUUCCUUUCAAGAAUUAAUCAUAACUUAUUAGCCCUGUCAAAUGGUUAAUAAUAGAGGCUUAAAAGAUGUGAAAUGUCAAAAGUUUUAACUCUUCAAAUUAAUUGUUGCCAGUUAUAAGAAAAAUUACAAAACGUAAGAAAAAAAAUGAUGCUGCAGUUUUUCCUAUAGUUCUUGAAUAUUUAGAUCAAGCUAGUGAUGACUUUUACUUAAUUUUCAUGAUGAAUAACCACAAAAUUAGUUAAUUUAUUUAACCUUGUAACGGAGACUCGAGAAUGAAUUUUGAAUGAUGUGAAUCCAAAAAUGCUAUGUGAUUCAUUGUUUCAAUAUCAUUCUUGAGAUAAUUUAUUUUGUUUUGAAUUAAUUUCUUGUCCAUAACAAAAAGGGUGUAUUCGAGUCCAAUCAAAUUUGAAUAGCUUUAUACUCGCAUUUGAGCUCGAAUUAUAGCUAACUACUCGAACUUGAGGUUGAAUUCGAACAAGUAAUAAAUGUCAAAUUUGAACUUGACUCAAAAAUCAUAUUGGCAGAACUCAAACUCGAACUCGACUCACACAGGUUUGAGAACCAGGCCGAGCCUAAAUGAGCUGGAGUACUUGAAAGUACUCGAGCUUUCAGGCUCGUUAAUUAUUUGCUUCUUUGAGGAUUUUACUAUCACCUUCUCAAUUAUGCAUUACUCGAUAUUAGUUACUCCCUGUGUCUCCAAAUCUUCAAUGUCACUUACUAAAUUUCUUUGCAUAAUUUAAAGUCUAGUCAUAGGUCAUUUACCAAUCAAUAGUAAAUACUAAUUUUUCAGCAAAAAUAGUUGUAUUCUCAGAAAAAAAACCAAGAUAUCACAUGUAUGUCUACAUAGGCAAAAUAAGGAAUGGUUUACAUUAAGAGAAUCAUUGAAGGAGUGAAGGACCUUGUGAAUGCAAAGGCUGAUGGAAACCUCAUUUUCUUUAUGCCCAUCUUCAGCUAAAUCCUGAAGUUGAAGCUCUUGGAGUGACAAAUUGUAGUCUAGAUUCCAAUUUUUUUGCCAUCUCCCAUCUGCUGUUGAUAUCUUGAUCAAUCCCCGUGGAGCCUUUUGACUUCUAUUCGUUGUCUUUUAGUAUUUGUAUAUCAGGAAAAAAGAAAACAAAACGACAUUAGUGCAGCCAACAAGCAAAUACAACUUAAUUUGUACUCUUUUUUUUUGGGUUCUUUUAGGUGGGAUUUAAGAAGUGGAGAGGGAGAAAGUGGGGGAACUGAAGCCAAAAUCUGUAAAACCUGCAGGGACCUCCACUAUUCAGCACUUCUGUAAUUCUAUUUACAGAACUUGAUAAAAGAGCCAUUCUUCGAAAACAUGUUUACAGAAAGUUUCUAACACGUUCUUCAAAAAUAACCAUGUAGAUUGUAAUAACAUACCACAACAAAUGAAAUAUAUAUCAAGAUUGGAGGAUGAAGAAAUCCAUGCAGCAAAUGCAGUAUUGCCUUGGAAAGAGGAAGUGCUAAAGAAAUGAACAUUGAAUUUGAUCGUAACAAAUGAAGAAGAUAAUAUAUUACCAGUGAGAAAUCAUUUCUCCUUCGAGAAGCUCUAGUCUUGGAGCUGGCCCGAGGAGACAAGAGGAUGGAAUUGGCUUGUGCAAAAUGUUGAUUAGGAAUAGUGUUCAUUUUGCUGAGUGGAAUGCAAUUUGUUUCUCUCCUCUUCUUUUCCUUGCCUCAAGGAUUAGCCUUAUCCGCAAAGGCAUGAUGGCCGUUGGGUGUCAAUAAGAUAUUUUAUGGCAUGAAAUUCCACUGUUGCUACAUGAGAUAUUUAUGGUAUGGAGUUCAACCCUUGUUGCAAGUGGUACCUAAGGUCUAGCUACUUGUAUAAUAGUCCCCUAAAUUUGUUUAUCGGAAAAAAGAAAGGGUCGAAUCUUCUACACAUUAGAAGGGAAUCCACGGAAAUUGAAUCAUCAUUGGGUCAAAUGGGUGCACUAUGUACCCGUAUGAAUUUAAAUCAUUUAACGUGGCAGCCAUAUAUAGUGGCAACUAGUGGGAGGUAAGGUUUAAACCCUAGACCUCCCACCCCACCAAACUUUAAAGGCUAUGGUGGUGGCCAACAGUUUGAAAUUCAAAUUUUGUAUACAUAUCAUGUAUCUAAUCAUAACACUAUAUAUAUUGUUAUUAUAUGUAAGAUUUAUUAAAAAAAAAAUCCAAGCAACUCUAUUGUGUAGGAUUGAUAACACUUUGCCCCCUGAAUUAAAACAAUAUAUAAAUUGCAUCCCAUUGAAUUCAAAGGUAACUGCAUUUUUCAAUAGCCUAAAACUAUGUGAAAAAAAUUCUAUUUUACUUAUGCCCUCAAAAUUAUUUGUAACAAACGGCUGCAAUGGGCAAUUUCUUUGACUCCCUUAAAGUAGCGAAAAGUCUGUGAAAAAAAGGGGAAAAAAAAACUUACAAUGGAGACUCUGCUAUUACCAAAAGAUCUCCAGCAAGUUGAGAAGCAUUACAACAUUUAUCACAACACGAGCAGCUCAAUAGAAAAUGCGGAGAAUGGAAAAAAAAAAAAAGAAAAAGAAAAAAAGGCAACACUGUGUACCUCAAGGACAAUUUAAAAUAGCAGCCUUUUGUGGUUUUAAGAGUGUGAAAAAUUUUGUAGGUGUUGUUACGUCCUAGAUUUUCGUUGCUUUCUCUUAUUGAAUCAAUUCAUUUUCCAUUUUCAUUAUCUCUAUUCGCCAUCAAGCACUUGAGAGGCAAUUUUUUUUGCCUGUACAUUGCAAGAAAAUGGACCAUUUUGUCAUUAAUUCACUUUUUAUUUUUUGGUUUACUGUGUUAUAUGUUAAAAUUUAAUGGGUCUUCAACAAGGGCAUUAUGCAUAUUGCUUAAUUUCAAGAGGGCAAAUUGUAGUUAACCCUAGUUCCAAGAGGCAUAGUGGUAUAACCUUUUUACAUAUAAAUAAGUUUGAAUCGAAUCAGAUGUUAGAUGUAGGACUGCAAAUGAAUUGAGCCGCUUGCGAGAAGCUCGAGUCCAAACUUGACUCAAGUUCGAUCAACAUUGAUCUCGAAUUCAAAAAUACUUUACUUAUUAGUUCACAAGCCGACUCGAUUAUAUAUAUAUAUAAUCAAUGCUUUUGGACAAGCAUGAAAGGACUUGCAAAGAAUUGGGCGACAAAACCUUCUAAGCCCAUGCUUUCGAGGAAUAGCAUUAAAAUGGAUUCGAGUGUUAUCUACUAUCCACUGCUUUUGACUUGGGUUCUUUGGUUACAUUUUUUCAUGUAACACUUUUGUUUCAAACCACUGGGCCAAUGGCUUAAUUCCUUCUUUGGGUUGUUGGUGUGAGUUCAAACCUCACCAGCAGCGAAAAAAAUCUAAGGGUUGUGUCAUAGCACUUCCUUGGUCUAGUUGGAUCUGUAUACCCACUAGCCCCUACCACAGCCUCCUUAGGCUCCCCUCCCCCUAGAUUAGGAUAGAGUAGGUUAUACAAAUGUAUCUUGCUGACAAAAAAAAAAAAUGUAACACUUUUGUUUCACCACAAUUGGAAGUGAUAAGUGUAUGAAAAGAGAUAUUUUAAAACUUGAAUUAUUAUUUAUUGUUACAUGGUACACGUGUCAUUUAGAUAGCUAGUAUAACAGAAGUGUAACAUGAAAUGUUAUAACAGAAGAUGUAGCUUCAAAUUAAUCUUGCAUUAUACACCUCCUAGUUUUCAUUUUUCUCCGUUAUGUUAAAAAUCUAUUUCCCAAGAUGUUUUCCCUUUUUUCUUUUUUUUUUUUGCCAACUUUUGCUGCUAAAGCAUUUGUCACGGUCGGACCGAUACAUUGUAGAAUGUUGUAGCCUAACGUUGUGCAAUAUUGUGAGGCAACGCUGGUGUAUUAUUCUUUAUAGGGUAACAAAUUUCAAGGGAGAAUUGCAAUUUUGUUCUCAACAUUUGGCGGAAGGGCCAUAGUGGUUCCGAAAUUUUUGGACAAAAUAAAUAUAGGACCUAGUACUUUGAUUUUCAACCAAACUAGGAAAAUUGAUGGGUUUUAACGCAUUCUUAAUCUGCCAUGUGACGAUCGUGUGGUUGUUAGUCAACAAACAAAAAAAUGAAGAAAUGAAAAGCAAAACUAAAAUAUAGGACCUAACUAGCUUUAUAUCCCAUGCUAUGCACGAGUACUACAAAUUGAUAAAAAUAAUUCAAAUUUUAAAAUAAAAUAUUUAACAAUGUUAUAAUUAUACAAUACUAUGCAAAAUCUUUUUAACUAUAUGUAAUUUAAUGAACAUUAUUUGUUAAUUUGCUAAAUUUGGAAGUUGUCAAAAAUCUGGUAGAAUUUGGUAGAAGUUUGUAUAAUUUGUAAAGAUAAAGGCUUGGUGUGGUCAGCAUAAUAUUUGGGAUAAAAAAUUUUGAAUAGACUUUUACUUGUUUUUUGAAUUUUAAAGUGGUACUAAUUCAAUAGAAUUCUUUGAACUUUGAGACCACAGUGGAUGUUGUAAAAUUUUUGUAAUUUAAAGAAAUAAGUGAUAUAGUAUAUACUAUAUUUUUAGAGAAAUCUAAAAAUUUUAACUUAUAGCAAAUUUGCAAGGAAAGCUUCUAGAAGUUCUUGACUAGUGAAUAAUUAACUUUAUGUCCUGUGCAAUGUAAGGGAAUAAAAAAUGCCCAAAAUCAAUUUAAAACUUUAGAAAAAAUUAUGUAAAUAGUAUAAUAAAAAAUCAUCUAAAAUCCUUGUAAGGAAAUGUAAUUUUAAGGAGAUGUAGUUAGAGAUUUUGAAACAAAUAUGCAAAUACUAAUGUUUAAAAUGUGUAAGCACUUUUCCCACUAAUUAAUCUUUGUAGAGUUGGAAUUAAUCUAAAAAGAUAUUGAUUUUACAUGAAAGACAAGAUGUAGACAAUAUUUUUGCAAUAGUGAAACUGAAUAUUUUUGUAUAAUUUAAAAGUCUUGUAUCAUUGUUCAACCUUUUAUAAUAAGACAAUCAAAAAAAUUCUUUAUUUGUAUACAUGGCUGUGGGAAACAAAAUACCACUUUCAUCUGUAUAAAGUGGUUACGCAUUGAUACUUAUUAGUUUGUUAAACUACUUUUAAAUUUAUAAUAUCCUAUGUACAAAGAUAUUUCGUAAAUGACAAUAUAUGCUAUUUGUCAACAUUAAAGUAGAAAAUUUUACUUAGAGAGGCUUAUUGAUAAGUUAGUUUUACUAAGAUUUAUUGACCAAUAGAAAACGUUAAGGUAAAAAAUUUUAUUAUGCAGGCAUUUUAAAAAAAAUUUCAUGUUGAAUUUAAACAUUUGAACUAAACUAAUCGAAAAGCAUUAAAUUAACAUUAAUCAAACUUACUAAAGAAUAAAUAAUUCCAAAAUCUUGAAAAAUGAUACAUGUCAGAUUAUUGAAAACGUUCUAGAACAUAUGAACUGAUGAAUAGUACAUAGUAUAGAUAUGGAUGGGAGGCAAAGCAAGGAUAUUAAAUUUGAAGGACUAAUUACAGUUUUUGUCCCCAACUUUUGGGAGGAUGACCAUAGUUGUUCCUAAGGUUUAGGACUAAACAAAUAUACUAACAUUCUGUCCUAUUGAUAUAGUUAAAAAGAAUAGUUCAACUUCAAGAAAAAACAAUGCAGUAAACACCAUGAAUGAAGAACUAAAACGUGCAGUUUUUAGUUGAAAACCUGUACUGAAACAAUUUCACUCAGCUUCCCUUAAAAUGUAGAAAAUUAUACAGACCUCCAUUGGUGUAAUAAAAUGACUAUAACUUCUUUCACUUAAACUGGAUGAUUCAUAUGACAUAGGAUGGAUAUAUAUAGAACUGCAUUCGACUUCCACCAACUCCACCACAAUGCAGACCAACACCAAUACCAGUGGUGUCUAUUUCCAAACUCCACUCUUUCCUUGUUAUUAUUACUACUAGCCCCUCCCAUUUUUCUACUGCUUGUUAUGGUUUGCAGAUAUUAGAGAAAAGGCUGGAAAAGGGAUGAAUAAGGGGAAUGUUAUUAUGUCUGCUACACAAUAGGAUAUUAAGAUGCAUUCGGGUUUUUCCGUCUUUUUUUCCUUUUUUUUGUUUUUUGGAUUUGGAACCAUCUGUAGUGGAGAUAGAACUUAGAUUCCAUUUCUAGGAACCAAUGCAGUUUGGGUUGCUCUUGGUGGUUUUGGCCUAGAUUAUUUUGCCUUGGGAAUGCUUUGGGCACUGAAAUUGGAGCUUGGGAUAUGAGAUACUAACAAUAAAGUGUGUUCUCCUAUCACAUGAUUCUUUGUUUUUAUAUGCUCUUAGGAUUUGAUAUAAAUGGAAAAAUUUUCAUUAAUAGUUAUGUUCAAGUGCUUUCCUUGAAUUAAUUUGCAACUGUUUUUCACUCUAUUCUUAAUAAAAUCUUGUAUUAAAGGAUUUUGCCUAUAUUUCCCUCUAUGUUUUUUUGGACAAGACUCGUCAUACUCACAAAUCUCUACAAUGAUAUGUUGUAUUAAAACACUUUUGCCAUCUUUUAAACAUUCUUUUAUACCCUUGCUUACUAAAAUGAUGGCUCCAUUCUUAAGUUAAAUGAUUAUCUCAACAUUGGAGUGAAAAAUACACGUCAUCUAUAAUUCUCCACCGCUUGACACCUUUUGUAUUUACACGAAAUGCCAUCGUGACUAGGGGUGUGCAAAAUCGAAAAAUUUCGAUUUACCGACCGAAUUCGAAUUGAAUUCGGAAUUUUCGAAAUCGGUAAAUCGGAAAUCGGAAUCGAAUUCGGAUUUUCCGAAUUCAUAUAUUUCGAAUUUGGUUCGAAUUCGGUAAUGGAGUUUUUCAAAUCGGAAUUUCCGAUUUCGAAUUCACAAUUCGAAAUCGGAAUUCGAAUUCCGAUUUCGAUUUCAAAUUCGUUUUUAAUAUAUAAAUAUAUUUUUUAUACAUGUAAUAUAAAAUUUAUACUAUAUAAUAUUAUAUAAAAUUUAUAAAAUUUAUAUAAUAUAAUAUAAUAUAAUAUAAAAUUUUAUAAUAUUAUAAAUUUUAUAUUAUAUAAUAAUAUAUAAAUUUUUCCGAAUUCGGUGAAAUCGGUGAAAUCGGAAUUUACCGAAUUCCGAAUUGAAUUCGGUAUGAAUUCGAAUUCGGAAUUGGUGAAUUCGAAAUCGAAUUCGGUCGAAUUAUCAGGUACCAAAAUUUCGAAAAAUUCCGAAUUCAAACUUCCGAAUUGCCGAAUUCGAAUUCGAUGCACACCCCUAAUCGUGACAAAAUUCGUGUCAUUAGAUAAGUACCCAUAUUCUAACAUAAGUUCCAUAAUUCCCCACAGUUUCCCUUCUAGUGUUUUUCUUUUUUUUUUUCUUUAAUGAUUUUCCACUUGUCAUAUUUACACAAAACCUUAUGACAAAUUAGAUGUCUUUAGUAACUACCAUUUUACAAAUUUACUUCCACAAUUUUUUUUAUAAUUUCUUUGCAUACUUUUUUGUCAUCUUUUGUGGUUAUAAAAAUAUUUUAAAAUUGUAUACAUGUAGUAUUUGCAUUGAACAUUAGUUUUUUUUUGUAUGGUAUGAUUAGUAUUUCUCAUGCAUAUAAAUAUUUUAGCCCUUAUUCAAAUACGUGUACUCAUAUCCUAUAGCAUACAAACAAUACAACAUGCAUUUCCCAAAACCAAAAUUUCACUAUGUGGUGUGUAUAUAUAUAGACACGAGUAAUGGACAACAAAUCAUUUACAUUAGACUUAAAAUGCAUUAAAAGAAAAAAACAAUUUGAGGUUAGGAUUAAUAUGGAUAUGCAUGCUGUCAACAUGGUAGCAAUUUCAAAUGAAACCUAAUCCUAUUGUGGAUUAUAAAAAAACAAAAUGAGAAUUGAUGGAUGGCACAAUCAAGGUGCACGGAUAUGUGGUCAUAUAUGCUAGCUAUGCAUUUUGGUAUUCCUUGGCAAUAUCGUUGAAUGUUGAAUAUGCUGGACUUGACCCAUUCUUGAAACUUUUGGGAGCUUUUGAGCCAUGCACGAGCACAUUAUUCUUGUUUGUUUCAUUUGUGUUGUUGAGUGGGUAUCACACAUGGUAUUAGCAUUCUAGAACUUGCUAUUUUAUACAUGUCGAGACCACAUUUUGUUGAACUGGAUGCAUCUGAAAUGAUAAGGGCAUUUAGGAUCUAACUUUCUUUAGUUUUCUACAAAUCAUGCAUUCGUCUUGUCUCCUAAUAGUGAACCAAUUUGAGCUUUUAUCCUUCUCCUUUGUUUGUUAGCCGUAUUUGAUAACUCAGGACCUUUUUAGACUUACUUGUUUAACCCUGUGUCGUUAAGAGAUGUCUGAAUUUUAUUGUUUGUGCAAGGCAAAUAAAUCUAGGGUCGCAAGUGUUGUUAGAAUAGAAGCUGUAUGGUGCUAGUUCUGUGCAUCUUCGAUCGAAAGAAAAAUAAAAAAAAAGAAAGGAAAAAAAAGAAAAAAGAAAAAGGGGGAAAAUUUGUCAAUAAGCUGGUGAACAGAAGACCCUGGCUUAUAGGGCGUGCCCAUGCCUCGCAAGACGCCCUUCCAAAAAAAAAAAAAAAAUAUAAAGAGAGUUCCAACACUUGCACAGUGGGUAUAGCAAAUGGAAAUGCAUUGCUUGUGAAAUUUCUCCGGUGAAGCAUUGUGGUUAUGUGGUGGAUAUCGGACAUUCUCUUGACACACUACACCCUAUCUUUACCUUCUUAUCUCACCUUCUACCUAAGCCCCAUUACAACCCUAUUAAAGCCCCUUUGGUUAGUGUAUUUAGUUCACCUUUGAGUGGUGAAGAUGUGAUAAAUGUGCAAGCCUAUGAUAAUGCCAUUCCGUGAUGUUGAUUUGAGUGUUCCUAGUAUUCAACCAUUUUCUUUGAAUUACCACCUGUCCGGUGUGUUCUAAUUUUGGCGACAUUGUCAGGAAGACGGGAUGCUUGUGUUAGUGUAAAUUUCUGCAUAACCUUUGCUUUCUUGGUUGUAUUUCUGAGCUUCGCAAUGUUUGAGGACAAACAUUGUCAAGGUGUGGGGGGAUUUGAUAGAGCAACUAUUGGGCACCUUUUGCGCUGUUAUUUGGUCAUAAUUUUGGCUACUCAUUGUGCUAAGUAUUGAGUUUUUGCUUAUAUUUGAUAUUUGUGUGAAUUGUAGGAGGUUGGUGUCAAAAGUGCUCUCCUGAGGUAAAUUUUCAAAAGACUCUUUAUUUCAUGACGUGCCCACGCCAGAAACUAAAGAGAGACACCUAAAAGACGGGCCCCGCGGGAUUGGUAGCAAAAUGGGCAAUUGGGAAAUCAAAAGGCUCGUGGACCGUGGGGGUGCAGGGGAUUAAAACUCCUAGAGAAAGGCUUGUGCCCUGACAUUUUCUCUUCUGCUAGCGGCGGCUACGAGGGAAAUAUAAGGAAAGAAAGCCAGAUUCACGAGAGAUCAAUAGAUUAGCUUUUGCUUUUCUGUGAGACGUUUUCUUCUUCUUGUCGACGGCUACUGCACAGGAGAUUUGGCUAAAAAAGCCAGAUUCACGUGGGCUUAGUAGUUGGAAAGCUUUUAGUUUUCUCCCAUGUAGACAAUUUUCCUUCUUUUGCUUUUGCUUCUGACAACUUUCGUGAGACUUUCCCUUUACUUUUCUCCUGUAAGAAUUCCGAACAAGAAGGAAGCAAGACCUUUCGUUCUAUCCUCGUUAUUUCACUUUUCCCAAUUCUUUGGCAAUUAAUUGAAUGAGUUCAAUUAAAUCAGGCGAGAUUAUUACGAUGAGGAGCGGCUAGUUUUCUCUUCUACCCAAAGGUCGACGCGAAGGUGCCCAUAACAUCUGUGAGAUCUAAUCGAAUUUUCAUUAGUUCUUCCAAUUCGUUACUAUUCGUGCGUUUCCUGGAUUAAUUGUUCACGGGUAUUUUAUUAAUUGAGUAUCAACGGUCGGAUAUUUAAUUUAAUUUAAUAUCCUACCGUCACGUUAAUUAAAUUGAAUCCGUAAUUGUUCGUUUAAUUGACUACUAGUGACAACCACCAUAAUUGGCUUUGUGUUGGGGAAAUGUAAGAUCUAAUUUAAAUAAAUCCUCUUAGGGUGUUUAUUGGUUAGGGUUGGGUUUUUCUAGCUUUAAUGCAAUUGGAUAAUUAAAUUCUUACGGUCGUACCUAGGGUUGUUUUCUGGUUAGAGAAGCAGUCAAAGGUCAUACCUUGGCUGUCGAAAAGUAAGGAAAAACUGGCUGUCAGAGCUUGUUGAUAGCUAUAACCAACCUAGUGACGAAUGAAUGAAAUAUCUUUGUAUCGAUGAUCAUUUAAUUGGACCGUGCCUGAAAAGUUGAUCCUUUGGGUAGAAUUUUAUUAAUUGCUAUUUUUAGUAAAUUGUACUUGUUGAGUUAGCCUUUGAAUUUUGUUUAUUUUAUUUUCAUCUUCAUUCCCUUAAAUAUCCCCCAAUCUUGUUCUUUUGACUUGGAAAGAAACAACAGUCUAUCCGUUCCCUGUGGAAUCGACCAUACUUGCCAUUGUAUGCAAAUUUAAUACUUUUAUAGACAAUUCUAGUAUAUCGGAUUAAGCAAACUCUUUGGGAACAUGGUGAAUCAAGUAACCCAUUGCACACCUAGAGUCCCUGCUCCAAUACUUGGAUUUGUUCUAUAAUUAAUUGUGGUGGUAAUUAGGACUUUUUAGUAAUUAUUAUUGCAAGGCUCGAUACCUGUUACCAUUUGAAGCCUUGUUUGGGUAUAAGCCAACUCCUCUUUCAUUGGGACCCUAUUUGGAUUCAAUGAUACCUGCUGCAGCCCGGAUGUUGCAGGAAAGGACCAAAAUUGUCAGCAGUAUCAGAGAGCACUUAUCCAAAGCUCAGAACAGGAUGAAGCAUUUUGCUGACAAGCACAGGACUGAGCGAGAAUUUGCAGUAGGAGACUGGGUAUUUCUAAAACUGCAGCCUUAUAAGCAGCAAUCUAUGUUAGUUAGAAAAUGUUUGAAACUCUCUGCCAAGUAUUUUGGGCCUUUUCAGGUUGAAGAAAGGAUUGGGAAGGUAGCUUACAAAUUGAAACUCCCUGCAAGGGCCAAAGUGCAUCCAGUAUUCCAUGUAUCCUUACUUAAGAAGAAGGUAGGAAGGUAGGCCCUCUGCAGCAGAUGUCUACUACAUUGCCAGAAUGGGAUGAACAUGAUCUGUGCCCCUUAAAACCAAAAAUGGUCCUCAAAAGGAGAGCAAUCUUAUGGGAUGGACAGCCUAUUGUGCAACUCUUGAUCAAGUGGAAUCAUCUCAGCUUUGAUGAAGCAUCUUAGGAGGACAAAACCUUCAUUGAGCAACAGUUCCCAGAUUUUUUGCAGACUUGAGGACAAGUCAGCUCACAAGGGGAAGGGAUUGUUGGGACAAAAGGUUUUAGAAAUAUUGAGCAGAAAUAGUUAGAAUUAAUGACGGAAAUAAGCAUUAGUGAAACGGCACCGUUUUGUGGUCUGUUGAGUUAGUUAGGUUAGUUAGUCAAAUAUCAAUAAGUAGGGCCCACACUUGGGAAGUUGGCAGACAGUUGGUUUAUUUUCUGCAAUUUAAUCAUCACUAUAUACUAAAGUCCUAACAGUAGAGACUCCAUCGAAAAAAGCCAAUUAAGGUCGUCACAUAUUGUGGUAAUUUUUUGAUAGAAAGUAAGGAUCGAAAUCUUGACCUCCCGCACCACCAAGACUUUACUUUUAAAGGCUUGCUUGGUGGUGACCACCAGGCCAAAGGCCCAGUGGCAAGAAAAAAAAUGAGUACAUUAAACUUCUACUUAAAUUAAAAAUAUCAAUAAAUAGAAGGUAGACACUUAGGUAGACAUUGUCGCGCCCCACUUUUCGAUUAAAUGUGAAUGUGUGCGAAGUGUGGUGUGAACGUGUGCAACAUGAAAAGUAAAAGGCCAUGGGACUUUGGAAAGCGACGAUUUGGCCAAAUGAAAUUUAAAAAGGGUUUUUUAAAUAUGAAAACGGAGUCGCCACUUGGUAUAGAUUUGGGGUGUACCAAGUCACCCAAAAAGUGUUUUUUAAAGACAAAGUAGUAAAACCCUUUUUAAAACGACUCCUAGUCCACGUAAGCCAAAGAAAAAGGUUCGGGGGUCACGUUUGACAAAGGGGAAGGCAAGGAUAGAAUCCAAGGCACCCCUUUGACCUAGCCAAGGCUAGUUGCACGACUCAAACCAAUUUUUCCUAGUUUUUCUACCCAAGGUAUGUAUCGCGUAUUGGAUAUGUCUAUAUGAAUGCAAAAACCUAGACCUAGGGGGAUUGGGGGAAAUUUCUCUUCAAAGGUUGAGUGGUGCCAAGCACAUUAAUUGUGAAGCCCAAUAAUGAUCCUUUUGGAGAGGUCACACCUAAACCUAAAUGACGUGAAAAAUGAGUGGAAUGCAUGCCAUGUGAAAGUGUGAGUUUGUGUGAAGUGAGAAAAAUGAUAAAAGAUAAGAUAAGAGUGAAGGUGUGCAAAUGUAGAUGAAAGUACUCGUGUGCGAGUGAAGAUAAAAUGUUCGUGUGCAAGUGGAGAUAAAAAAGUGUUCGUGUGCAAGUGAAGGGAUAUGAAGGUGCAUGUGUGCAAAUGAGACAAAAGUGAAAGUGUAAUGAUGGAGUGGAUUGAGAAUGCAUGAGCCUAAGGAAUUCAUGCAUAUUGGGUACGGGGAGACCUAAAUCGUGACUUGAUUUUCCCUUUGAUUAGAAGGCGAAACUAGCGUGCUAAGGCUAUCGAGUAGCCACACUCGCUCGUUUCCCUUAUCGGAAGGGGACCCUCAAGCAAAUGGACCCUACAACUAUCAUGAUAUGCAAAAAUCCUAAAAUGAAGGGAAAGGGGGUUCGAGGAGCAUGCCAAGUGAUAAAACUAAGAAAAAUGCAUGAUAUGUGGUGAACAAGCAAAUGAUAUGCUAAUGAGGGGAAAUCCCUAAGGGUCUAGCGUUGGACUAGCCCAUUCUAUGAAUUCCGACUAGCGUUGGACUAGCGGAAACGUACAUUCAUUCAUUCCAUUCAUUCAUGGCUAUGAAAGCAAGUAGACAUGCCAAAAUACUCGUAAACACAUAGCACAUAGCAUUUAGCAUGCUCGACUAGAUGCAAGAGCCUAAUAAAGCAAUUAAACAUGUAGCAACAAAAACAAACAAGGGGAAGGGGAAGUGGACCAGAUGCUCUCCGAGCACUAUCUAUUACAAGCCAAGAGGUGUACACAUACCCCAUAAAAGCAUAAAGGGGAAGGAAAAAUGGACCAAAUGCUCUUCGAGCCCUAUCUAUUACAAGCCAAGAGGUGUACACAUACCCCAUAAAACUUAAAUAAAAGUAAAAGCAAGUAAAUGCAUGCAAGGAGGUAAGGAAAGCGAAGUAGGCAUGCAUAUUCACAUAACACGUAGGAGCACGUAGGGUCAAAUGAAGUGCAAAUGAAGAAUAGAGUGUACCUCCCUCGAAGCGACGCCCUAACGUAGUGAAAUUACUAACUUACCCUCCAAAAUAAUAAAGAGGUCAAGGUACCACUUAAAUAAUCACAAAAGAUAAAAAUAAGCAUGAAUUUGAAUCAAUUAAAUCAUGUCAUCAAUCCACAUUUAAGAAGUCAAAAGAAGAAAGGACUUGAUUGCAAAGAUUGACAAAAUUUUGGGACCAAAAUUAAAGUAAAAUAAAGUUCAUGGACCUAUUUGCAAUUAAACUAAGGAUCCAAUUGAAAGAAGUUGAAAAUAUCCAAGGCCACAGCACAGUUAAGGAGAAAUUCAGGGACUGAUUUACAAAAUUGUUUUCUGGCUUCUUAAUGGACCAAACCAUUGGGCCAUUUCCUUUAUUUGUUUGGGCCAAAGCUUCCAAGCCCAAUCGGAAAUCCCAAAACAAAAGGGAAUGGGCCAUUGUCACCCUUCUUGGGCCAAGAUCACUUGGCCCAAUCGGAAGUCCAAGGAAAAAACGAGUGGGCUAGUAUUAUUUUGGCCCAAAAAUUAGCCAACCAAAACACAUGGACCAUGACCCUCUAGCCCAAGCCAAAAACCCAAAAAUGAAUUAAACCCUCUUACACAAACCCAACUAAAUAUCAUUAGCCAAACAUAAAUCUAAGCCCAACAAGAUAACAAACCAGCUAAAAUUAUUUAAGCCACAAUUAUGAUCUAAAACCCAAAAUAAAUGUAUCCCAAAAAGUCACAUAAAAUAGGCAAACAUAGGAUUAAGCUCAAGAAAGGCAAAAUGGAUUUGAUUUUUCCAAAUUUUGAGGCCACGGUGAACAAGGGGACUUGAGUGAUUAAAACGCAACAAAAGCAAGGACCUAAAGUGAGACCUCCAAUCAAAUGAUAAAAUUCACAAGAAAUGAAUAAAAACCCCAUCUUACAAUCGAAUGGCAAAAUUCAACAUUCCACUAAAGUUUCAAAUCAAAGCUAUAAGUCUAUAAAGGUUAUUAAAAUCUACAAAAUCAUUCUAAACUCACUCAAAGUUUUGCCCAAAAUCAUAUCAAAGCAUGUCAAGAACAAUUAAAAUUCUAGAAUGACACAAUUGAUUAAAUUACUCAACUAAUUGGACCAUAACAAGACAAGGGGGGAACUUAAGGGGUUAAAAUGCAAGUGUUUUAGGACCUAAUUGCAAGAAUUUGUAAUGUAAUUGGGCCAUAAUGUAUUGCUGCAAAAAUCAGAGAGACCCAAUUGGUUAAUUUUCUCAAUUUUGUGGGUCAUAAUAGCAUAAGGUGAGACUUGAGGGGGUUAAGAGGCAAUUUUGAAGAAUAUUUUCAUGCAAGCUCAUGCACGUUCGUAAACAAUGCAUUCUGCAACAAGCCUUUCAGCCAAAACUUUCUGCAACCAGCAUUUUACAAAAAAAAACAACUUUCAAAUAAAUCCAAAACACAACUAUCACACAAUUCCUCACUUUUCAUCAUGAAAUUUGUAGAUUGAAGCUCCAAGAGUCGGAUAACAAACAUGAAACAUCUAAAAAAAAGUUCAGGCCAACUCUAUUGCAAAACUUACGAAACAUUUCUGCAACAUCCCCUACCAAAACCAUUAGCAACCGCAACUUCAACAAGAAAACAGCCACACAAUUUGCUUUUAAGUUAAGGUCUCGAACCCAACUAUGAAAGCUUUAAACUAAGUAGCUAACUACACAAUCACUCUCAUCCAAACAGGUAGACAACUCAGAAAAAACUCAUGCAAAAUUCUGGAACAACAUGCAACCGUUCGAAGAAAACAAAAACUGAUGCAACUUCCUCCAUAAACUUCAGCUUUCCCCUCAAUCACAUUCAUGCCAUUCUUUAUUCAGUUCAAAAAGUAUUCAGGCAAGCGAACCAGCAAGAAAAGGGAAGGAAUCAUUAUCUAAACAAACACCAUAGCUGAGAGUCCAAAAAAGGAAAGACAAAACUCAAAAAACAAGACGCAAAGAAAAUUUUCUACUCGGCAAAUCUGAAAUUAUUUUUCCAGCAAUGUUUAAACCUGUUUUCAAACUUUUCCUUAAACAAACACACCAACAUCAACUCCAAACCUUCCCUAUCAUCCCUUCAAAAAACCAAAUGAAACAAGCAAAAGAUGACCAAACCCAGCCCUGAUAACUCCCUCGGAUAGAACCUGAGCCCAGAAACCAAACAACACAGCAGCAAAACAGCGAAGGGAUCCAGUCAAGACUUCAUACAACAACUGGAAUCCUUUUCUUUUGACGUAAAAGAUUACAAUGGGUUCACAGUAUUAUAGUCAGACAACACACAAAAUCAAAAGGGUCAAACCAGCCGCAACUUGACAACCAAAGAAAAGAAAAUCUAUUGCAAUAAAACUGAAAGUAUGAAAACUUGCUGCAGCCAAUUUUAAAUUUAACCCUAGAACUCUAACAACCGUGUCUUGCCUAACAUGAAGAUUCUAGGGACAAGAGCCAGAUGCUAUACUCACAAGAAAACAUCAAAAGCCAAUCACAACCAAUAAAACACGAACUAGCGACAUAUGAACCAGAAAAACAUGAGUGAACAUACGAGAACAGAAGAAAAAGAAAAAAAAAACGAACGUAAUGGGUUUCUGUUUCUGAUGAAACUAGUGAUGGUAUUAUCGCAAGCCAGGGAAAGCUUCUAAUUCCACCAAAACAAAAAAACAUCCCAAAGUAAGCAAAAGAAACGAAGAAAGGAAGCACCUUUACAAACAAACAACAAGGAAAGCUGCAAUUUUUUUUACCUUGCCGUACGGUGCCUUCCACAGAUGGAUGAAACAGAGAGGUUUCGUUCGAGUAGAACCAGUACGCAGCUAAGAAUCACGAUCUCCUUCUUCCUUGCCUUGGGUUUCUUCCCUUCCCAAAUUUUCUCUCUGUUUUCGGUCAGUUUUCCCUUUCACUCUUGCUCUAUAUAUUUUCCUUCUUGCCGCUAAUCACUUGCCCAGUCUCGGUUUCAAUCCUUUCCCAUCUGAGUUUCCCUAGCUUUUCUUGGUUGUCACUCGACGACCCCUUUCUCUCUUGCUCUUCCUGUUUCUUUUCUGAAUCCCAAUCUCUCUCUUUUUUCCAGAACCUCUCGCCGCCACUCUCUUUCAGUUUUUCUCUCGCUAUCCCCACUCUCAAUCUCUCAGCUCUCAGUUUUUCUUUUUGCCGUUCUUACUCUCCCCCAAAACCCUCUCUUGCAGCUGAUGUUUUUCUUUCUUUUAUAUGGAACUCCAAGGCCCUUAAACCCUCCACUGAAUGGUCAGGAUGAAGGCCAGCCUCUGCCUUCAUCCUGCCCUUCAAUGGCACGUACGAAGUUAGCCCUUUGCAAGCUGCCAAAAAUGCAGCUUGCAGGCCACGAUCCCUUUUUUUUUUUUUUUUUUCAAGAAAACUAAUACAACUUGAUAAUUACAGAAAUGAUAAAAUAAAUAAUAACAAAAUUACACAAAUCAGGUAAUAAUAAUUAUAACAAAACAAAAAUAAUUUUAAACAAAACACUAAACAAAAUGGCCAUUUUUUAAUUUUUAAUUUUUCUCUUUUCAUCAUUUUCUUUCUCUCAAAAUAACUUAAUAAAAAUAACUAAAGUGCCCAAAGAUUGAAUUUAAAGAAAUAAACAUAUUUUGGUGAACAAUUUUUCCUUUUUUCCUUUUUCCUCUUUUUUUCAUUUUUCCAAUCCAACUAAAGCCUAUUUUUGAAUUUUUCUUCUUUUCCUCUUUUUCUUUAAUUUCUUUUUUCUCCUUUUUAUGAUUUUGCAUUUUCAUUUUUCUUUCAAGAAAGCAAAAAAAACAAAAUGACUAAAAUGAUUUUUCUUUUCUUUCUAAAAACUCUAUAAACUUAAAAACUAAAAAAACUAAAAACUAAAAACUAAAAACUAAAAUCUAAAACUUAAAAGUGAUUAAAAACCUAAAAUGACAAAAUAAAAAUGAAUAGACAAACUAAAAGGGCAAAAUGAAUAAAACUAAAAAAAUAACAACUAAAAAUGCAAAACACUCAACAAUGAACUAAAUGCAAGCGAUUUAAAAUGAAGUAGAUGCCACAUACAAAUUAUUCAAAAUUUGGUGUCUACAGACAUGAUCUAUGUAAAUCUAAUAGCUCAAAAUUUGAGUCAAAAUAAAGAAACAUCUUUCAAAAUAUCUCACAAACUAUUUAAUGAAUUAAUGAAAUCCAAAAUAUCUCUAUCUAACAAACUAUUUAGUGAAUUCUGGAGUGACAAGUAUAACAUUCUACAAAAUUCUUUCACAAUCAUACAGGUUAGUAAAAUCUCACACUGUGUUUUUAUGCAUAUUUUUUUGAGACGAUACUAGUGCUAUUGCUGUUAGUUUUAUAAUAUUUUGCAAAUUUGAUUCUUAUAGCUUUAAAUUUUGUAUUGAUUCAUUUUUAUCUUUGACGAAGAAAACAUAUUUUAAUUACACAUAACUUUUUAUAUUCAAUCAAAUAGUUCAUGAAUUAUAUUUUAUGAUUUGUAUGAAUUAUAAUUUCAUGAGUACUCGUCAAAGACAAUUAUAAAUUUUUAAUACUGAAGUAGCAGUUCUAUUGUUAUCUUCAAAAUUGAAUAAAAUAUUGCACUUAGUGUUUGUAUUAUUAUUUUUGUAAGUUCACAACUCUGCCAAUUAUCUAUAUAGUAUACUGCUUAUGCUGUUAUUUAAUUUAAUUGCUAAUACAUUUUUUUAAAAAGAAUUAAUGUACAAUUUUGCCCAACCCAAGGUCUUGGUUCAUCGGUCCUUUUCCCGCCACAAUAUGCAACCAAACAUCUUUUUCCUAACUCCUCACUCAGCUGCGAAAAUAGAAAUAGUGGCAUCCUCAAAGACGAUGAUGGACCUAUUCAAACAACCCGCUACCCAGCGUCUCAAGUGAGUCUCUUCUCCUCCUCCUCUGACUUAACUCCGACGACAACAACCAAGCUUGCCGCUUUUUGCUCUUCGUCGUUCUUACCGAUCGGCCGUAAGCAUGAUCAAAAUGACAUAGCUUCAUCAAAUCCCUACCCAAUUUUACUCAAAUCGAGUUGUCACCACCGAAUCGAGUUCUCAUCUUCGAAGAGAAGUCCAGAAUCGAAUUAAAAAAAACCCUCGCCAAAGCCAGACAAAAGCUUAAGCUUUGAUCCGACGAAAUGGCCAAAUGUAACCUUCUUAAUUUCUCUAUUUCCCUUAAGCGUCUCAAGUGAGUCAAACUACUCAUCAGUAGUUUGGUGCUCGACUCAAGCUUAAGAUGCUUGAGUAGUAAAUUGAAUCGAAUUUGAAUUUGAAAAUACUAUGCUCGAGUGCCCAUUGAGAGUAAUCAAGUAUUAUUAAUUAUUCAAAUUUUAAUUUUUAAUAUUUCACUCAUUACUCAAUUUAUUAUAGUUUUUAAGUAGUUUACUUAUUCUUUAAGACUCCUACUCAUUUUGAAAUGUUGAAGGUUCUUAGUAAGUGGUUGAAAUGCUUUAGAAUCUUUUAAAACCAAGGUUUUGAAACCCAAAUUGUUCAUUGAACCAAAAAAAAAUUGGAUCACGGGUCACUGGUUUAACCGUUGGGCUGAUCGUAAUUGACCUGUGAUGUCAUAAAUACGUCAUUAAUAAUUAUUAAUAUUUUAAAGAAUUAUUGCAUAUAAUAAAAAUAAAAUGCAACGAUUGAGUAAAUGAUAAUAUUUGAUCACACUAUUAAGUUUGUCAUCUUAACUAAAACAUAAAGCCAUUUUAAAUAGAUAGACCAAAUUUUAAGAGUAAUUGACUAAUAUUUAAAGUUGAAAGAUAUAGAUAAUAUACACAGACAUUUUGUUACGAGUAUAGGAUAAUCAUUGACGUUAAGUUUUUUCAUACUUUUAAGAUCAAGAUGUUAAUAUUGCAAGAUGUUUUUAUUUUUGAUAUGUUAGUGACCACAAGUUUUUAAGUAAAGGAAGUUGGAGGAAAUUUUGAAAAAAGAAAGGAAAAGUGAGUUGUGACUUCAUCUCAUUAUUGGCGAACAUAAGACAAUUAAAAGUUUAAAACGUUGCAUGGAAAUGGAAAUGUGGGCCAAACUUCAUGCUAUUCAGCCGACAUUCAUGAGAAUAAAAAAAGGUCAAAUUGUUAGCUAUUAGUCAAAAUUGGUGUGCUGGUUGCCUAGAAAAUAGGAUCUGCAUAAGUGGUUGGCUCCAACGGCCUUGACCCAAACGAUUCUAGGAAAAUCGUUCCGGUUUGACGAUUCACUAGUUGAACUGCCCGAUUUUUCCGUUUCGCAUUAAAGAAAAUGUUUUUAUGGCACUUCCGAUUUUGAGGGUUGAACCAGCCCGAAAAACAACCUGAUUGACGGUUUUUCCAGUCCAAUCGGACGGUCCGAGCUGUGUGAGACCCCGAUUAGUCCUUAAGUUGGAUAUUAUGUGAUGCUAAUUAUUUGUGUGGUAAAAUUUGGGUUUUAGGGUUAAUUGGAAAACCCUAAUUUGGGUUAUGAUUAAAACUCUAGUUUUUGUAUUAAUCACAAGUUUGAGUUGUAGUUAGAGUUAGUUAUGCUAGUGUGUGGUUUAGUAUAGGAUUCGAUCCAUUUUAUAUAGGUUAGGUAAGUUUAAAAGUUAGAAAAUCCUAAACUAGUAAAACCUCUAGUGUUAUAAUUUAUUAGAACCCUAAGUUGGGUUUAAAAACCCUUAAUAUUUCCCAUGACAAAACGAUUGUUGUUUAAUUGCAUAACAUACAUGGUUAAGUAUAGAUGAUUAAGUUAGUGGGGUGAUUAGUAGAGAAACUAAGUAAGAUUAAUUAGUUUGGACUAGAUAAAGUUUACGUCUAUGGAGUAAAUUGUAAGGAGUUCAAAUGUUCAAGAGCAAGAGUUGAAUAAAAGGUAAGUUGAAGUGUAAGGGUUAAAGGAGCAAAAUGGGAACUUUUAUGUGAUUGGGUGUUAAGAAAAUAUCUUCUAAUGUCUUGACUAGGCUUAUGACUAAGCUUAUAUCUAGAAGAUACAAGAGAAACCAAGUGAUUAAAUCACAAAACAACAUAGGAAAAAAAGAGAGAGAGGGCCGAAAAUUUGGAGAGAAAAGAGAGAAGAAAAAUCCCUUUGGUGCACCAACUUUUGUCCAUUAAACUUUAUCUUGGAGCCUAGAACAACAACCUUGGCACUUGAUUGUAGUGGUUUGAUCAUCUACAGAGCUUCAAUUAAAGGUAAAUCAUCCUCUUUGAAAGUUGGUUUUUGGUGAUUAAGUUUUGAAACCAUGAAAAGUGAUGCUUUUGUUGUAAUUGUGCUCUCUUAUGGUUCAUAUGGUGAGUAUAUGGUGGUUAUAGAGUAAUUUUAUGGGUUAAUUUAGUGAUAAUGUUGCUGAAAUUUUGGUUAAGGCUAUGAGAAAUUAGGGCUUUUUGGUUUAAGCUUCUCUUAGUCAAUUGGGUUGGUGAUUAGACUUGAUAAUGGAACUUUUGGUGUAAUUAAGUCAUUUGAAUGGUAAACUCUUAAUAAACUCAGGUUUGUUAUGGAACCCUAAUGAAAAAGGGAAAUUAGUUUGGUUUAGUUAGAACUUGAAAGGUUGGUGUGUACUUGGCUAGCGUUUUGAAGUUAGUAAAGAACUAGUGGAAUUGGAAUCUAGAUGGUGGGUAAUAUUUGGUAAUUUGGGGAAGAAAUUUCGGACCAUUGCUAGGUCUUUUAGAAUCUGGUAUAGGUAGUAUUAUUUGGCAUGAAAUUGGUUAGAAAACUUGUAUAAGACUCAUAGCAAUGGACCAUGUGUUUGCAAAGUUUAAAAACCGGCAAAACUGGAAACAGGGCAGCUCACAAAUCCGAACAUGGGCUCUGUUUUUCUUUAUGCUGUGUGCUGAUUCGGAAGCUACUCAAAACAUAAAAGUUGUAGCUUCUUAAGUCCUUGAUGUGCCUGCAAAAUUUCAGGUCAAACAGAUCAGUGUAGCCUGAGUUAUGGCCAAAACAAUCUCUCCUGUUUGGAACACUGGAUUGUGUUACGUUUUCAAAUUUGGCCUCUGGCCAUGCUCGGUUCACCUGGAUAACGUGCGAACUGGGUGUUGAUCCCUUCAUAAGAAAUGUAGAUCUUGGUCUUAGCUUCAAAAUGGUAUAAAGUGCAUCCAAAUCCGAGUUCCGUAGCUCUAGUUAUGACCAAAACAAGAACGGUUGUCAGAACUGCCUUUGAAUUUGGACAGUUCUGACAGGAACUUUGGACCCGUUUUUCACCCUGCUCGGUAUUGAUUCAGGUUUUGGCCAAAACAUAAAGGCUCUGUUUGGAUCACCUGUUUUUGGAGGUGUUUUUAAAAAACUUAACUGUAGCAUUUUUUGAAAAACUUCAUGUAACGUUUGGAUUCUUGUUUUGAAAAACUCUGUGUUUUUGAAAAAUACCUGCGUUUGGAUUGAACAGUAUUUCAAAAACACCUUCUUAUUAAAAGUGAAUAUAAAAGAAUUAGAUAAUUGCCCAAUAACUUCAGCAACAAAGCAAAAGUGACCUUUUAUAAAGAUGGGAAAAUUUUCAAUGACCAAAUAUGAGAAGUAGCACACUACAGCCAAUUAACAAAUUUUGGAGUAACAAGAGGAACUUAACUUGUUUUUUUUUUAAAAAUUUUAAAAAAUAUCUCAAAAUAUAUUUUAAAAACUCUUCUAUUCUUAAAUAUCUCAAAAUAUUCGUUAAAAAUAUUUCAAAAUAUUUCUAAAAAUUGGAUUAAAGCAAAAUUUUUCUAAUAAUUACCCCCAAAAACUGCGUGAUUCAAACGGAGCCAGCUUGUUUAAGGGAUUUUUGUACAAUAUCAUCCACAAACACAUGGUGCAAUUAGCAUUGAGGUGCACAUAUGGAGGUAGUGCAAACCACGAGUUAGCAUAUAUAAGAUAAACAAUCGAGUCCUGAAAGACAUAACACGAUAACACUGACACAAAUUCGAAAUCAAGCGGAAAUCACAUGUUUUUCAAUCAAAGCGUAUUAAACUUUUUUAUUUCUAGGCCUAUCGGUCCAAAGCCUCAUAGUGUCCCCUAGUUAUGCGCAUUCCAAUACAUGUGCGCCGCCAUUGCCCGCCGAUCUUCGUUCCAAUUAAAGAUGCCCUGCUCCGACAUAUCGAUGGGUUGGCCCGCCUGCUGUUGCUCCCCUGCUAUCUGUGCAUCAGCUAUGGCUCCGAGGGUUGCUUCUUCGUUGAAGUACUCAUCUGCUGGGGAGUAUGCACGCAUAAAAUUGUGCAAAGUACAACAUGCAAGCACAAUAUUAUUUUGUGUUGCUAUUAGAUAAUUCUGCAUUGGACCCUUGAGUAUUGGAAAACGCUUCUUAAGAACCCCAAAUGUGCGCUCAAUAAUAUUUCUAACCGAUGCACACCACCUAUUGAACAGACGUUUAGCUGCCCGUUCAUGCUGUGUGCCCUGUGCUCCCCUAAACGGUGCCAUAAAACCUGGCAUAUUUCUAUAAGCAGCAUCUACCACAUAAUAUUUCCCUGUCAAUGAUGUCAAGUUGAUGGUUAAAAGGCUUUGAUUACUAAUACAGAAAUAGGUUCUUCUUGAUUUUGUUUAUGUAAGGUCUUGAAAAUAUCUACCACAUAAUUAUGCAUAAUCUGCCAAUGCCUAUCUUGAAACAUAAAAAGUUUAUCACAUACCCGGCGGUGGCAUAGGAAAACCCGAAUUCGGAUCUAGCAAGGUAUCUUGGAGAAUUCGGGCAUCAUGAGCACUGCCCUCCCAACCGACUUGAACAUAUACAAAGCGCAUAUCAUGAUCGCAGGCAGCAAGCACAUUCUGGGAUAAGUCACCAUGCCGAUUUAUGAACCUCUCUCGUAUCUCUGAGCUGCACCAAGCGGAGACGUGUGUCCCGUCUAGUGCUCCUACACAAUCCUAUACAAAGCCCCAUACAAUAUUUCAAUAAAUUGUAAAUUGAAAUUUGAGUUGCGAAAAAGUUGAAAUAAAAUGCUAAAAAACACAAACCCGGAACCACGGCAUGAGUGAUGCAUUGUUCAAAAUUCUUGGGUGAAUCCCAUCGAAGUCUGUUGGCCUAACGAGAUCACAACCGAGGCGAACUAAUGCUCGUAACACACGACGAACAUGUCGAUCUAUCGUCUCCGUGGAAUGCUGGAACCGCUCGGCUAGAACACGGUGCCGCUCAUCAUGGCUCAGGCACAUUAGAGUUAAUGCAACGGAUUCAUGAACCCCCACCUGAUGUGAAGGAUAUGCAUGCCAAUAACCACGCUGAACCAACAAAUCACACAACAUCAAGAAUUGGGGAACAUCCAAGCGCAUGUUUUCAAUAAUUCUGUCCUCAUGUCCGUUUAUCAGCUCAAGCACAUAGUCCCUCCCCGAGAGCACACUAUCUCUAACUCUUCUUCUUCUGGGAACUCGGUUAAAGCGUGGGUCGAAAAACAUGAAGCCUAGGAGCACAACUCCCAAAAGGAUGUUAUCGAAAUCAACAUCGUCCGUCUCGUCAUCCAAGUACCCGCCCUGAAUAUGUCCCUGAUUAUCCAUCGCACUGCUAUCAGUAUCAAGUGUGCAAUAAAAAUUCGGGAUACCCUGCAAAGAAAGGAAUCAAAAGGAUUAAAAAUAGAACCCAACAAUGCUCUGGCUAUAUGCACAAAAAUUUGAUAUAGAACAAUCAGAUAACAACUUAUGAAUUGGGGGGCAUCUUGUUCCUAUUAUGAUAACAAUGCUCCGGCUAUUUGAACCUACUUUUAUAAAUGUAAAGCCUAGCAAAAUAAGAAGUUUGGAGUUUCACAAAUACAAGUUUCCAACAGAAGCAUACUUGCUGGUUUCCAAGUUAACAAGUUGCACACCUAUGGAACAAUAAAUCCGCAAAACAUUCUAGUCGUCUGGUAUAAUUUAUACCUGGCCAAGAAGCUUAGCUAUCAGUUUCCAAGUUAACAAGUUGCGAAGCUUGGCUACAAAUGUACCACAAAUCCUAUACAAUCCCUAGGUAUGGUGAAUACCUAGGCAACAUGAUAUAGAACAACUAGUGCAAUCUAAAAUUCUCACUAGGUUCGACCGAAGGCAAAGAAUUGGCCAGCUGUUUAAUGAACAUUUGAAAUCAAGUAUAACUAUGCCAAUUCCAAACGUUACCAAACGAUUAAAUCAUCUUAUCCCUGCUUAUGACACUGUAACAAAGCCUAUUAUCACACACAGCCUAAAGUUGCAACAAUCUGUUCGAACGAGCACACACAGCAAUUAAAAGGUCACUAAAUCGAUUCAUUAAAAUUCAGAAAAAAAAUAGACUCAUUCGGGGUACACAAAUAGAAAAAACCGCCGUCAAAGUUUCCAAGGCCAAACUACAUCAAACGAAAAUAAAAAGCGAAAUAGUGGAAUUGCAUGUUCGGGGACACAAAGACAAUCCAAGUGGGCUGCCACGACUAAAACUCGGAUGGUAUGAGCAUCUAUGCGGGUGGGAGGAGCCCUCGAUGUCUCACAAACGCAAGUCGGGCAUCGUCUGUGGUGCAGGAGAACCAAAUGAUACGCUCCGCUUUGGACCGGAGGAGAUCGGCCAUCUUAAGGUGAACAUUUAUGUCUAGCCCAAGCGCGCAGAGAGGCACCAUUGCAGCUUCUAACUCCGCAUCGUCAUCUACAACAGCCUUUUGACUCUUCGAAGGUGAAGAGACCUCUGCACUCUCGCUCUUGCUCUUUUUACAGCUCAAAUGUGUGUCAAUGUUGUCUAGGACGCGGACGUACUGCUGGAAUUGGGGGUACGAUGGUGAGGAGAAGGAAUCGCAAGACAUGUCACCCGAUCUGCGCUUCCCUUUGCUAUUCUUAACUUUUUGUUUCCCUUUCCGACUCACAGGCUGUGAGGGAACGUUUUCCUCGGAGGAAUCCACGUCCACAACCCCCUUUCCUGAAUAGCGUCUAGCAGCUCUCUCCAUUUGCUGCUUGUCGGCCGAGUUGGGCGGUGAAUCUCCAUAUCCAGCGCUGAAAUCCCCAGUCGCCCCUCGAUUCAUGAAAACUUCUUCGAGCACGUGAUAAAGUAGGCAUGAGCAGUUGUAGAAUCUAGCGUAUGCCUGGUUCACCUACAACAAAGCAGAAGACAGCAAAAGCACAAUGAAUGCAACUCUGAAAAACAUAUGAUUGCAUUAGAGUUAGGAAACCAGCAAUUAAAUCCAAGGGGGGAACAGUUAAUGCAAGGGGGAAGAUAAAAUCCAACAGGGAGACCGUUUUUAUCGAUUCCGAAUGGCUUAAAAGUAAGAAACCAGAUGGCUAAGCGCUUGGAGGGGGACAGUUAAACUGCGAGGGUGAAGAUAAAAUCCAAAGGGGAGACAGAUUUGCAUAAUUUCAAUUGGCCUAACGAGAAACCAGCAAGUAAAGGGCAUAGUACGGGGGGACAGUUAGUGAAAGGGGGAAAAGAAAAUCCAAGGGGGGGGACAGUUUUCAAUAGUUCAGAUUGGCUUAAAUACAGAAACCAACAAGUAAAUCCAGCAGGGAAAUAGUUAUAUCCAAGGGGGAAGAGAAAAUCCAAAGAGGGGGCAGUUUUUAAUAAUUCCAAAUGGCUUAAAAGUAAGAAACCAGCAAACUAUACCUGAACCAGUUGGCUCCAUCGUUCAUCAUCCAUCAUGAAGGUGUAGUUCGUUGAGUCCCACCCCAUACCGGUGCCCCGUUUCUUGAAUGAAAUGUAAAGCCUAGUGAUGCUCUGAAGGGCAUAGUACUUCGACCGAAUACUAUUGCUGGGAAAUGGAAUUCCGAACCUCUGAAGAAGCAUGUUAGUAACCUCGGGGAUGACAUGGCUCCCGAUGUUUUGAGACGAUAUCUCUCCAUUCCUAUGCAUAUGCAGUAGAUGUUCGGCAAACGCAAAUUCAUGUUCAGAUGUGAAACUGUUACGUUCUGAGUACUUCCCUUUUGACGGUUUCAUCUUAUUUCUCUUUAGGAUACAUAAACAAGAAAAUUGGGCAUAAGAGUCAAAAAACAGACAAAUGUGUCCUCGUUGUCAUAUAAAAAUGGAGAAGGCAGUCGCACAUGUGGUUGUAAGUAGAAGGCUAAAUGCAAUUGGCUAACCUUGAAGUAAUUAGUUAUGCAUAGUUGCAAAUCGUUUUCUCCCUGAGCUGACAGCGAACAACAAUUGCUAAAUCCCCUACUCCUUCGCAAGACUGUGAAGUAUAUAUAGAAAAUACAAUCCUAGAGGUCAUUUAAUUGACUAAACUUCAACAGAAUUAGACCAACUGACAAGUCUAACUUACCCUUCCAAGCACGCCGCGUCACAGGGGGCAUGUAGCUCCAAGGAGGAGACAAUAAAAGGACAAUGAAGUAGCUGCAGCCGCAGUACUUACAUAAAAUGGAAGAAAUUAGGUCCCCAAACUCAUGCAAAUUACUCAGCAAGACUGUGAAAAUACACAAAUAUACUACAACCAGCAUUUUGAAUCUACUACAGCCACCGUUUGGUUCGGAACAAAUUAUACAUUGGAGUACAUUUAUAUCUCUGAAGAGGGUCAAUUAUAUGAAAAAUUAUGCGGCAAACAAGUCAAGCGCCUAUUCCAAUAACACUGAAUGUGCAUAACAAAGAUGAUCGUCGGCAAUGAGCAAUCCCAAAUCAAAAGAAGUUGUGAAGAAAUGUUUUCAAUAAUUUACAGUUAAGAACCAAUAUGAAAGACGCUGAACAAGUUUAAAUCUACUACUUGAUGUUCAGUCACUAUUUUUUUUCCAAUCGUCGGAAACAGAUUGAAGGCGAAGAAAGAGACAUCAAUUUAGACUGCGACAUUGGAUAAAAAAUUUCAACUGUAGCCCUACUCUGUACGAAUAAACCCAAAACUCAACGAACUCACCUGCAAGUUCCUUGAAAAAGAGGAGGCUUCACCGAACUUCUUGUGGGAUGCAGCAGCGUACCGCCAAUAUCUUCACGAAUUAACUACUGUAGCAGGGCCGAGCGAGUGAUAAUCGCGUAAGGGCACCUCAACGAAAAGAAUCUACAGCGUGUGACUCCAAUUGCAGAUCUGCCCGCAGCAAGCUCAGGUGAAGCGCAAAGUUGUUUGUGUAGCUCAAGCUUCGUUCCAAUUAACUCUUAGCUGCCGGGCUUGAGGCGUGGAAUCGAUGGGCUGCCCCGCUUGCAGAAAUCGUCGGUUGGUCGCUCUUCGAAAUUCGAAAGGAGGAGCUGAUGUCCAAAGGCUUCUUCGUUCUUAGCUCAGCUCAACAGAGAAAGGAUAAGAAACUUUACACUGUGGCAUCACAUGACCGAAAAACUGUUUUUACUCUUCAGGAGCUAAAACGGUGUAGUCUUGCUACAGUAGGCACUGUAGUUUUUUGGUGAAAAGCUGUUGACCACUUUUUGUAGUUUGACUACAAAAACAGUUUUUACAAAAACUACCGAUCCAAACAGACCCAAAAGUUUUAGUAUUAUGACAUACCUGUAUAACGCCUUUGGAAUUUCUUGAUUUAGACUUGUGAGCUGUGAGUUAUGGUCCGGCCAACAGACCCUGUCCGUUACCCUAGAGUGUAAACUUCUGGUACUAUUUUCCAUAAUUUUGACCUAUGUUCGUUCAGAUCUAGGUUAAGGUGUUUUCACGAAAGUUGUAGCCCUUCCUCUUAGCUUCGCAACGGUACCUCAUGCACUUUGAUCCGACACUUGUAGCUUCAAUUGCGUUCAAAACAGUUUUUGAGUCUAAAACGGUCACGUUGCCCUUCCUACUUCCGUAAGCCGUUUUUGUGCAUGCAUGUGCCAAUGUUGCCGUUUUGCUUGAUUUAUGCACUUUAGUAGCCGUUUGUGUAAUAAUAUGGUACAACCUUCUAUUACAGACGGUGGCGAGUUAGACGGAGCCGGUGGGGCCAACUAGCUGUUACACCCGAAGUGAUUUUUGCACUUGUACUGUUUUGUGAUUUGAGUAAGUAUUCAGGCCGUUUUUGUGUAUAACUUGCUUAUGUGCUUUGGUGUGGAUGAGAGGGUACUUAGGCGAGGGUGUACUUAAUCACACUCGACCUAAACCCUAAUUUGUACUUGUGCUUCUUUAUGAGCUGUGUAUAUAUGAAUUAUUUUGGUGCUGAACCCCUUGAGCUUGUAGCUCGGGGUGACUUUUGUGAAAUUUGUGAAAUAUGAUGAAGUUGUGGGCCCGAUCUCAAGACCUAGACGGACUAUUCGAGCCGGCCAGGGUUUGGUCGAAACCAGUCCAACCUAGUCUUAAGGUCACCAAGUUUGUGGUUCUGUGAACCAAGUUUGUGAACCGAGCUUGUGAAUCAAGUUAAAUUUUGUUUCGUUUGCUCGAGCCAUUUUGUGAGGUGACUGGCCAGUGUGGGUGAUAAGGUGUACGGUGGGAGUAAGUGGAGUUCUACGGACCCUUAUCGGUGGUCGACGGAGUGUCGACAGGAGGUCACAUAUGGCACAUGACGUGGCUUUGGAGCCAACCUGUAUCCUUAACUUGUGUUGUUACUUUGAUAUUUUGAUUUGACAUCUUUGUGACGUAAUUGUUCGUUUUAAUGUGAAAUUUAUUUUUUACCCCUAUUUACUUACUAAGCAUAUAGCUUACCCCUUUCCCUUUGUUUUCCUUAACAGAGGCCGACGCGGGGAACUUUUGGCACUAUCACUAGUAUAGUUAGGCUUGGUUUGUAAUAGCCGGGGAACUAAGAUGUUUUUCUUGUUUUAGUGACCUGUAUAAGGACCCCUCUUUGGGUCUACUUUAUAUUUUGGUUAUUAGCAUAAGAUAAUGUAGUAGUUUGGAUAACUCCUUUUGAGGAUGUAAAUACUCUUUUGGAAUUGAAUAUAUUGUGAGUAGUACUCUUUUGGUUUUUAUAAUUUUAUUUGCUUUGUGUUUUGAGUCCUGGAGCGAGCUAGGCAGGCGUCCCGCCGAUACUCUCGGGUUCGCCCUUAGGAAAAGUGGGGGCGUCACAAGCUGGGUUUUAAAACAAUGAAUGUAUUUGGAUAGAGUAUUAUUUGGAAUAAUUACUAUAAUAUUUUUUGUAAUAUGAUGUAUGUGAAAUAAAAUAAUAGUUAAAAAUAUAAAAAAGUAAAUUUAAAAAUAUAUUUAUGAUACAAGUCAAAUAUUAUGUGAAAUAAUUUGCAAUCUAAACACAUUUACUGUUUAAAACAUUAGGCGGUGCCAAAACAAAAGUUUCCUCCCGGGGGGCUAUGGGGCGGGGGUUGGGGAGUGGGAUGGGGCGGGGCGGGGAGGGGAUUUUUUCCCCCUGUUUAGACACGGGGCCGGGGGAGGGGAAGUGUACGCCUCCCCUGCCACCUGUUUAAAAAAAUUAAAUAUAUAUGUGUAUAUAUAUAAUAUUUAAUUUAAUUAGUUACAAACUUAUGAUAAUGAUAUUAUUAGUUAUACGUAUUAUAUAAUGUAUAUUAGUAUAUGCAAUAUAAUUGAUAUUAUCAAUUGUACUAAUAAUUAUAUAUGUCUACUAAUAGAAAUUAUUAAUUAGUUAUAUUAAACUUACUAAUAUAUUUAUACUAAAUCCCUAAUCACACUUAAUACCAUGACAUUUUUUUCUCAAAAAAAAAAAGCACAAGCAUAAUAAUGAAUUAGUGAUUGUAUUUGUGCUAAAAGUGAAACCUUGACUACUUUAGUUGUAUUUAUUUCAUCAUGUUGGAUUGUAUUCAAAUAAUUUUUGUUCAAUUGUUUUCAUAAGUUUCAAUUGUGAAAUUAUAGUGAAUAAUAUUUUGGUGAUAUAUUGAUACUUUAGUACUUGAUUAUUUGCUAAAAUUUAACUAUAAUAAUAUUAUAUAACAAAUUUUUAUUAACUCCGCGAAGUGAGUUGGUUUGGGGCGAGGGGGGGGGUGGGAAUUGAUUAUCCAACAAGGGUCAAAAUCUUACGCUUUGCACCGCAUGGUGGACCAAAGGUUGUAAUCCAUCACUUUGUGGGCUCAAGUUAAUGGGCUUGGAAAUUGGUUCAAAAGAAAUUUGUCUUGGACGAAAUCAAAUUAAGUCUCAUAGCUAUCAAGAAAAAUGGACUGCUUAUUUGGCAAAAUUCAGGAUCAGGGACAUUUAGACUUGUUUUCAACGUUGAGUUAGCUUUCGACCAAGCUUCGAAAUGAAGACAUUUGUUGACAUCAAAAUUCUGAUAUUUAAUUAGUCAAGAAAAUUUUGACAUUUUACCAACAAAGUUGUGCAUGAAUGGGAGAAAUACUUGCAAGCACAAGAGAAGGACAUAAGGAAAUUUAAAAUGAUGUUUAGUGAAUGUUGCUUUCCCUUCAUCAAAAGGAACAACAUUUAUGUAGGUCACAAGUUAGUGCCCUCCCUGGGUUAGCUCUUCUGGUAGCAAGCGCUUCUUCAGGCCACGCUUACCAGGUUUCGAGUCUUGCCUGGGGCUACCGUGUCCAAGAGGAUAGGGCCUCCCCUCUCCUAGUCGGGCCGAAGGCCCGGAUACCCCCUGUGUCUGAAAGAAAAAAAAAAAAAAGUUAGCAAAGUUCGCGAUUGAUUCUUGCAAUGAAAUAUGCUGGAAGGGAUCCUUCCCAACUUGCCUAUUAGAUGCAGCCAAGAAUGAUGUAACGAGGAGUUGCUCAACCUGAUGUAAUUACGUUUCCUGAGCUAUAACAUUGAUUGCCGUAUUGAGAAAAAAAAAAUUAGUCAAGAAAAUAAAUAAAUAUAGUUUUCAUGGUUAAUUAGUUAAAUAUUUAGUCCAACUUAGAGGCCAUUUCUUUAUGAAACAAAUGAUUGGGCUUAGUUAAAUCAUGACCCAAAACAAAUGCUAGACUUCAUAUUAAUGGGUUGAUUUAGACAUUUUGGUCCGUGAUGGGCUAACCGAAACUUUGUUGUUACCAAUGGGUAUCUUUAGUCACGAAUAAUCUGUAGAAAACCACGGGCCCGUUUGGAAAGUGAGAUUUUUGGGUGUUUGUCUAAAAUUUUACUGCAACUUAUUAUAUAUAGAAAUUUUUAAAAAUUUUUUUUAAGUGGGUAAAUUUUUGAAUAUUUUAAAAUGUAUAGUUUAAAAAUUUUGAAAUUUUUUUUGAGAUUAUCAUAGUUAAAAUUUUAAAAAAACUUGUAACAUACAAACUUGACAAAAAACUUGUCUACCAAACAAGACCUAUAACUAGCGUGCUUCCCUCCUUCAGGCAAGAUAAUCCAAGAAAAUAUGCAUCAAGUCUCUCAAAUCUGCAUCAAAUUUCUCUAGACAAAUCCUUCAGGUCCUCAAAAUUUUUCCAAGUCCUCGAAGUUCAGCAAAUCUUCAAAUCCUUGGUGCUCUACCCUAAGCCAAAUCCUUCAAGUCGUGGUCAAUCUCCAAGUCCUUGAACUUUCUACGCAGGGAUUUAUGUUCUUCGAUCCUCGAGUCAAUCACAAUUUAGGUAAAUUUUCAUAUUUUUUGAGUUGUCGAAUCCCCAAGUGUUGCUAAAUUCCGAAAUCAUCAAGUCAAAAGAUAGAUCAUAGGACAUUUUUUUUCUCAAAAUCUAUUCAAUCCUUCAAGUGUCUAGUCAAAUCUUCAUGUUUCUCAAUGAUGAAGGGAAAGAAGAAAAAUGAAGGGAAUAUUUCUUCUUUUGUAAAAGGACUCACAGCUGUACCCUGUUAGAUUUCAAAUUAGUUAAAGUGACGCUUUUUUUCAUCAAUCUGUUCUUGAUUUUCAAUACUGUCUCCACAUUGGAAUUUUGUGCGAAUGCUUUCGCCAAGUUUGAAAUUUAAUACUACCUAUAUAUUUUUCAAAAAAGUCAAAUUCAAGUAUUUGAUUACACUCGUAUAAUCGAAUAAAGUCAAACUUUUAAAACUCUAGUUUAAACUCAAAGUUCAUUUGUAUCAAACUUGAUUUCGAACUCAGGCACAUUUGGAGCUUUAACUUUAUUCACCGAAUUCAAACUCAUUUAUUAUUUUAACUUUAUUCACCUAACUUGACAACCAACUAUGUUAAACUUAACUAAGUACAUAUGAAUGUACUAUGCAUCGAAAAUCUAAAUACAGUUACCUCUAUCCAUUGUUGUCAAGCAUAAGUUAAUCACUUCUUGUGUCUUUAACUCCUUGUUUAUUCUAACAAAACAAAAUAUGUAGAAGAAGGAAAGUAGAAGGAGAAUUUAAAAUAAGGAUCUUCUAACCUAUGUCUAACUCAAAAGUGUACAAUUGAUGGAAUACCACAGGCUAUUUAUAGACUAGGUUAGGGACCCUUACUGACAAAUACAAAAAUCUCUAGGAUUUCCUUCCAUUAAGAAAAUCUUGCCAAAAUUCAUAACUGAAAUAAUAUUUUCUGACUAAUUGAUUGAUUAACUAAUUGAAUAAGAUAUCAAUUAAUAAAGAUAUCAAUCAAUCAUUAACAAAUGAGAGAUACUAAUUAAUUAUUGAUAAAAUAUCAAUCAAUUAAUCAGGAUAUCAAUCACCAAUCAUUAUCUAAUAGGAGAUACUAAUUAAUUAUUUAUAAAAUAUCAAUCAAUUAAUUAUGAUAUCAAUCAUUUUAGAAUCAAUCAUGUGGGUCAUAAUUGCCUCAAAAUGACGCAAGUCUUACAAACUACUCUAGUUAUUCCUAGAGUAGUUAACCACUAAAAAAGUUUUAAGGCUCUAUUGUGUGUAAGUCAAAUAUUUCUUCUAAAAAAUCUAAGAUUUACUAAAAGAUUCAGAAUCUAUUAUGUUCGGGAAAAAAAAAGCCUAAAUAAACUGACCUCAAACAAUAUAUACAUAUUUAACCUCAAUUAAGCUUUUUUUUUUUGGGUCAAAUUUCUACUUCUAUAUAUAACCUCAAUUAAGCUUGACAAAAUCUAAAUAUAUACAAUUCUUAAACUACUCUAGCUGCUCCAGCUCGGAUGCAAUUCAAUGAACCGAUGUCCAUAACACGAAAUCGUACUCUGCAUUGUCCUUGUUCGCGGACAAAUUUCGACAUUUUACCUCUUUUUAACUUUUCGGCCUAACCGGGCUUUCUUUCUUCCCGCCAGAAUAUACAACCAGAUCUAUAUUUUACUCAACUCCUAAUUCAGCUGUGAAGAGUCUGAAGACAGAAAUGGCGGCAUCCUCAAAGACGAUAAUGGACCUAUUCAAACAACCCGCUGCCAAGCGUCUCAAGCGAGUCUCUUCUCCUGCUCCUCCGACUUCGACUCCGACUCCGACGAAGCUCGCUGCUUUCUGCUCUUCAUCGUCCUCACCGAUAGACGGCGGUAAGCAUGAUCAAAACGACGUAGCUUCGUCAAAUCCCCACCCGAGUUUACUCGAACCAAGUUCUACUCCUCCUUCCAUUCUUACCGCCGAAGAGAAGUCCAGGAUCGAAUUCAACAAAGCCCUCGCCAGAGCCAGACGAAACCUUAAGCUCUGCUCCGACAAAAUUGCCAAAUGUAACCUUCUUAAUUUCUCUAUUUCCCUUCUUAUUUAGCUAAUUUUUUGCUUUAUCAUUCCAAAUUCGUGCCCCUUAGUUCCUCUAUCCAGUGUAGUAUACUUUGUCAGUUGCAAAAGUUUUUUUUUUUUUUUUUUAUUUAUUUAAAAGUUUUCCCCUUUUUGUAUUCUAAAACAUUUAAUCACUGAAAUGCUUUUUCCUUAAUUCCUUUCAGUUAAUCUUCCUUGUAUUGGGUAAACUUUUUUUUUUGGGUCAAUUUUAUUGCAUUAUGAGUAGCUUUAGAUGCAUGCCCCAUUUACAACGAUAGGAUAUCUACUGAACUUCUGUACGUAUCUAUACAUUUUGCACAGAAGUCAGCAAAUUCAUUUUAUAAUACAUUUUGUACGUAUCUAUACGUUUAUUACAUUAUGUGUCUUCUUUACUGAUUGGGGCCCUUUUUAGCCUGAAUUUUUUUUUAUUGAUUUGCUUUUGUUGUUUGCUAUGCAACUUUUUUUUUUUAUUCAAUAAAUGUUGUGUGAUGUUCAUGUUUGUAAAGGUUUGAUCUUUCUUUGUAGAAACAAUGAUAUCGAGAGAAGUAAUAGUCUGCUACUUUGAGUUUUCAUGUUAUAGGUGAGGAUGUAGGAUGUGUGAAGUUGGAGGAGCUGUUGGUUGAAGAAACCUGGCUGGGAAAGUUACCAGGGGAAUUUCAAAAGCCAUAUGCGAAAAAUCUGUUUAAAUUUGUGGAGAGUGAAAUUCAAAGGAGUGGUUUUCCAAUUUAUCCUCCGCAACAUCUGAUCUUUAAUGCUCUCAAUACUACUCCUUUCGAUCGAGUGAAAGUCGUUAUCAUUGGGCAGGUGAUUUUCAUUUUUGCCAUAUAAGUUUGGGUUUCUCUUGUAAAUCUUGCUGUUGAACUCAUGGAAUCUUGUCUGAAUUGCUCAUUACUAGCUUGUUUCUGACAAACCACUGAUGUCGAUGUUCGUCCCUAAAUUUAGAAGCAAUACAAGUAUUUGGAACUUUCUGAAACUGAACCGUUGACUACAAUUUAGCACUUUUUGUUGCUUGAUUUGAGGAAGUUUGACACUUCAUUCUCAGAGAAUUGAAGAAAGAGAAACUUUGAUUCUCUACUUCAUAAGAUAACAAAACACUAAAUAGUUAAAAGAAUUCCUGUGCAUUUGAGUUCACUGAUAAGAGUUUCAUGAUUGAAAGGUUGGAAAUCUUAAUAGUUGUCAUCAAUCUAAUUGGAUGUUGUUGACAAAAACAUCCGGAUAUUUAGCAGAGGGUGUAAGUUGCCUAGCAGUGACUUUGUUUUGAUAGCUUGCCAUAAAAGCUUACGCUAAGGUUAAGUUUUUACUUUCUUUGGUUCUUCUACUAGGAUCCAUAUCACGGACCUGGUCAGGCGAUGGGGCUCUCCUUCUCUGUGCCUGAAGGUGUUAAAGUCCCUUCGAGUCUGGUAAAUAUAUAUAAGGAGCUUCAGAAUGAUUUGGGCUGUUCAAUUCCUUCGCAUGGGAACUUGGAGAGAUGGGCUGUACAGGUACUACUAAAUCUGGUGGUAAUGUACAGCUUAUUCCACAUUUGUAGUUAUGCAGAUCCUAUGUUUUUUUAAAGUGCAUUUAGUUCUGGAAAAUUUUCACUUCGAUGACUCUUUGGCAAACUUUCUUAGGUUUUUUUUUGUGCUUUUUGUCAUCUGUACAAUUACCUUUUGAAUUUUGUAAGCUUUUGUUAUUCUGUUGCAUAUUAUAUUGGUAGGAAACUUGAUGUACAUAUUAUGCAAUUUAAUUGGUGAGGUUUCACGUAUUGGCAAACUUUCUUAGGUUUUUUUUUGUGCUUUUUGUCAUCUGUACAAUUACCUUUUGAAUUUUGUAAGCUUUUGUUAUUCUGUUGCAUAUUAUAUUGGUAGGAAACUUGAUGUACAUAUUAUGCAAUUUAAUUGGUGAGGUUUCACGUAUUAGGUUUCAUAAGUGUAUAGUAAAUCUUAGUGCUGAGCAUCAAAUUAGUUAAAAUAUCAUCUGCUUCUCUCGUUACCAAAAGCUGUUCUACCAUAUUAUUCUUAAUGUCAUCUGUAUUCUGUUAUCUUUGUGUUAAAUGGUGUCUAAAGCUGGGAGUGUUCAUCUUGUUAAACACUGCCUAAUAUUCGAUCAUGUAAUUCUUUAGGGGGUUCUACUGCUGAAUGCUGUUCUGACAGGUAUGUUCAUGUUUCUAUUGAAAUUUAUAUAUUGACUUUCAAAGGUGUUCCCUCAUCUUUUAUCCAUGAAUAUUCCUGAGUUUUCAGUGAGGGAAUCUCAAAUUUUGAUAUUUGCUUUUUUCAACUUUACUACAAAGUAGGAACAUCUCAAAUUUUGAUUUCUAGUCAUUGUUUUGGAGCUUUGCUUUCUUACAAUCUACAUUAUCUAUCUUCUUUCUUGAAGAAAAUUGCUCAGACUAUAUUAAAACCAUGAUACCA
This 94758-nucleotide long non-coding RNA is filed under the name Coffea arabica (coffee). RNAcentral describes it as "long non-coding RNA (CARA_LNC007857)". The record is from RNAcentral. Lineage: Eukaryota; Viridiplantae; Streptophyta; Magnoliopsida; Gentianales; Rubiaceae.